CGACUACUCCAAAGUAACGCAGGAUGGAGUCUGGGAAUACUGUCUCUAAAUCGAUCAUGUGAGUAAACUAAACUUCAAAGAGUAACAAGUAACAAAUGUUCGAGUCAAAAUCUUUAGAGCAACAAUUAAAUCUGGAAACCACUUAAUCAGUUAAUUCUUGACAGUGGGUAUUUAAGGACGGAGAUAAGCGAUUAUGACGCGUUAUCUCAUCCCUAAUCCUAUUUCUGAAAGAAAAAUGAGUAUAACUUCAUCCCUACCUUCUUGAUAUUACUGAACAAGAAAGAUUAUUGGGAAUCCUUAGCUCAUGUACAGACAAUACAUAAUGUAAUGACAACAAAAUUAGUCUAAUUUUUCCAAAAACACACACUUAAAUGUGAAGUAUCCACAAAAACACAACAACAUUUAUCCUUCUAAUAGGAUUUCAUACCGAAGAUGAACUUAAAGAAAAAAUGGAAAUCUGAAUUUGGGUUUUUGAAACCAAAAGAAAGGUAUAAUCCACAGACUAAAAAAAAAAAGCAUGUGGCAGAGUAUAUUAUCCUAAUCCUCACUCUCUCUCUUCGACAAACCCAAAAGAUAAGCUUUUGGUAGCCGAAAUAAUGACCGAGGAAUCACAGGAUUUUUCUAUUUUUGGAGGACUUAUCCUCGUUAUUCUUUGUUAUUUUGGAAGGCAAAGAACUCAAGAGGAAGUACUACUAACGGUAUUAUCGGCACAAUAGUUAUAAUAACGAAAAACAACAAAAGCAAGCCAAACGGAAUAUUGUUUCAAUCUUCCUCCUCGCUCCGAUCAACUCGAACAAAAUAGUCGUCGAGGAAUCCUAGGAUUUUAUAGCAUAUUUUGGACCUUGCUCAUUGUCUUUUUGGCACAUAAAAAGCCAAAGGAACUUGAGAGGUAGCUCUGCUAGCAACACUUCUAGCUCAACAAUGACACCACAAUCCAACAACGAUCCUGAACAAACAUGAUCAGAUAACAACUACAAGCCAAACAUCGUCGACUAAAACUACGAAAUACAAUCAAAGUCACAAGCUUUGCCUAACAAACCAGCCCUUCCAAUCACCAUCGAUACACCAAGUGAAUCACAGGCCAAAAAUUACUCAAUAACACCAAGAGUGGGCGACAGAUCAUGACACCAAAGUAAAAAGAAUGACCGGAAACAAACCUGAACAUAGAUUAAUUCUAACAUAAUAAUUCAUUCAACAUUUUUCAUCAAAACAACAACCUAUGGUCUUUGAGACCUCUACAACACAUAACCCAGCAAACAAAACUACGAUUUUACCAGAAAAUGGGAUGAAGCAGAGAAAGUGAAAUAACGAAAUAAAGGGUAAAUGAGUGUUCACCUCCUUCACCUCCUUCGGGGCAGCAAAAUGGGAUAACGAGUAGGUAUGGAGAUCACGACCGCUGAUAAACACCUUCGCCUUCAACUCGAAGUUCAAGUCUAGUCGAUGGACUUACGGAAAAGUAAAUUCUCAGCAAAGAAGGAUUGAAUUUUUUCCAGGAAACUUCUUUCUUUUUCUUGUUUUUCUGGAUCGAAUUUUUUUUUCAACAAAUUUCUUUCAAGCCUAGCUUUUUUGAAAAAAAAAAUCCCCUGAAAAUUGCUCCAUGUCGAGCUAUUUAUAGAAUAGGCCUACAGGGGGAUAAAUUAGAGAUUUCUAAAAUAGGAAAAUUUUGAAUUUGAAUUUCGAAAUCCCCCUAUCAACUUGGGGUUUCAUUAAAAAUUGUACCAAUUUUGGAAUAGGUGGACCUAAGAUUUAGGGAAAAUAAUUUUUUCACCAAGAGCCAAUGAAAUUGUGACAUACACGUACGGAAUUGUACCCCUACACCUGAGAUUCGCAAAAUUGAUCCGUUAUGGUGCAUGAGGUGUCCAGUUUCUAGAACCCUCAUCCAAGAAAACGAUUUAAUCGAUGGGUCAGGUUGAAGAGAAAGAUGGGUUAGUUGGGUUUGUGGGUAUGGUCAGAUUGUCGGGUUGACGUUGGUUGAGAAGAGUUGUCGAUGAAGGUCAUUGUUUGGAUCAAGUUUUUGAGAUGUUAAUAAUGCUGCUGUUUUUGUGUAGAGAGCCGUGUGUUGGCUGAGGGUGAAGGGGAAAAGAUAAUUGGGCCGAGUCAGGUUUUGAAUUGUUGGGCUGCUUGGGUUAAAAGAAAAGAAAUUGGGUUGGUUAUGUUAAAGAGAAGAAAAAAGAAAGUGGGCUGAGGAAUAUUGAUGGGAAUAAAUGGGUCAGUUACUGGCCCAAUUAGAAAAUGGGAAGAGGGCUGAAAAUUGAGUUAUUUAAUAACCCUAAUUAAACUUAAACGAAUUAAGACAAAAGGUAAUUUUGGGGAAUUAAGAUUGAAUCACAAUCUAGGCGAUUUCAUUUAACUUCUAGCCAAACUGAGUAUCAAUUGGUCAAUAGUAUUAGGAUUGAGCCAAUUCAAUUUCAAUUAUGAUUGAAUUAAAUAAAGUUUGACUAAGUUCAAUUAAAAUUCAAUAAGAAUUAAUAUCUCGUUCAAUCCCAAGCUUCUUGAUUUAAUAAAUUCAAACAAAUAUAUUUAACUAACUUACUUUGAGAGCAAAUUGCAUUUAAAUUAAAAUUUUGAUUAUUAUAUUUAUUUUCAAAGCUAUUUCUUAAUUAAAAUCUGAUAUUUUGUAAUAUAAUUAUUUAAGUAACAAAAUUAUAUAAUAUCGUAUCAUUGAGCACAAUAGUAUAUAAUUGCUUCUUAAAAUGAAAAAUUUAUGCAAAUAAAUAUCUUGAAAAGCUUUUAUUCAGAUAAAAAUAUAUGUUGUGAUUUUAUUUAAAAUUCAAGAGAUUGAAGAUUAAACUUGGUUGUGGAGGGCAAAAAUUAGGUGUCAACAUGCGUAAGAAAGGUGGCUCCCUCCGUAUGUGUAUAUACUUCCGUCAGCUAAAUAAGAUUACUGUUAAAAAUAAAUAUCCUCUUCCUUUAUUUGAUGAUCUUUUUGACCAACUUCAGGGUGCCAAAUAUUUCUCUAAAAUUGACCUCCGUUCGGGGUAUCAUUAGUUGAAGAUUAGGGAGGAUGACAUUCCUAAAAUAGCUUUUUGAACUCGAUAUGGCCAUUAUGAAUUCUUAGUUAUGUCCUUUGGACUGACUAAUGCCCCUGCAACUUUUAUGGAUCUAAUGAAUAGGGUGUUUUGUCAGUUUCUAGAUCUAUUCGUUGUAGUUUUCAUCGAUGAUAUUCUGGUCUACUCAAAGAAUGAGGAGGAUCAUGCUAGUCACCUUUGAAUCGUUCUUUAGACCCUCAAAGAUCAUGAGUUGUAUGCAAAAUUUUCCAAGUGUGAGUUCUGGCUUAGUGCUAUUGUUUCCUAGGGCAUAUUGUUUCUAGUGAGGGGAUUAAAGUUGACCCCCAAAAGGUUGAGGCAGUGAGAAAAUGGCCCAGACUCUUGACUCCAACCGAUAACCGAAGCUUCUUGGGUUUGGCCGGGUAUUACAUAAGAUUUGUAGAGAGUUCUUCCUCCAUAGUUGCUCCAGUUACCAAAUUGACUCAGAAAAAGUCAAAAUUCUUAUGGUCUGACUCAUGUGAAAAUAGUUUUGAGAAACUGAAAGAUAAGUUGACUACCGCACCAGUUUUGACUCUUUCUGUGGGUACAAAAGGUUUUGUUAUGUAUUGUGAUGCAUACCGAGUGGAACUUGGGUAUGUGCUUAUGCAACACGGUAAAGUGGUGGUUUAUGCAUCUAGGCAGUUAAAGGUACACGAAAAGAAUUAUCCCUUCCACGACUUAGAGUUAGCGGCUGUGGUGUUUGCACUUAAGAUCUGGUGGCAUUAUAUUUAUGGGGUGCAUGUAGAUAUAUUCACUGAUCAGAAAAGUUUGUAGUAUGUUUUCGCACCAAAAGAACUAAAUCUCAGGUAGAGGUGUUGGUUAGAAUUGUUGAAGGAUUAUGGCAUGAGCUUGAACUAUUAUUCGGGAAAGGCCAAUAUGGUGGCCGAUGCUCUUAGCAGGUUUUCAAUAGGUAGCCUUUCUCAUGUUGAGAAAGGGAAUAUGGAAAUGGUAAAGGAUAUUCAUUGGCUUGUAAAUCUGGGAGUUCGACUUUUGAAUUUUGAAAAUGGAGGAGUAAUUGUUCAUGAGAUAGCUAAAUCCUCCUUAUGUGCUGAAUUUAAGGAGAAACAGGCUGAGGAUCCCAUCUUGAUGUAGAUUAAGAAAUAUGUUCGUCAACAGAAGGUGAUGGAAUUUGAAAUUGAAGGAGACGAGAUUCUAAGAUAUUAGGGUAGGCUGGGUGUACCGAACAUGUAUGGUUUGCAAGAGAGGAUUCUUGAUGAAGCUCACACUUUGAGGUAUGUGGUUUACCCAGGCUCUACGAAAAUGUAUCAUGAUCUUAAGACUAUUUAUUGGUGGAAUAAUAUGAAAAGAAAUAUUGCUGAUUUUGUUUCUAAGUGUAUGAAUUGUCAUCAAGUCAAGGUGGAACAUUUGAGACCAGGUGGCACUUCCCAAGAGAUAGCCUUGCCUAUGUGGAAGUGGGAGUUGAUUAAUAAGGACUUCAUUAUGGGGCUUCCGAAGUUCCGAAGCCAAUAUGAUUCCAUUUGGGUGAUUGUAGAUAGGUUGAUCAAGUCCGCCAUUUUCUUCCAGUAUGGAUCAACUAUUCGGGGGAUGACUAUGCCAAGCUAUACAUUUGAGAGAUAGUCCAUUUUCAUGGUUAUCCUGUGUCCAUUAUAUCUGAUCGAGGUACACAAUUUUCUUCACAGGAUUAGAGGUCUUUUCAAAGGGGUUUAGGCACCCAAGUGAACUUGAGUACUAAUUUCCACCCUCAGACUGAUGGGCAAGCUGAAUGCACCAUUUAGACCCUUGAGGAUAUGUUGAGGGCUUGUGUAAUUGACUUCAAAGGUAGUUUGGUAGAUCAUUUGCCGUUGAUAGAGUUCAUCUACAACAAUAGCUGCCAUUCUAACAUUUAGAUGGACCCCUUUGAGGCGCUUUAUGGGAGAAGAUGUAGGUCACUAGUUUGAUGGUAUAAAGUAGGUGAAACUUGAUUGUUUGGGCCUGACCUUGUUCAUCAGGCGAUGUAAAAGGUGAAGGUCAUUAGGGAGUGACUUAAGACUGCUCAGAGUCGCCAGAAGUCUUAUGUCGAUGUUAGAAGGAGAGACUUAGAAGGUUGAUGAUUGGAUUUGUCGCCAGAAGUCUUAUGUCGAUGUUAGAAGGAGAGACUUAGAAGGUUGAUGAUUGGAUUUUCCUAAAGGUCUCCCCCAUGAAGGGGGUCAUACAGAAUUUAAGGUUGAUGAUUGGAUUUUCCUAAAGGUCUCCCCCAUGAAGGGGGUCAUACGAGUUGGAAUAAAAGGGAAGAUUAGUCCUCGUUAUAUUGGACCAUAUCAGAUUGUGAGAAGGACAGGUGGGGUUCAUAUGAGUUAGAUUUACCCACAAGUCUGGCUUCCGUGUAUCCAGUAUUCCAUGUGUCCAUGUUGAGAAAGUGCAUUGGGGAUCAUUAGCUAGUGUUACCUAUAGAUAAAAUAAAUAUGAAAGACUCCUUGUCAUAUGAGGAAAAACCUAUUGCCAUUUUAGAUUGCCAAGUUUGGAAGCUGAGAAAUAAAGAGUUAGUUUUCAAGGUGUUGUGGAGGAAUCAAAAAAAGGAGGAAGCUACUUGGGAGUCAGAAGAUGUCUUGCGACCUAGAUACCCAAACCUCUUUGAGAUCGUGGAUGAUGACAUAAAAGGUACAAAUCAUAUACUACUCUCUCUGUCUUUUCCUUAGUAUGCUUGAAAUCAUGCUUGUCUAUGUUCCGAGCCAUCAUUCGGGGAUGAAUGAUCCCAAGGGGGGAUAAUAUAACACCUCACAUUUUCAAGAUAGAAAUCGAACCAUCGUUCCUACGUGUUCAAAAUCUAAAACCAUGAUUCAUAUUUUAAUUCUUGUGUCAUGAUCUUUAUCCUAGUGUUGGAAUUCUUGCAUAAGUUUCCAUGACUUUUGAAAUACUAAUUUUCUUGUACAGUUUGAAUGAUUUCGUGGUCCAAACAUUAUGUUUUGAAUGAAAAGACCGUAACAUGAUAUUGUUUGUCUUAUAUGACUUGCAAGUCUUGGUAUGACGAUACCAAAUCAGACAAAUGCCAUAAUAGACUCAAACUAGACUUUACUACAGAAAGUUUUCAGACAUUACACCACUUGCCAGAAAGAUGCAUGAUUUAAAAUAUUAAAAAUAGGCUUAAGGAGAGUUAGAUGGUUACCCGAAGAAGGCGUUUGAGUGUAAGAGCUCAUCGCUGGAAAUCGAGUUUUGUCGAUACGGGUGAUAUGAUUUGCUAAGGCCAAUGUAUACUUGUCCUUGAGACACUAGUGUACUAGACUAGUACGUAGGACCGGUAAACUUAGAUGUGGGGGCUUGGCUGACGAUCGGAAGGCCUUGGUUAUUGGACAUUGCUAUUUUAUUUUUGUUUCACGAUCUGACCGGGGGCCUUAUCCCAAUUUUAGACAUAUGUUGGUUCUUGCAUUGUUAGAGAUUUCGCAGACAGGUGUCAUGUAUUUUGAAUGUUAAGAAUUUCUUUUUGAAUUAUUCAGUUGAAUUAUGAGAAUGACCAUGUUUUCAUACGAUAAUUUUCUGCAUUUUUUUUAUAUUUUAUGAAUGCUGUGCAUGAUUGCCAGAUAGAAAGGUGCACCCGUGCCUUCAUGGUUUGGGAUGCUCAUCAUGGCUAGGGCCUCAGCUCGAGUCGUGACACUAUACUUCAAAUACCAUGAAAUUUCAUCUUAUUUGGACAUAACUAUACAACAUUAAAAUGGCUAAAAUUUAGACAAAUAUCAUUAAAUUUAAUCAUAUAAAACUUUAUACACCAUAUAUUUGAAGUCGUAUGGGGUAAAAUCCACUGAAGUACACGUGGGACGAUCAGGAGAGACAUCUCAAGAAUUCAUCAAAGCAAUUAGUGUGGAGCUCACGAGAUGUCUUUCUCUAGCUAACGACAACGGAAGCAACCUCUCGUAUGUGAUAAGAAUUCAGCCACACGCCUCUCAUGGUGACAUGACACAGGGGUCAAACAUGAGACAAAUGUAUCACACCACUUAGGUGGGCCGCCGAGUCUGCUCAUUAACAGAUCAGACACAUGGCAUGUCAGCAUAGGUCGUAGUCCUUUUAGGCUCUAUUUUCUAAUUAUGAUUGACCAUAGUCUAAUGUUGUUCAUGUAAAGGGAUCUGCUCUCUCAUUCUCUCACUCAUACAAUAAUUUUUUCUUUGGUCCUCAAUUAUUUUCUUUUGUUCUUGAUUACCUAGCUAGUGUUAAUCUUGCCUGCUAACAACUCAGGUAGCCGGAUCAGAUCUUGACUGCACCAAUACUUGCUCAAGGCUUGCCUAGAUUCGUUUUCUUUGCUUUACUUGUUUCGUAUAAUUCAUACUUGGUUGAUUUCUCUUAUCACUUCAUGAUAAAACUGCUCGUAAAUCGAUCUAAAACAAGGUUAAAUCACGUUCUCCUGACUCAUCUACAAAUUCAGUUAUAUACCAAAUCCACAGUAAACAGGAGUUGUUUUAAGACAGAUAGUCUUGUAAUUUUUAUGAGUUUGAGUAUAAAUUUAAUCGUAUGGUUCCAAAGUUGAGUAUCUAUACACACUUCAGCCUUGGAUAGUUAAACAAAAAAUAAAUUCGAGAUGCACCCGUUUUGCAUUUUACACUUCUUCGUAAUAAUUGAAAGAUUUUAAUUAAGAAUUUCCACCAUAUUUUUAACUACACGCCUUUUUUUUUGGAAGUUCUAUUAACCCUUAACUACUUUAAAAUUUUAUACAUACUCUUAAAUGUUGAGGUAACAAAGAGAAUUUACUCACUUUCUAUGAAGACAUGGAGUGCGAGACCAAAAAUAAUUUACAGAGAGUGAGAAUAUUCUCUUUACCACCACAACGCUUAAGGGUGCAUUUCUUCAAUUCUAAUGUAGUUCAAGAGGAGUAAUAGGGCCUUCUAAAAAGAAAAAGAAAAAUCAUGCAGUUGAAUAUGAUCAUUAUGAUGAUAGUUCACGGGGUACUUGUGCUUUUUCCUUUAAUUGUCAGAGAAUUUUACCUGUUUUUUCCUUUCCCUUUCAAUUCUUUCAGAAAAAAAAAAAGAAAAGAAAAACGAGACACAUUAUUUAUUGUAAAUGAUAUUCCUAAAGAAACCAAUAUUCAAAAUGAUAAAUAUAAAAAGGGGAAAAUAGUGUAACAUUUCCAACUUUGACGAAGUUGUUGACCAUCACCUUGAAUUAUUGUAAAUUGUAAUAUUGCUUCAAUCUAAAGCAUGGCUUUGUAUGGAGAGAGAGAGUAAUUAAAAUAACCAGUUUUGUUCUAUAAAUAGUGUUUACUAUUGUAUAAUUAUUUAAAUCUACAAUUAGUUAUGGAGACCAGUUAAUGUUAUUUUCAAUUUAUAAUUGAUUAUAAUAGUAGCACUUACAGGUAAGAAAUUGAAGCUUAUCAAAGUUUCAUAAAGAAUUUGAUUCUCUUGACAUAAAAGUAAUUCUAAAGUAGAAUGCAUUUUGUGUACUGGUUACAACAAUAUAAUGUUAAUAAGAGAAUUUUAAAUACGUAAAUUUGUCACCUUAAAUAUAUAUGAUCAUCGACGAAUUUUUUUAGUUAUUUAAAAAAGGUGUUUGAUUGACUUUGUUAGAAAAUAUAUUUUUUUUUACUAAAGCCUGCCGACUUGGAGAAAAAUAUGUUUUUUUUUUUUUUUUUUUUUUAAAAAUUAGUCGUAACAGGCAAAUUAUAAGUAUAGGCAACAAAUUGGAAAAAGAAGUCAUUGGAUUUCAAAUUUUGGUCACAAAGUUGUCACUCACUCACACAGUGAAAAAAUAUUUUCAACUUCCAUUACAAAAACAUAGUGAUAAUCAAAGAGUUUUAAAUUCGUAAGUUGACCGCGUUAAUUAUAGAUUAUCAUAGACAAGUUUUGUGGUUAUUUUAAAACGCGCUUGAUCGACUUUGACAGAAAAUGCAAUCUUUUUCUAAAGUACUUUGUCGAUUUAGAGAGAAAAUACGAUCUUUUUUUGAAUCCUGUUGCAACGGGUGAAUUAAAUAUAGACAACAAAUUAGGAAAAAGAAUUAUAAAUUCUGAUUGCAAAACUGUCACUUACUCAUUAUCAAAAUUUUUUCAACUUACCAUUACAAAAAUUGGAACACACCAUAAAUGAAGGGGAAGGUUAUACUAUGAGCACCCUAUAAAUUCUCUUCACAUUUUACAUAAUUAUACUGCAUAAUUGGUACUUCUCUCUCCCCUUUCUUUCUUUAGAGAAAUUUUUUGUUAUUUCGCACUUUGAAUAUGCAUAAUGCAAAUUUUUAUCCUCCUUCAAUUCAGAUACUUCUAUGCCUUUUGUGAAAUGAAAUAUUCCAUAUUCAUGAAUUCACAGAAUUAAUGAAUCAUGUAGAAACUAUUCAUCUAUCAUCCGAGCAAAAUGCCAACUUAAAUUCUCAUGUAGAUAAAGAUGGUAUAUUUUUGCAAAAUGAGAGUUCACUGAGAAAUGAUAGGGUUGUUGUCCAACUAACAACGCCUUCAAAUCAUAACCAGCCGAUAAGAUGGGCCAGAGCGUCACCAAUCAAUAGGCAACAAAUGGUAAGACGAAAUAGAGUUGUACAAAGAAGAAGAGGCACACCACCACCAACCGAUAGGCAACAAAUGGCAAGAAGCAUCGGAGCUGGAGGUUCAAAUUCAAUAUUUGCAAAUUCAAAUGAGUCUGAUGAUUUCACAAAACCAUUGAUUGAUCAAUUGGAUGUUCCUAUUUCACCAAAUGCAGAUGACUUAAUUAAUAUAGCAGAAGAACAAAAUGAUUUAUUCUUGACCUUGAGGCUUUAAUAAGAUUUAAAAUUAUAUGGAACUUCUUUAUAAGAGUUGAUCUAAAAUUGAGCCAAGUCUGGAAUCCUCUUAAUAUAUAUAUAUAUAUAUGUGUGUGUGUGUGUGUUUCUCCUGGUAUUAGGGUAUCUAUAAGAGUGAGUCGGUUGUUUUAUUUUAUUUUGGGUCAAACAUAGUGAGUGUCUAUAAUUGUAUCAUGGUUGGAGUCUGUUAUUUUUGUUUUAUUUUAUUUUGAGUCAGACAUGGUGAGUGUCUAUUAUUAUUAUGUCAUAAUUGGAAUCUGUUGUUUUAUUUUUUAAAAUAUUUAUCUUGAUUUAAGUCAUCCAAAUUCCUUUAUUUACGUGCAAAUACUUCUCGAUUUCUUGAUCUAACAUAGUAAAAGAAAAACACAAAAUGGCUUAGUAGGUAGCAUUCUAUGCCUUAGUAGACUUGCCCGGCGUGACAAGAAGUUAGCCGGAUCACUAUGCUUCAAAUACUGUAAAAUUUCAUCUUAUUUGGGCACAAUUGUAUAACUUUAAAACGGCUAAAGUUUAGAUAAAUAUGAUUGAAUUUAAUCAUAUAAAACUUUAUGCACCACAUAUUUGAAGAUGUAUGGUGUAAAACCCGCCUAAUUACACGAGGCAUGAUCAAGACGGAUAACUCAAGAAUUCAUCACAACAACGAGUGUGGAGACCACAAGAUGCCUUUCUCAAGCUAAUGACAACAAAAACAACCUCUCAUAUGUGAUAAGAAUUCAGCCACUCGCUUCCUACGAUGACAUGACAUAGGUGACAAAUAGGAGACAAAUGUGUUAGACGACUCAGGUGCGUCGCCUUGUCCAUAAAGAGCUGAACAUCAAAGGAAUAUUAGCUGGCUCAUUAACAGAUAGGAUACAUGGCAUGUCAGCGUAGGUAUUAAUCCUUUAGGGUUCUAUUUUCGAAUCAUGAUUGGUCCUAGCCUAAUACUGUAACCUAUAAAUAAUUGUGCUUCUUCACUUGUUAAAUUAGCUCUCUCAUUCCUCACUUAAUAUAACAAUCUUUUUCUUUGGUCCUUGAUCAUUUUCUUUUGUUCUUGAUUACCUAUCUAGUGUUAAUCUUGCUCUGCUAACAACUCAGAUAGCCGGAUUAGUUCUCGAUUGCACCAAUACUUGCGAGGGUCUUGCCUAGAUUUGUUUUUUUUGCCGUACUUGUGUUGUAUACUUCAUACCAGGAGCGGCUCUGCCCUAUUGAAAAAAAGCCGAUCGCCUAAGGCCCCUAAAUUUGAGGAGCCUCAUAUUUUUAGGUAAUAAUAUAUAUGUCACGACCCAGACUAAUGGACCGUGCGGGCACCUACGCUAUUCUAAGUAGCUAGGAGAACCCUUAUUACCCAACUAAAAAUAUGCGGAAGACUUCUGUUUUUAAGAAAAUAUAAAGUAAAUUAAACACUAAUAACGAAACUUUUUCAAAAUAUUCUUACAAAUGUCCUUUACUAUACCAAGACUUGGCCAGACAUGUACAAGAGCUACCUAUUACAAUACAGACUAACAAUAAAAUAAAUAAUACAAGGACUCUAAUAUCUGCCAGGAAGAAAGUGCAGAAGUUAGUGCUGAAUAUCGUCAUCCAUCUAGAAACUGCAACUAACCUGCAUCUAUUCUACACUCCAAGAAGGAAUGUAGAUAUAAUACCCCUUACUUUUCCUAGCUUGAAAUCGUCUUAAGAAUGUUAAAAGCUUUCUUUGAAAGAUGAGUCCACUUUUGUACAUGUGAUAUUUUUAAUAUUUUAACUUUUUGUCAUGUGAGAAAUUGAAUUAGGUUUCCAACGAUACCAAUUUUAUCAAAAUACGCCAUUUUAGGAGAAAGUUAUGGCCAAAAUGCGGAAGGCAGUAAAAAACCGCCUAGGUACGACGAUGAGGCCGACGGACCGUCGGACUAGCGACGGACCAUCGCCCACAACCGUCGCAAAGGAAAAAAUGAGACCACUUUCUGGAUAAGGUGCGACGGGCAGGUUGACGGACCAUCGAACUUGUGGCGGACCCUCUCCCAAGCCAUCGCAGCCAAGUCAGUGAGACCCUAUUCAGGUCCAGGUGCGACGGUCGGAACGACAGACCGCCGAGCCAGCAACGGACCGUCGCACGAGCCGUCAUAGGUCCUGUUCAGUUAUUUUAAGUCAUUUUUUUUAAAGGAGCAUUUUUGGUCUUUUACUACCCAUUUAUAUACCCAAUUAUAUCUGACCUUAGCUUACUUUGUUUAUCAUUAUUUCACAACAACAAAACUAGGGUUUUCUCUCUAACAUUAUUCUCCAAGAAGAAAAUCCAAAUCUUUUUCAAGAACUAAGAGAUUCAAAUUCUUCAAGUUCAAGAACUUUAAGAAACUCAACCCAGGUAUGCAUAGUGUUCAUUCAUGGACUCCUUUCAUCCAUGAAGCCCAAGAAUCUCUUUUCAAAGUUUAAGUUUAUGGAUUUCCUUUAUGAAUUUCAUGAUUGGGCUGCUCUUGUUCAUGUUGAUAAUGAGUAAUUGAAUUCUAUUUCAUGAUUGGGUGAUAAAUUAUAUGUGGGUUUAAUUAGUACAGAUAUAGAUUUAUGCUAACCUAUGCCUAAACCCUUGAAUGAUGAAAUUAGAAUUGAAUCAUAAUGUUUUAAUUGUUGUAUAGUAUUGUUUACACAUACUAUGCCUACCAUGUGUUUGAUUGAAUGCCUAGAUGAAGGAAAAUGCUUAACUAGCAUGAUAUCAUGAAAUUCCCAUGUAUGUACAAGUUUAUGCAUAGCACAUGUUUGAUGAAAUGCUUCUAUAAAUGCAUUAUGGAUUAUGAUGUGAGUCAUGUAUUCAAGAAAGUCAUGCUUUGUCAGUUUUUUUCCAUCGAGUCCUGGGGCUACUUGUACCCGAAAUAUUCACUGUGUGCCUAGAGCCAAGUCAUGUUUCUACGUUACUCUCAGUCAAGCCAUGAUCCUUAGACUUCAGACAGUCUUAUGACUUAGGAAAUCUCCAUGAUCUCAUGAACUCAAUUAGUUGUCAGAUAUCAGUUGUAUUCCAUUAGUGAACGGAAGUUAGUAACUCAGUUCAUGUUCAGUUCAGUAACUCAUAUUCAGUGUCUAUUCAGAUGGGAGUAGAAAUUAGCACCGAGUGAACCCAAGGAAUGAAACUCGCCUUUUAUAUGAGGGUGUGAUUCUUAGAAGCAAAUCCUUGCGUUCCAGAACUAUGUAGCCAGCACAGGUUGAGACAUAAUAGCCUGCUAUAUGAGGGUAGAUGAGGUGUCUUAACCUGCUAUAUGAGGGUUCCCACUAUUCUCACUAGAGUUACCUGUUAUAUUAGGGUUACUAACACAUUGUCCUUACCAAUGGCUCGGUAUUGACACCCUUCCAAUCCGGGCACAGAUUGGACCCCAAUUCAGCUAUAAUGCAUCAUUUUGGUCAUGUCGUUUAGAUGAAUACCUCCCACAGUCUCAGUAUCAGUAUUAGUAAAAGAACUCAGAUAGUUCUUCAGAAUUUGGGAUUGUCAGAUACAACCAACUCAGAUACAGUGCGGAACUCAGCUAGUUCCAUUAGAUUCAGGACCAUUAGAUACAGUCACUUAUGUUAUCAAUUAUCAGAAUACAGUCAUUAGUCAUGUUAGUCAUCAGCAUACUCAUGCUAUCAUGAUUUCAGAUAUAGUUAUUAUGCAUGCAAGCAUGUAUUCUCACGUUCAUAUUAGUCAGUUAGCCAGUAUUGUUCAUGCAUAUAAACCCCAUUCAUACCAGUAUAUUCAAAGUACUGACAUAUUUGCGCUACGGUUUCUUAUACCAUAGGCUCAGAGACACGAGCUCCAGUGCAUCAGUAGAUUCCAGAUAUCAGCAGUCAUAGUUAGCAGUGAGUCCUGAUCCUUCGAGGACAUGAUUAUUUCUCUAUAAUCUCAUUAAUUAGUUUAUUAGUUAGAGUUAGUUGGGAACAUGUCCCAUCAACUCCUUACUCAGACAGUUCAGUCAGUUAGAGGCUUUUCAGACAAUUAUGUUCAGUUAGUUAUUCCAGUUGUUUUGGAUUUUUCAUACCCCAUUUAGAUGUUAUGUUUUACUUGAGUUAUGUGAACCUUAUAGCCUUUCAGUUUAUGUUUCCACAUUAUUUAGUAUAUUAUGCAGUAUACAGGUAUAAAUAUCAGUGAUGGGUUAGCUUGUGAUCCUUUAAGGUCAUGACCACCGUGUAGCAUUUCGGGUAUCAGAUUUUAGGCAUUACAAACUUGGUAUCAGAGCCUAAGGUUCAAUAGAGUCCUAGGAAGUUUGAAAUUCGCAUCUAGUAGAGUCUUGUUCAUGGGUAUGUUGUGUGCCACAUUUGUGUGCAAGAGGCUAUAAGAUAUUUUAGCAACAGUUUUACUUCUUUCAGUAUUCAUGUUGUGCCAGUGAGCAUAAUCUCAAUAUAAUCUCUCAGUCUAAUACAUUUUUUCUUCUUAUUUAAGAACAUGCCUCCCAAGAGAAGAACCUAGCUUGUCUAAGAAGAUCCCUUGGACGAACAUGUUUAUCAUGUGGAGUUUAGGGCCCCAUUCACCACUCUUGCUCAGUCAGUUGCUGCUCAAAAUGAACAACCAGCUAUUAUUCUGGCCUACCCAGUGGCCAAUUCAGCUGCAUCCAGGAUUCAGGACUUCACUUGAAUGAAUCCUCCCUUCUUUCUUAGGUCUAAGACAGACGAGGACCCUCAGGAAUUUCUAGAUCAGGUGUAUAAGGUUACAGACAUAAUGGGGGUUACGUCUAGUGAGAGUGCUGAGCUAGUUGAAUAUCAAUUGCAGGAUAUGGCUAAUACUUGGUUCAAGCAGUGGAAGUCAAAGAGGGCAGACGAUGUAGGGUCAGUUGAGUGGGAGGAGUUUGCUUCCCCAUUCCUUGAUAGAUUCUUUCCCCUAGAGCUUAGAGAAGCUAAGGUGCUAGAAUUCAUCAACCUCAGGCAGGGCAAUAUGAUAGUGAAAGAGUGUUCUCUUAAGUUUACUCAAUUAGCCAGAUAUGCCCCUCAUAUGGUUGCAGAUAGUAGGGCAAAAAUGAGUAAGUUUGUUUCAGGGGUGAAUGAUAGCGUGGUUAAUGAGUGCUGAUCCGCCAUGCUAAAUAGUGACAUGACUUUAGCCCGGCUCAUGACUCAUGCUCAGCAGAUAGAGGAGCAGAAGAUUAAGAUGAGGGAGAAGCAGAAUAAAAGAGCGAAGACAGGUAGUUUCAACUUUGCUCAGCCUAAGUCAGAAACCAUUCUCAAUUUCAUCAUAAGUCAUUAGUUCCAGCUCCUUCUUCAUCCAGUUCUCUAGUUCAUAAGUUUAAAGAGGGUAACAAAGAUAGAGCGCCAGGCUCUAAGUCCCAGGGCAGUGUUAGUAGCGUUCCGGUCGAUAAAAUCCUCCGAGUGAUCAGACCUGCUAUUAAUGUGGGUAUCUCCGUUUCCCACACCUAUCCUCUUUGCCAAACUUGUGGCAAGAACUAUCAGGGUAUUUGCAGAGCUGACAAUGGUAUUUGUUUCAAAUGUGGCAAGCCAGGCCACAGAGUCAGAGACUAUCCUCAGCCAGGUCCUCAGGGUCAACAAAAUCGCUCCUCAGCUUAGGCUAGUCGCCCAAAUCAGCAAGGUGCCACCUCCAGUGCUACUAGUGGGCAACGCCCAAAUCAUCUCUAUGCUCUUUAGUCCCGACAAGAUCAGGAAAAUUCUCCUGAUAUGGAUACCGAUAUGUUACAGAUCUUUCAUGUGCAGAUUUACGUUUUGCUAGAUCCAGGAGCUUCUUUUUGUCACUCCUUAUUGUAGACACCUAGUUUCUUCCCUCCCUGACAUCACUUUUACCUAUUUUUACUUUAUCCUACCGUGUACCCUCAUCUACAUGAUAACCCCUCCAUAAAAUGACAAAAUAAUGACCAACUCUAAAUAAAUUUUUAUCACAAAGUUCCCACCUUAUCUCAAUUGAUAACAAAUUAACAACCCUUCCUAUUAAAUUAGGCCACCUCACCACUACCUACCCAUGCCCUCAACCCCCCUACACAUUUUCUUUCCUUUAAAGGAAAUAAUAAAGAAUAAAAAAAAGGCCAACUCAUCAUCACCUGGAAAAUUACCCUUUCCAUAUACAUAUAAAUCAUUUACAAACGCACACCAAAAAAUUCCAUCUUCUUCCACAUAGAUGAACGGGCACUGAUAUAGAAAAAAAACUCUAUUUUCCUGAUUUUCUUCUUCACGGGUAGAGAAACAGAACAAAGAAUAGAGAGAGAGAGUAGUGAAGAGGGAGAGACAGAAGGGAGAAGUCGAGGCUAAUGAUUCCGGCAAGUUUCUCGCCAUAAAAUGUUGUUGUUGCUUUAAAAUUGGGCUGUGAUCCAUUUCCCAGUGCUGUCUGAGCCUUUUUCAAAACUCCGAUGAAGAAACAACCAAAUCAGUUCCCUCCCGUCGUCUUUUCUCGCUCAAAUUUCACUGGAGAUUAUAUAAUGGUCAUCGACAAUUUUCUAAUCUCGUUAGCUUCUGUGAGUUCCUAGCUUCGUUGGGAUUAAUUGGUUAUAGAAUUAGUUGUUCAAGUUUGGUUCGUCGGGUUAGAGAUUUGAGUUGCAGGUUCGUGGAUCGAGGUUUGGUUAGAGGUUUUUGGUGCAGACUUUCUUUAUUCUAAUAACAUUGAAUUCAAAAGCUACAAAUGAGGUCCAAUUCUACUCUUUCACCUCUUUUAUUUCAUUAUUGAUUAUAUCCGGUGCAUUGAAUUGAAUACCAUGUUGGUUGAUCCGUGCUGAUGUGAAUUUUUUGUUGUUUUGAUUCAUCAUUUGAUUCCCUUGAUUGUGAAUUGAUUAUGGAUUAUGUGAUGAAAUGGUAUCUCGUUUGAGAAUUAAAAUUGGUUGUUUUGGGGGCAGAAGUUAAAAGUUGAUAAAGUGAUUAUUGUUAUUUUGAUUCAUUGAUAUCGAACUUGGUAGUAUCGUGAUAGGCCGAGUGGGAUAGGAAAAUAUAGGUUCGGGUAGGCAAAUUUAGAACUUUUGUUUGGGUUGAAUGUUGGAAUGUGCAUGUGAGUAUCUCUUUCUAGUUUAUCGUAUUUAAUUCAUAUGCAUUCAUUUAGCUGGGGAAUGCCCUGAGACACAUUGUAUUUAUUCAUCGAAAAAUGCCCCGACGUAUUGUGCUACCGAAAAACAUCCGUGAUGAAGGCUCAAGGCAUCGGGUGAAGCAUGAGAGCAUAGUUAGGAUUAGUGUAGGUUAGAAUAGGAUUUACAUUUCACAAUUUUUAUUUUGGACUGUAUAAUUGGAUUGAACAUUGUAUUUUGAAUUUUCUUUGUUUUGUGUGUUUGAUUGAUCACUUUAUGUGUUUUGUGUGGAUUUAUACAUUUGUAAUGUCAAUUAGCCGAUACACUCCACCAAGCGACCGUGGACGAACCAUGGGAUCGAGGUGUGCCUAACACCUUCCCCUCGAUCAAUAGAAAUCCUUAGCCGGAAUCUCUGUUAGCACACCAGUUUCAAAGAGUCAAAUGAUUUUGAAAAGAAUUUUUCAAAAGUGACUUGGCACACCAGAUUAUGGCAAGUGGAGACUCUGAACAAAAAUGUAAAUAGUCUUUUUUGAAACAAAUUUUCAUCUUUUGUCAAUUUAGUAAAUAAAACCCUUGUGAACUUAAAAUAUAAUCUCUUUGGUGGUAAAAAGGGGGUGUGACAGUUCUGGAGACUCCGCUGGGUAUUUUUCAAAAUUUGAGCUAAUUUGGAGUUGUAUCAGCUUUGUUUGACAUUAUGGGUGUAUAGACACUGUUUGUGUUAUUGUUCGUAUUCAUUCUAUCAGUGUUGAGUGCCUACGUGCUCUUUGUUUACAGUUUUACUUUAUGUGUUACCGCUUUAUAUCUGACAUCAUGUGCAUAACCUGAGUCAUUCUUUUUGCAACAAGUCUGUAGUACACGUGUUGUACACGACCUCUAGUUGAGUCAGUCUUAUUUUAGGAGGGGGAGCCAUCGGUGUUAUGGAGUGGGUGGAAAGCUUUCGCAGCCACUAUCGACCAUACACCCCCCGAACAGCCUUGUUAGUGAACCCUAGCGUAGGUCAGCCUUUAGGUCAUGCUUAUCUGCAUCAUAUUGAGACCUAGCGGGACCCACUUGGUCCUUCGUAGGAGACUCACCUUUAAAGCAUCUGUACGUGCUAAAUGUUGCAUCUCUGAGGAUAGCGUGGUCAUUUGACGAACCGAUUUGGGGAAAACAUGUGUUAGAAGUAAAGUGUGUAGACAAGAAAGUGUUGAAAAAAAGGAGAAAAAGAAAAGGUGUCAAAAAUAAAAGGGAGUGUUUUGUAAGUUUUUAGAAUUCUUUAUGGCUUUUGAUUUUUUUUCACAAUCCAAAAAUUCAAAAGAUUUUUUUCCUUUCGCACUCAUUUUCUCAAAAAAAAAAAAAAAAUCCAAAAGUUUUUUCUUUUAUUUUUUUACCAUGCAUUCAUAAUUCAAAAAUUUUAAAAAGAUUUUUUUCAUAGUUGUUGGUGUCAUUUUUAUGUGAAGUGUCUAAUUGAAAAACCCCAAAAAAUAUUUAUUAAUGGAUUUUGUCGUUUGUCUUUGGUAGUGUCUCUUAAAUCAGGGUUCUGUUUGCUAGUUAAUCCUUAAUUGUCUAAUCUGAACGAACUACACACCCCUUGAUUCUCUUCUCUUGGGAGUGAGAUACGUAGGCAACCUAUUAUAGGUUCGGGGAUCUUAUUUAAAAAAAUUCAAAAAUAUUUUCUUCACUCUUCAUUUAGAGUAGGUGUUUCAUACAUGUCUUGAAAAGAAAAAUACAAAAAAAAAGAUUUUUCUCAAUAGUCGUAGGUUUCAUUUUUGGUUGAUCUUAUUUCAAAAAUCCAAAAAUAAUUUUUUCACUCUUCAUUUAGAGUAGGUGUCAUAUGCAUCAAUAAAAGAAAACUACAAAAGAUUUUCCUUUAAUAGGUUCAAGUUUCUUUUUCGUAUGAAGUGCAAAAUUGAAAACCCAAAAAGACUUUCUUUGGUAAUCAUAGGUUUCAUUUUUUAUAGGGUUAUUAAAGCUGAAAAAUUCAAAAAAAGAUUUUCGUCUAUUCUUUUGACAAUUUGUCAUUUUUCUUUUCUUCUUAAAAUUCCAAGAACAGGAAAAAGAGUUUAAUUGGCCAUUUUGACAAGACUUCACAAACUACGCACACCUGAUUCUCUUCUUUCGGGAGUGAAGUACGUAGACGCCCUUCUUGGGUUCGGUGAUCUUUUCAAAAAAAAAAAACAAAAAGAAAAAAGAGAGAUUUUGAGAAAGUGUUGAACUCUAACGCAUUUUCUAUCUCUUGUUCAGUUAGUUUGAGGUAGUUGGUUUGUGGCAUUUUGGCUGGUCCUCCAUAUUGCACCAAGUCACAGAGAAGGUUAUGGACAACAAGGAUACCGAGUUUGUUGUCACUAAUCAGAUAGGGAGUUCAGAAAAUGAGAAUUUAGGAGAUAAUGAAGAGAUUCAGAAAUUAAGGCAGCAAAUGAUAGAAAUGCAUCGAGCUUGGGCUAAUGGGUUGCCGUCUCCUCCAGUUUCCACUGAUAAUCUGGAAUAUCUUUCUAGCUUACCUUUCAUGUCACAUGCACAAUUUACCAUUUUUGUUGAUAUGCCACAACAUGCAUCAGGAUCGACUCCGGGGCAACAAUAUCCAACCACUUCCAAUGUUCAUUUUCUCACUCCCCAAUCCAAGACUGCCACAUACUCGGCUUCACCUGCUAUUCAUCCUUUUGCGGCGCCACCCCCACCUGAAUCUCCUACUUUUGAUUUUCAUCCACAAGUUGUGCCUCCCUACUCUACAAGAGAGCCUGCAUUGAAUAUUACUGGUGAUCAGCGUUACACUUUUGAGCCUACAUUCAAGUUGACUGGUCAUUAUGGUGAUACUCACCCGCCUGAAUUUCCUCCUAACACUGAGAAGCCUGUUAUGACAGAAGAACAAGAGGAAAUGACCAGAAAAUUAAGAAGUUUGGAACUGGAUAUGAAGAACUUGCAAGGACUUGAGGGUUACAAAAGUGUCUCAUAUAAGGACAUAUGCAUGUUUCCAGGUGUCAACCUUCCUCUUGGCAUUAAAAUGCCAAAGUUUGAGAAAUAUGAUGGACAUGGGGACCAGUGGCACAUUUGAGGCGCUAUUGUAACCAAUUAAGAGGCGCUGAAGGGAAGGAAGAACUACUUAUGGCUUAUUUCGGGGAGAGUCUUUCAGGCCUAGCUUCAGAAUGGUUUGUUGACCAAGACAUCGAUAAGUGGAUUAGUUGGGAUGACCUAGCUAUUAAAUUUUUGCAACAAUUUCAAUACAAUAUGGAGUUGAUCCCUGACGAAAAAUCCCUAACUAGUAUGAAAAAGAAGAAUACUGAGCGCUUCAGGGAGUAUGCGAUCAGAUGGCGCGAACAAGCUGCUAGAGUGAAACCGCCAAUGAAAGAAAGCAAAAUAGUGGAGGUGUUUAUUCAAGAACAAGGUGAAACAUAUUACCAACACUUGUUACCUGCAUUGGGCAAGUCAUUUAUUGAGGUCCUUAAAAUGGGGGAGAUGAUAAAAGAAGGAAUUAAGAUGGGUGGCAUUGUGAGUUUUGUAACAUUGAAAGAGACUACUCAAGCAACUCAAAAGGGUUCAGGAAUUGUUGGGGAGACAAAGAAUGAGGAAGAUGCAUCUGCUAUUGUAGUUGGAUCGCGGGAAUGGUCAAGAAGACCCAGUCGUCUUCACUCUCAGGAAAAAACCCAAGUUCAUGCCCAAGCUCCACAUAAUCACUCCCAAAAUCCAUUAUACUCUGCUCCUUCACCUCCAUAUCAAAGUACAACCUCAUAUUCAACGCCUAUCUUACCCACAGUGGAACACACCAACUCCUUAGAGUCAUUCUCUAACUCCACAAACAUACCAAAACCCUUCUAAGCCUGAUUUUUGAUCUAAGUCAAAUGAUGAAAUAAGUUAAAAGUCGAGAGAUAGCUUCACACCAAUUGAAGAGUCGUAUGCCAGUUUAUUUCAGAGAUUGGUACAAUAGGGCAUGAUCACUUCUCUCCUUCGGUGCACUCUUAAUCGGUGUUCAAUAAAUUUUUAUCCUAAUAUACGAUGUGCAUAUCAUUUUGAUGCUCAGGAUCAUAGUAUUGAAGAUUGUCGAGAUUUGAAAAGAGAAAUUGAAAAUAUGAUUUAAGAUGAAUCAAUUAUGGUGCAGAACAUUGACAGUGAGGGAAGUUCUAGUCAUGCUGAUAUCCGGUGCAUUGACUUGAAUACCGUGUCGGUUGAUCCGUGAUGAUGUGAAUUGUUUGUUGUUUUGAUUCAUCAUUUGAUUCCAUUGAUUGUGAAUUUAUUAUAGAUUAUGUGAUGAAAUGGUAUCUCAUUUGAGAAUUAAAAUUGGCUGCUUUAGGGAAGAAGUUAAAAGUUGAUAAAGUGAUUAUUGUUAUUUUGAUUCAUUGAUGUCGAACUUAGUAGUAUCGUGAUAGGCCGAGUGGGAUAGGCAAAUAUAGGUUUGGGUAGGCAAAUUUAGAACUUGUGUUUUGGUUGAAUGUUGGAAUAUGCGUGUGAGUGUCUCUUUCUAGUUUAUCGUAUUUAAUUCAUAUGUAUUCAUUUAGACGGGAAAUGCCCUGAGACAUAUUGUAUUUAUUCACCGGGAAAUGCCCCGACGUAUUGUGUUGGCGAAAGACAUUCAUGAUAAAGGCCUGAGGCAUCGGGUGAAGCACGACAGUGUAGUUAGGAUUAGUGUAGGUUAGAACAGGAUUUACAUUUUUCAAUUUUUAUUUUGGACUGUAUAAUUGGAUUGAACAUUGUAUUUUAGAUUUGCUUUGUUUUGUGUGUUUGAUUGAUCACUUUAUGUGUUUUGUGUGGAUUUAUAUAUUUGUAAUGUCAAUUAGCCGAUAUGCUCCACCAAGAUACCGGGGACGAACCAUGGGAUCGAGGGGUGCCUAACACCUUCCCCUUGAUCAAUAGAAUUCCUUAGUCAAAAUCUCUUUUCGCGCACCAGUUUCAAAAAGUCAAACGAUUUUGAAAAGGAUUUUCCAAAGGUGACUUGGCACACCGGAUUAUGCUAAGUGGCGACUCUGAACAAAAAUGUAAAUAGACCUUUUUGAAAUAAAUUUUCAUUUUUUGUCACUUUAAUAAUUAAAACCCUUUCGAACUUAAAAUAUAAUCUUUUUGGUGGUAAAAAAAGUGUGUGACACUUAUAUAGCAGUAGAUUUCAGAGUCAUUCUCAAAAAUCUAGCAGAGCCCUUUUCAGUUUCUACCCCAGUGGGUAAAACUAUUAUAGCUCAGCGGGUAUAUAGGAACUGCCCGGUUAUGAUAUCUCAAAAAGUCACUUUAGCAGACUUAGUCGAAUUAGAGAUGACUGAUUUUGAUGUCAUUUUCGGCAUGGAUUGGCUUGAUUCCUGCUAUGCCACAGUCGACUAGAGAAACAAAAUAUUUUAAUUUUAGUUUCCGAAUGAACCCAUCCUAGAGUGGAAGGGUAGUGUAUCCGCUUUCAGAGGUCAUCUUGUUUCCUACCUUCGGGCACGAAAAAUGAUAUCUAAAGGAUGUGUCUAUCAUCUUGUUUAAGUUAAGGACACUAGUUCCGAGACUCUCAAUCUUGAAUCAGUUCCAGUUGUAAAUUAAUAUUCAGAUGUUUUUCCCAAAGAUCUUCCAGGAAUUCCUCCCAAAAGAGAAAUAGACUUCGGUAUUGAUCUUCUUCUGGAUACUCAGCCUAUCUCUAUUCUUCCAUACAGACUGGAACAAUAGAACUCAAAGAACUGAAAGAGUAGUUGAAAGAUCUCUUAGAUAAGGGAUUCAUCAGACCGAGUACUUCCCCGUGGGGUGCACCAGUCUUAUUCAUGCGCAAGAAAGAUGGUUCUCUCAGAAUGUGCAUUGAUUACCAUCAACUUAAUAAAGUCACGAUCAAGAACAAGUAUCCUCUUCCCAGAAUCGAUGACUUGUUUGACCAACUUCAGGGUGCUAGCUAUUUCUCCAAGAUAAACCUCAGAUUCGGCUAUCAUCAGCUCAGAGUCAGAGAAUGUGACAUUUCAAAAACAGCUUUCCAUACUUAGUAUGGUCACUUUGAAUUUUUAGUCAUAUCCUUUGGUCUCACCAAUGCCCCAACAGCUUUUAUGGACUUGAUGAACCGUGUGUUCAAGCAGUACUUGGACAUGUUCGUCAUAGUCUUCAUAGAUGAUAUUCUGGUCUAUUCCCGCAAUGAGCAAGAUCAUGCAGACCAUCUCAAAAUAGUACUUCAGACUCUCAGAGAUCAUCAGCUAUUUUCCAAAUUCAGUAAAUGCGAAUUUUGGCUAAGGUCAGUAGUAUUCCUUAGCCAUAUUGUUUUUGGUGAUGGCGUUAGAGUAGAUCCUCAAAAGACUGAAGUAGUAAGAAACUGGCCUCGCCCUAUCUCUCCAUUAGAUAUUAGGAGUUUCCUGGGUUUGGUUGGCUAUUAUAGAUGGUUUGUUGAGGGAUUUUCUUCUAUUGCAUCCCCUAUGUCCAGAUUGAGUUAAAAGAAAGUCAAGUUUCAGUGGUCAGAUCCUUGCGAGAAGAGUUUUCAGGAGUUGAAGACUCGACUUACCUCAGCUCUAGUUCUAGCUCUUCCAGAUGGUUUAGAUGGGUUCGUUGUUUAUUGUGAUGCAUCUAGAGUAGGUUUGGGUUGUUUCCUCAUGCAGCAUGGUAAGGUCAUAGCCUACGCCUCCAGACAACUUAAACCCCAUGAGAAGAUUUAUCCUACUCAUGAUCUUGAGUUAGUAGUCGUAGUAUUUGCAUUAAAGAUUUGGAGGCUUUACCUAUACAGUGUUCAUAUAGAUGUGUUCAUAGAUCAUAAGAGUCUUCAGUAUGUCUUUUCUCAGAAAGAUCUUAAUCUUCGUCAGAGAAGGUGGUUAGAGAUCUUGAAAGAUUAUGACAUGAGUGUCCUUUAUCAUUCGGGCAAGGCCAACGUAGUGGCCGACACUCUCAGUAAUUGUCCAUGGGUAGUGUUUAUCAUGUUGAGGAUAGUAAGAAAAAGUUAGCUCAGGAAGUCCAUCAGCUUGCGAGACUAGGCAUUCUCUUAGUCGAUUCUUCAGAGGGCGAUAUAUGGGUUAAGAGUAGUUCAGAAUCAUCUAUAGUUUCUGAGGUAAAAGAAAAGAAAGAUAGAUAUCCCAGCUUUGUCAAGUUGAAAGAGUCAGUUUAGAAUAAGAAAGUAGAGGUUUUAUCCCAAGAGGGAGAUGGUGUUCUGCGUUGUCAGGGUUGUCUAUGUGUUCCAGUUGUAGACGACUUAAGGCAGCGAAUUCUUAUAGAAAUGCAUGGUGUGCGCUACUCUAUUUAUCCAGUGUCCAUAAAAAUGUAUUACAAUUUGUGGGAAAUCUAUUGGUGGAGUGGGAUGAAGAGAUAUGUUGCAUAUUUUGUGGCUAAGUGCUCUACAUGUCAUCUGGUUAAGAUAGAGCAUCAAAAGAUUAGUGGGUCCAUGCAGAAGUUCAGUAUUCUUACUCGGAAGUGGGAAGAAGUGAACAUGGACUUCGUGAUGGGUUUACCUCGAACUCGUCAUGAGCAUGAUUCAGUCUGGGUCAUUGUAGACAGAAUGACCAAAUCAGCCCAUUUCCUUCCAGUCCAUACCUCUUAUUCAACCGAGGAUUAUGCAAACUCUACAUCAAGGAGUUUGUCAGAUUGCAUGGUGUUCCGCUAUCUAUUAUCUCAGACAGAGGUACCCAGUUCACCUCUCAUUUCUGGAAAGCAUUCCAAAAUGGUCUUGGUACCCAAGUUCAUCUCAGUACAUCCUUCCAUUGAUACGCCUAAAUUACACCUCUCUUAUGAGAGAGUAAGAGGUCGUUGUCAAAUAUAUAACCCAACUAGGUUGGGGCCGAAUCCCACAGGGAAUAUGGUGUUAAUUAAGUUGUAUGCAGAUUAGUUGACUUUUAAUCGUUCGUUUCCGUAAAAUAAAUAGGGGGAUUUGAUUCAGUUCACAAAUUAAUGGUUUCAGUUUAACAAGAUGAAAUAUGUGUAGUAGUAUUCAAAUUCAGAGAAAUAGCAAGCUAGGGUUAUGUCCAUCUUGUAGUUUUCAAUACUUACUAACUAUGGGCUUUAUGAAUUCAUACAUGCAUUGUGCUUACAGAGAAAUGUAUUGUAUUUAAUAACAUAAUCCUAGUGUUUCUGAACCAUCAAGGACUAAUUCACUUUAGUUCUCUCGAAUCAAAAGCGUUCACCAAAAACAAUACGAAAUCUCCAAGUAGUUAAUCCUGCUAAGGCACUAACUUAUAAAAUAGGGGUUGGUAAUCCUAUUUUCUUGUCACUACUCUCUUUUUCGAACAUCAACCUUUCUUUCGAACAAGUGCAACCAUGAGAAUUCAAGAUAAGCGAAGAGAGUAUGAUGUAAACAAAUCAAUGCAUAAUGAAUUCAAAACCCAAAGUGAUAGAUUGUAUGCUACAAGGAUUCCAUAACCCUAACUAAUAAAAUUAGCUACUCGUGGAUAAAAUGAAAAUCACAAUAGAAAUAUUCAUCAUACCAAAAACUAGAAGAUGAUCUUGGUGUGCGAAUUGUGAGAACAAGAGAAAAACAUUUCUCUCUGUCUCCCUCUUCAAAAACUAAUACAGAAUAAUGAAUAAUCAAUAAAAAUUCAGCAUUAAGCCUUUUAAUAAUCUUUUCUCUAAUAAUUGCCUUCUAAGUCCCUGAACUAAUUAUAAAUGACAAAGUAGUCUUAGACAUAGUUGCUAGGCGCCACAUUUGGUCCAGUUUGCUACUCUCUCUUGUGUCAUAUGCCAUCCGCAUUCCAUAGUCCCAUAAUAUCUUCAUCUACCUCAUUAAUACCUGAAAUCAUGUUAAUCACAUCGGUUAGCUCAAUUACAUAGAAGUAGAGUAAAAACACAAGAAACUAGUCACUUUAUCCUCUAAACUUAGCUAAAAUAUGGAUAAGUUAUGGUGCUUAGGCAUAUAAAUACACCCAAGAUCACCACCCCACACUUAAAGCUUUGUUCGUCCUCGAACAACAUAUCCAUUUAUGCAUACUACACAAUUCUUAGCACCCACAACGUAAAACAAGAUGCUUAAAUAGGCUCACACAACAAUUAUGAACAAGAAGUACAUUAAGUAAUCAUUACUAGAGACAACCUACCCUCAAGAAUAGACUCAUUAAGUUGGCAAUUUCAUGCAUAUCGUUUAAGCAUAGAAAUAUAUAAAUUGCCCAACCUUCAUCAACCAUGUGCCCUCACAACAAGAAAGUUACCCAUAAUCACUCACAAUCAUGCAAUUUCUAACAAAAUGGGAACAAGAAUCAAGUUACGCCCACUCUCACAAAGAAUUCUGAAAUUACAACUGAUGACCAUAUGCUUGCCCUUAGUGUAAUAUACUCCACUAAUACCAGAAUGCUAUGAUUAGGAUCAAAUAGGUCUUUUAGGGGUUAUAAUGCAGGCAAAAGGAUGGAUAGGAACUAUUUUGGCCAGAAAUAGUGACUAUCUUCCCUAAGCACUUUAAUACACUACAUUAUGCAAUUAAGACUAAUCUCUAACAACCAAUUUCCACUUCUGCUAUCUUCACAGAUUUGUUUUUCACCCCAACUCGUUAAGCUUAAUUAAUAACACUAUGGUGGGAGUAUGCAACCCUUUCAAAUAUUUUUUUUGGCACCCUUUUCAUGUUACGCACCCCUAUAAUAUCCACCCUUAACUUAAGCGAUUUGCCUUAGUUGAGGUGCAUAAUGUCCAAGAAGGACCAGGGCCAAAACAGGUUCAUUGUAACAUGUCCGAGAUAAAAUUUAGAAUUUUUUCAUCAAUUUUUGCUACUCCCAAUCACAUCAAUUUCACACGCCAAUAACUAGACUUUGGGGCUUCAAUUUCACCUUUUUUCUCUAAUUGUCAAACUUCUAACUCAAAUUGAUUUUACAUUAAAGCGUUUAGGAUCUUUCAGAUCAAAUUACGGUCUAUUAAAGAAUGGAUUAGGCUACAUAUAAGGCUAACAAUAGAACAAUCUAAAGGAUUGAUGGGGCUAGCUUAGAUAAUGUACAAAGGUAGGUCAAAAUAAGGUAUGAACAAUGGCUAUCAAAGAAAUGCCUAAAUCAUCUCCUAAACUCACAAUCUUUGUUCACUUUGCAUACACCCCAGGUAAGUUCUAGCAUCAGUUGCAAUAAGGAAUAUACAACAGUCUUACACACUCAUGGCACAUGGUCAACUCAAUUAGGAGCAUUAUAGAUUCUCGACCCAAUAAUUACAUGAAUCAAAUAAAACCAACAAUCACACAAGAGUCACAACUAGAGCCUAGGUAUUUCAAAUGUAAUGAUCCAUCACAUACUUAUGUUAUAAUGUCAUGUGAUCCACAAGAAUAGUUACAUGCAAUUAAAUGAAAAAUUUUCUCUUAAGACGGUCGUCAUCCAUCAUCGAGAAAAGUAUCUAAUUAUGACUAAAUAGAAUAAACAUCUAACAAGAAACAAAAUAAACAAAAUAACUAAUCCUAUCACAGAAAAAUGCUAAGGAGAAGGUACUAUUUUCUUACAAAACAAGUAGCAAAGUAACCAGCCACCCCACACUCAAGCUCAGCACUGUCCCCAGUGCAAAUAACAAGAUAAAGAACCUGGCUAGUAGUACUCCUCAUCCACAUUAGGAUCCAUGCCACCUGCAUUGAGAUCAUCAUCAAAGCCAUUUUCCCUGUGUUCGUCAUAUCAUCCAUGUCAGCCACACAUAAUGAAACUAACUACAAUUAAGAUAAAGGGGGUGAAGUCACCACCCCAUACUUAAUUUGUUAGUAUAAACCAAUUAAGUGUUAUUAUCGGGUACUCAGACUUCGCCGACAUACACUUUGGUAUGGUCCACCUACAUUAUUCGCAAUACAAUUCACUCACUUCAAUUCCCCCAAUUCUAUUUCAAUGAAGCACUUUUUAAACAGAAUCAUGCUCUACACUUUCAACCAUACCAAACUAUACAAAAUACCAUCACUUUCACAACAUCGCCAUGGCAAGAAUUUUAUUCAUAAUCCUUUAGAAAUCAAUUAACUAUAACAUAGAGUCACAAUAACUAAGGAUUAAAAAAUAAAAAUGAAACUUACCUCGAAGAUGGAAGAUUAGUGAAGGACAAAGAGAAUGGUGAGAGCUCAAUAUUAGACGGCUUAAGGUUGAAAUAAGGAUGAAUUUGGGCAUUUAGGGUGUGAAGUCUAUUUGAAGAAUGAAAAUCUGGGUCGGGUUAACCUAAGUUAAAGUUGGAAGUCGGGUUUUAGGCUUAUUUGGACUAAGUUUGCGACUCACAUCUUAUCUCACAUCUCAAAGUAUGUGUCGCAUACGUUGUCGCACAGUUGGGACAGUGAGCCUAUGCGGAGAAGUGGGCAACGCACUACCUAUCACAGACAUCAAGGUAUGCGUCGCAUAAGGUAUCGCAGACUUAAGGCAGUGGGCAUGUACGGCUAGGUGUGCAACACAUAUCUUAUCACACAUGUUAAAGUAUGUGACGUAUAAGUUAUCGCACACAUCAAGGUGUGCGGCGCAUUGUGCAUCGCAUAGUUUGUCCAGUGAGCAUGUGUGAUGGUAUGUGCGGCAUACUCUUGGUCGGAAAGGUCCAUACCACGGGGGCUUUGCCCUCGCAUCCCCAUCUAGGUCAGUGGUAGGCUUCGGGAUCGGGCCUAUCGGCCCAAUCCCUACGCUACCACCACAGACCUUAUUGAAAGUCACUAAAUAAAGUCUCACCGUGAAACUUUUUGGGGUGGAUUAACAUAAUUCGAGGCAUGACUCUAAUGUAAAUCAUACUUGAGCCUUACACAUUUGACCACUCCAACUUACCUGUAAUGUUCCCAUCACUCCUAAACUUACCACCAUUGACAUAGCUCAAUUCCAAAUCAAAUUUGGUAAUAAUCUCCUCCUUAGUACUUCAUGCACCUACACUUACUCAAAAACAACAAAAAUGAUUAGAAGGAUGGUUUGCCUCCCACAAAGUGCUGUAGUUUUGGUCAUGGCUCGACUCUUUUUUUUCUAUUUUUGUUUAACAUGAUAAAGUGAAAAUAAAAUCAUGGGUUGCCUCCCAUGUAGCGCCUGAUUUAACGUCGCAGCACGACUCGAUUAUCUUGACUACUCAGACUUUGUCAAGAUACAUCGAUGAUACCAUUUGUACCUCAUUUGUUCGAUCAAGAUAAUGCUUUAUUCCUAGUCCAACCACUUUGAAGUCACUCAUAUCCUUGCUUGCAAGUUCAACCAAACUAGCUAUGGUCUACACAAAAGACAUAUCCUUAACUGGUACAUCUCGCUCAUCUUCAUAGAAUACAUUAACAAUUGAGAAGACACUCAUCUCCUUUUGUUAUUUCAUACACCGAUAUACUUCAAAACUAACUUCUUUCUCAUUAAGCCUAAAUUUUAGCUCAUUCAGCUCCAUGUCAACUAACACUCUCCCAGUUGCUAAGAACGGCCUAUCCAAAAUUAUAGGUACUUCAAAGUCCACUUCAUAAUCAAGAAUUACAAAGUCAACAAGCAGGAAAUAUAAAAUUAACAACUGUUAUAAGUACAUCAUGUAGAAUCCCAAUCGGCCUUUUUACCGAUCUAUCCGCCAUUAGAAGCUUCAUAUUGGUGGGUGUAGGAUCUCCCAAACCCAGUUUCUUGAAAACCGUCUAUGGCAUAAGAUUUAUACUUGCCCCAAGAUCAUAAAGGGCCUUUUCAAACUUUAGCAAUCCAAUCGUACAUGGAACAGUAAAUGCUCCUGGAUCAGAUUUCUUUUGGAAAAUAGAUCUUGUAGCAAUAGCACUACAAUAAUGAAGGUUGUCUACCAUUUCAUAGCUCACAGUCCUUUUCUUCAUCAACAGGUCUUUCAUAAACUUAGCAUAUCCGAGCAUCUGUUCCAGUGCUUCAACUAAGGGCACAUUCACUGUCAACUGCUUCAACAUAGCCAUGAAUUUGCUAAACUUGCCAUCAUCUUCUUUCUUCUUUAAUCAUUAUGGAAAUGGGGGUGGUGGCCUUGGGAUUUUAGUUAGAACAACGUCUACCUCUUUUCUUAUGCCUUGCUCCAUAUCACUAACAUAUUUCUGCUUAGGUGGUUGUUCCAUUUCUAAACUCUUCUUUUCUGAACCUUCCAACUUCAUAGGCACCACUGGAGAUUCAUCAACCAUCUCCCAAUCUAUUUCGACCUUAUCAGUAGAAGAGGAUGCUCCCAAACCUGGACUAGAUAAUAUCUUAUCGCUUCUAGUAGUAAUGGCCACACACGAUCCAUCAGUCCUCGGAUUUUAAACUGUAUCACUUGGUAGAGUCCCAUUCUAUCUUUGGUUAAAUGCUGUGGAUAAUUGACUCAUCUGCUGCUCCAGUUGUUUAAUAGCGAUUGAGUGCGAAUUUACUAGUUGACUCAUUAAAGAUAUGUCACUCUUCAUAGUAGUCACCCCAGAAUUGGUCGCCUCAACUCCCUUUAAUAGUUUCUCCAUCAUGUCCUCCAUGGACAUUUUACCUGAGCUAGUGGCAGCAUUAUCACGACUUCCAGGAGGUACAUACAGUCCACUCCUAUCAUUUUUAUUCUUCCAAUCUCCUUCAUAGUUAACCUCUUCCUCAGUGUUUGAUUCAGCUCCCUUACCAUGGGACCCCACAGUUUUUACCUUUUCUACAUUUCCUGAUAGCAAAUAUUUCAUGAGCAGAUCCAUCUGGGUUUUCAUGUGAGCCAUAUCCUGAUCACACUCCUCUUCUCUCUUAUGCUGCUCUACUGAUAUUACACUAGACCCAGUAUUGCUUGCUACCACAAAAUUUUUGGUAUGCCAAGCUCUACUUGUCUUAGUCAUUCUUUCUAACAUGUCCGCAGCCUUAGAAAGGUAAGCUCCAUAAAAGCUCCUCCUGUAGCAUUAUCCGCCAUUGGCUUUGUAAGUGAGUUCAAAGCUCUAUAGAAUAUUUCAAUCAAGUGUUCAUCAGUCAUCUUACAAUUUGGGCAUUGAGUCAACUUCUUUUUAAACCUUGCCCAAGUCUCAUGCACAACUUCAUUGGCUAAUUUCCUAAAGUUGCUGAUCUCAUCCCUUAACUGUAACAUUUUGGAGGGCGGAAAGAACCUUUCUAGGAAAGCUCCUUUCAGUUGCCUCCAGUUUGUUAUAGAAUCAGGAGUCAGCUCAUUCAAUCACAUAGUUGCUUCUCCAGACAGAGACAGUGGGAACAAUCUUAAACGAAUAGCAUUUUGUCCCACUCCAGGAUUAUCAAAUGACUUACAAAUACUGAUGAAAUUCACUAAAUGUAGAUUUGGGUCAUCACCAAGUAAUCCACCAAAGAGUCCUUUCAGAUUCAGUAGCUGGAUCAUAGUGCUGGUGAUGUUGAAUUUCAUCCCAGGAGCUAGUGGUGGUAGAAUAAUUGCCCCUAUAUAUCUAGUUCCAUCUAAAUCAUCCUCAUCAUUGUCAACAUCAAACUAUACAGCUUGGCAGUAUGGUCUUUCUCUGAAUGGACGAUUUCGAUUUACAGGUGAAACUACCCCUACUGCACGCCUCCUAUUGCCGGGUCAAUUAAAUCAUCAUCUCCCAGGUCCUCUUCAUAUAGAUUAGGUACCCAACCUGUGUUAUCUGCAUUCUGUAUAUUUAAUUGAGUAUUAGCUAAAGCGGCUAAUCUUUCAGCUUUCUGUUGGUUAGCCAUUCUUUCAAUGAGAUGAGGUUUAGGAUUGAAGGGUAAUAAUGGUUCACCUGAACUUCUGGUUCGUGGAAUAAACAACAAUGAUCCUGUAACAAACAAAAACAACAAAUAACGUAAAAUAAGAAAACUUGACUAAUAGUCCAUUACACUCAUAAACUUAAUCGACAACCGUAUUCCCCAGCAACGGCGCCAAAAUUUGAUACCCCCAAAUUACACCUCUCUUACGAGAGAGUAAGCGGUCGUUGUCAAAUAUAUUACCUAACUAAGUUGGGGUAGAAUCCCACAGGGAAUAUGGUGUUAAUUAGGUUGUAUGCAGAUUAGUUGACUUUUAAUCGUUCGUUUCCGUAAAAUAAAUAGGGGGAUUUAAUUCAGUUCACAAAUUAAUGGUUUCAGUUUAACAAGAUGAAAUAUGUGUAGUAGUAUUCAAAUUCAGAGAAAUAGCAAGCUAGGGUUAUGUCCACCUUGUAGUUUUCAAUACUUACUAACUAUGGGCUUUAUGAAUUCAUACAUGCAUCGUGCUUACAGAGAAACAUAUUUUAUUUAAUAACAUAAUCCUAGUGUUUCUGAACCAUCAAGGACUAAUUCACUUUAGUUCUCUCGAAUCAAAAGCGUUCACCAAAAACAAUACGAAAUCUCCAAGUAGUUAAUCCUGCUAAGGCACUAACUUAUAAAAUAGGGGUUGGUAAUCCUAUUUUCUUGUCACUACUCUCUUUUCCAAACAUCAACCUUUCUUUCGAACAAGUUGCGUUUUAAGGCAUAUCCUCUAUAUUUGCAACCAUGAGAAUUCAAGAUAAUCGAAGAAAGUAUGAUGUAAGCAAAUCAAUGCAUAAUGAAUUCAAAACCCAAAGUGAUAGAUUGUAUGCUACAAGGCUUCCAUAACCCUAACUAAUAAACUUAUCUACUCGUGAAUAAAAUGAAAAUCACAAUAGAAAUAUUCAUUAUACCAAAAACUAGAAGAUGAUCUUGGUGUGCGAAUUGUGAGAACAAGAGAAAAACAUUUCUCUCUCUCUCCCUCUUUAAAAACUAAUACAGAAUAAUGAAUAAUCAAUAAAAAUUCAGCAUUAAGCCUUUUAAUAAUCUUUUCUCUAAUAAUUAUCUUCUAAGUCCCUGAACUAAUUAUAAAUGAUAAAGUAGUCUUAGACAUAGUUGCUAGGCGCCACAUUUGAUCCAGAUUGCUACUCUCUCUUGUGUCAUAUGCCAUCUACAUUCCAUAGUCCCAUAAUGUAUUCAUCUACCUCAUUAAUACCUAAAAUCAUGCUAAUCACAUCGGUUAGCUCAAUUACAUAGAAGUAGAGUAAAAACACAAAUAACUAGGCACUUUGUUCUCUAAACUUAGCUAAAAUAUGGAUAAGUUAUGGUACACCCAAGAACAUCCAUCCUUAGACAGAUCGUCAAGAAGAAAGGACCAUUCAGACUCUAGAAGAUAUGCUAAGGGCGUGUGUUAUUGAUUUCAAGGGUAGUUGGGAUGACCACUUGCCUUUGAUUGAUCUUGCAUACAACAACAACUAUCAUUCCAGUAUUCACAUAGCUCCAUUCAAAGCUCUCUAUAGUAGGAGAUGUAGAUCUCCAAUUGGUUGGUUUGAAGUUUGUGAGGCCUCAGUUAUAGAGCCUGACUUAGUAUUCGACGUCUUAGAGAAAGUCCAGUUGAUUAGAGAAAGAUUCAUAGCUACUCAGAGCUGACAAAAGUCUUAUGCAAAUGUUCAUAGAAAAGAUCUCGAGUUCGAGAUUGGUGACUAUGUCUAUUUAAAGAUAUCUUCCAUGAAGGGAGUGAAGAGGUUCGGCAAGAAGGGAAAGCUCAGUCCCUGAUAUGUUGGUCCCUUCAAGAUUCUCAGUCGCUUUGGCAGGGUAGCUUAUGAGCUCGAAUUGGCUUCAGAUCUAGCCUCAGUUCAUCCAGCCUUCCAUAUCUAUUUGCUCAAGAAAUGUAUAGGUGACCCAGAAGUUGUAAUCCCUAUUUAUAGCAUCGAUGUUCAUAACAGCCUCUCUUAUGAAGAGAUUCUAGUUAAAAUUCUAGAUUAUCAGACUUGUAGAUUGAGGAAUAAAGAAGUCCCUCUAGUUAAGGUUCUUUGGCAAAAUUAGUCCAUCAAGGGAGAUACUUGGGAAGCAGAAGUAGACAUGCGUACCAAUUAUCCUCACCUCUUAUCCGCCAACUCUGAUCAAGCUCAAGGUAACAGUUCUCCUUAAGCUUACUCAGUUUCAUGUUCAGUGUUCGUCACAAACUUGGUAUUAAAUACCAUUGCAUAUUCAGUCAUGCAUUCAUGUAUCAACUCAGUUAUAUAAUUAUGCAUCAGACAUGCAUUUUCAUUGUGAGAAACUUAGUUCAUCAGAACACCCAGUCAUGAAUUCAUGAAUCAGUUACACAUGCAUCAGAUAUGCAUGUUCAGUAUGAUAUGUUCAGUUAUCAGUCAUGUCAGUCAUGAAAUCAUGUUCUACUUGUUCAUGUUCAUUAUGUAUGUAGGUUAUCUUCUCCUCUCACUCUCAGUCUCAUUCGAGGAUGAAUGUUCUCAAGGGGGAGAUAUUGUAAUACCCCGUACUUUUCCUGACUUGAAAUCAUCUCAAGAAUGUUAGAAGCUUUCUUUGAAAGAUGAAUCCACUUUUUUACAUGUGGUAUUUUUAAGAUUCUCACUUUUUGUCAUGUGGGAAAUUGAAUUAGCUUUCCAACGAUACCAAUUUCAUCAAAAUCCAACAUCGGAGGAGAAAGUUAGGGACAAAAUACAAAAGACAGUAAAAAACCACCCAGGUGCGACGGAGAGGCCGAUGGACCAUCGCCCAUGACCGUCGCAAGGGAAACAAUGAUUCCACUUUCUGGAUAAGGUGCGAUGGGCAGGUUGAUGGACCGUCGAACUUGCGAUGGAUCGUCGCCCAAGUCAUCGCAGCCAAGGCAGUGAGACCCUAUUCAGGUCCACAUGCGAUGGUCGGAACGACGGACCGUCGAGCCAGCGACGAACCGUCACAGGUCCCGUUCAAUUAUUUUAAGUCAUUUUUUUAAAGGAAUAUUUUUGGUCUUUUACCACCCGUUUAUAUACCCAAUUAUAUCUGACCUUAGCUUACUUUGUUCAUCAUUCUUUCACUACAACAAAACUAGGGUUUUCUCUUUAACAUUAAUCUCCAAGAACAAAAGCCAAAUCUUCUUCAAGCACUAAGAGAUUCAAAUUCUUCAAGUUCAAGAACUUCAAGAAACUCAACCCAGGUAUGCAUAGUGUUCAUUCAUGGAUUCCUUUCGUCCAUGAAGCCCAAGAAUCUCUUUUCAAAGUUUAAGUUUAUGGAUUUCCUUUAUGAAUUUCAUGAUUGGGCUGCUCUUGUUCAUGUUGAUAAUGAGUAAUUGAAUUCUAUUUCAUGAUUGGGUAAUAAAUUAUAUGUAGGUUUGAUUAGUACAUAUAUAGAUUCAUGCUAACCUAUGCCUAAGCCCUUGAAUGAUGAAAUUAGAAUUGAAUCAUAAUGUUUUAAUUGUUGUAUAAUGUUGUUUACACAUACUAUGCCUACCAUGUGUUUGAUUGAAUGCCUAGAUGAAGGAAAAUGCUUAACUAGCAUGAUAUCAUGAAAUUCCCAUGUAUGUACAAGUUUAUGCAGAUCACAUGUUUGAUGAAAUGCUUCUAUAAAUGCAUUAUGGAUUAUGAUAUGAGUCAUGUAUUCAAGAAAGUCAUGCUUUGUCAGUUUCUUUCCAUCGAGUCCUGGGGCUACUUGUACCCGAAAUAUUCCCUAUGUGCCUAAAGCCAAGUCAUGUUUCUAUGAUACUCUCAGUCAAGCCAUGAUCCUUAGACUUCAGACAGUCUUAUGACUCAGGAAAUCUCCAUGAUCUCAUGAACUCAAUUAGUUGUCAGAUAUCAGUUGUAUUCCGUCAGUGAACGGAAGUUAGUAACUCAGUUCAUGUUCAGUUCAGUAACUCAUAUUCAGUGUCUAUUCAGAUGGGAGUAGAAAUUAGCACCGAGUGAACCCAAGGAAUGGAAAUCACCUAUUAUAUAAGGGUGUGAUUCUUAGAAGCAAAUCCUUGCAUUCCAGAACUAUGUAGCCAGCAUAGGUUGAGACAUAAUAGCCUGCUAUAUGAGGGUAGAUGAGGUGUCUUAACCUGCUAUAUGAGGGUUCCCACUAUUCUCACUAGAGUUACCUGUUAUAUUAGGGUUACUCACACAUUGUCCUUACCAGCGGCUCGGUAUUGCCAAGCAGGGCACAGAUUGGACCCCAAUUCAGCUAUAAUGCAUCAUUUUGGUCAUGUCGUUUAGAUGAAUACCUCCCACAGUCUCAGUAUCAGUAUUAGUAAAAGAACUCAGAUAGUUCUUCAGAAUUCGGGAUUGUCAGAUACAGCCAACUCAGAUACAGUACGAAACUCAGCUAGUUCCAUCAGAUUCAGGACCAUCAGAUACAGUCACUCAUGUCAUCAGUUAUUAGAAUACAGUCAUUAGUCAUGUUAGUCAUCAGCAUACUCAUGCUAUCACGAUUUCAGAUAUAGUUAUUAUGCAUGCAAGCAUGUAUUCUCACGUUCAUAUUAGUCAGUUAGCCAGUAUUGUUCAUGCAUAUGAACACCAUGCAUUUAGCUUACCUCAUAUGCAUACCAGUACAUUCAAAGUACUGAUGCAUUUGCGCUAUGGUGUCUUAUACCAUAGGUUUAGAGACACAAACUCCAGAGCAUCAGUAGAUUCCAAAUAUCAGCUGUCAGAGUUAGCAGUGAGUCCUCAUCCUUCAAGGACAUGAUUAUUUCUCUAUUAUCUUAUCAAUUAGUUUAUUAGUUGGAGUUAGUUGGGGACAUGUCCCAUCAACUCCUUACUUAGACAGUUCAGUAAGUUAGAGGCUUUCCAGACUAUUAUGUCAAGCAGUUAUUCCAGUUGUUUUGGCUUUUUCAUAUCCCAUUUAGAUGUUAUGUUUUACUUCAGUUUUGUGAAACUUAUGGCCUUUCAGUUCAUGUUUCCACAUUAUUCAGUAUAUUAUGUAGUAUAUAUGUACAGAUAUCAGUCAUGGGUUAGCUUGUGGUCCUACGGGGUCAUGAGCAUCGUGUAGCAUUUCGAGUACCAGAUUUGGGGCGUUACAGUAGAAGAGUAGGGUCAGUACAACCACACAUACUGGUAGGCAUCAUCGGCCGAUCGUGUUAGUUCAUAUAAUCAUAAAAUAGAAUUAACAAAAAUAAAUCAGGACAUCUUGAAUGGAAUAUAAUUCAACUAAGGUUGUAAUAAUAUUAUUACUUUACCUAUAUAAGUUACAACAUCAAACUACUCUUCCAACUUCAUCAAUAUUAUAUUAACUACUAACAUACUCUCUCCUUAUUAAUUUACACAAUCAACCACAAUCCAAUGCUAAUACAUCACUAUUCCUCUUUAUUCACCUUAUUUUUUUUAUUACUUAUAUUCAUAUGAAUAAACCCGUAAUUAUAGACAAUCAACACUAACUCUCAGGCUAACAAUCAACUGCUCUCUUAUAAUAUUAAAGAAUGAUAACUAGCCAUUCUAGUAAACUACGGUUAAAACACGUAUAAAUGAAGCAACUCAACCAACAUAUAAUUAAGUACAAAGUUUUACUUUUUCAAAUACAUAUCACACAAUCAAACUCAUGGGUACAAUCAAGUAGUGAAUAUAAGUCAUCUCACAUCUCAAUAAGACACACCAGAGAACUCGAGUCUCAUACAUUACUACUAACAAUCUUUCCGUAAGUAACAAAUACUCAGUGAAUCAACAAUACAACAAUAUCAGGUCAAACAGUGCUCACAAACAAGCCACAUAACUAUCAAGAAUAUCAACCAUAUUGUAAACAUCAACAGAAUCAACACAAAUUUGUAAACACAUUCUAUAAGACGUAUUUUUUCCCAAAUAGUCAAGACCUGCAGGGAGCAGUCUAUGUUCAUGUACCAUACCGACGUGGUACCCGAUUUAACAUAUACAUAUCUGUACCGGCAUGGUACCCGAUCCAACAUAUACAUAUUCGUACCGGUGUGGUAUCUGAUCUAACAUAUACAUAUCCGUAUUGGCGUGGUACCCGAGCCAACAUAUACAUACCCAUACCGACGUGGUACCCGAUCCAACAUAUACAUACCCGUACCGGCGUGGUACCCGAUCCAACAUAUACAUACUCAUACCGGCGUGGUACUCGAUCCAACAUAUACAUAUUCGUACUGGCGUGGUACCCGAUCCAACAUAUACAUAUCCGUACCUGCAUGGUACCCGAUCUAACUUAUACAUAUCCAUACGCGUGGUUCCCGAUCCAACAUACACAAGUAAUAUCAAUAUCAUAUUUACACCACCUCACGACAUACAAUAUGAUGUACCAAGUUUACAAGUAAACUUAAAGUCAUAAGACAAUUCCAUCAAGUAAAUUUUCGAUAGUCAUUUAUACACGCCUCAACAAUCCAAACAUCAUCAAUUUCAAGCAUGUUCGAAUACCAAUCAACAAGUAUCCAAUUUAGGAGUUAUCAUUAUCAAACAAGCCACGUAUAGACACAAUUCAAUAAACCAUCAUUAUCACCAAUUUAUCCUCUCAUGGGCAUCCAAUAGAUAUAGUAUUUUUAUCAAUAUCAAAAUAAGAAGAUAAUAACAUCAAUCACAAUUUAAUUCUUACGCAUACAAGUCACCAUUGGAGCAUUAAUUACUCAUUAAUUUUAAAAAAAUAUCAUUAUCUUCUUAAAUACCUCAACUUGGGUUCUAACAUCACCAUCUAUAACUAACACAUUCACGCAUAUCAUUAUCCCCUACCUCUUUCCACAUAAUACAAUCAUCACACUAAUUCAAGUCAUCUAUCCCUUAGAUAUCACAAUGCCCAUCAAUAUUCGAUCUUAGCAUAAUUCUCCUCAUCAUAUUAUUGCACAAUAUAUACAACUUAAUACCAUUACAACUCAACUAGGUUCAUCACUAGAACAACUAAAAAACAUCAUGUUCAUUUAUUACAUUUAUAACAAUCUCCUUUCGGGCACAUAAAACAUAAUAUCAUAAAUAUCACAUAAUCAAUCUAUAAUAUAGUUUUUGGGAUUAAAGUUAAGUACUUGUGUCUUUAUCCACCUCAACUUCAUGCCCGCAGGCCUAGACAUGGUUUCUCCCAUCAAUUCUAAAUUAUGAAAAUAUAAAAUAACACAAUCUUCUAUUCAUUAAACCUAGCCUACCUGGACGCCAAGCUUUUGGAAGAAGCAAGCUACAGCAAGGAUGCUAUUUCCUAUCUUUCAUGCCUUGGAACAAUCAGUCUUCUAAAAGUCAAGAAAUUAUAAGAGUAAUUAAAUAAUUACUCUUCAAACAAAUAUAUUGGGAUUCAAACCCACUAAUUCUAUCCUUAAUUUAAGGUCUAUCAUUCCCCAAUUCAAUUAAUAAUUAAUUAGCUCUUUCAAGAUUAACCCAUCUCCAUUAUUGGAGUUUUUAUGGUAAAGAUCUCAUCUUUACGGAAUUCAAGAUUCCUAAUCAUCAAAAUUCAUAAACUAGUUUAUGAAAUUCAUGUUAGGAAUCUUUAAUUUAUAGUUUAGAAUCAGCUCUAGGUCAUAUUUAAAACAGUCAUGAGUAUUACCCAAAAGAAUUCCACCAUUAAAGGUCUUUUUAAGGAUUCCAAGAUGUUAAAGAAUUAAACGAAGAAAAUAAUGGAAAAACUUACCUAACCGAAGGAAUUUCACCUUAAGCUUUGUAAAAUCACCUCUAGGGUUGGGGAAGAAAAUUUGGGGUUUUUAGACCUAAAAUACGGCUGAAGUUGAUUUAAAUAUCAUCAGAAUUUUUGCUACAACAAAAUCCCAUUUUAGCCUGGACAAUGCUCAAUAAAACAGUCAUAACUUUUUACUCCGAAUUUGGAUUGAGGAACUUUUUUAUUGCGUUGAAAAGAGAACUCAGAGAUCUUUGAUUUGAUAGGUAAUGAAACCCCUAACUCCAUAUAUUCUAUUAGCUACUGAAACCAUAACGGAAAGAAAGUUUUAUACUUAACUUUGUGUUAGGGAUAUUAUACGACCUUAUUUCAUACCUACAGAACUUUCGAACUAAAGUAUUGAUAUUAGAACUCAUGAAUAAUUAAAUUAAUCGAGCUUGAGUCUAUCCAGACACAUAUGAAGGAUAAAGUUUUCUGAAAAGUUUGAGGUGACGUAACAAAUGAAAUAUUGGCUAUUUUAGACCCAAGUUAAUACUAGGGAAUGAAAAUUAAGAAUUUUCAUGAAUUUAUUACAAAUAAUUUAGUAACGACAAAAUGGGUCGUUACAAUCAGAUACCAAUUUACUAUCCGUUCGUCCCCGAACGGGCAUUCCAUGGAGAAAAGCACGAGGCUGGAAUUAGAAAGACAUUACUAAUAGAGUUGCUUAUUCACUUACUCAAUAUUCUUAUCGACCAACCCACAUUCUAUACUCAUUCAUUCUAUCAAAGCUUUUCAAAAUACGAAGAUGCACAACCAAAUAUUUACAUACAAAUCACUUAUUUUCCUUUCAACGGCAUAAGUUUGAAACUUGAGUUUUACGAAAGAAAGAUAAAGAUGGUUAAAAGAUUCACCUUCAUGAAGACAAAUAUCCAAAAGCACCUCUUUUUCACUACCAAAACUUCAGAGUCCUAAAUUCAAUUCUGAAAAGUGCUACAAGAUGCUACAUGAAUCUACUAUUCAAAUUUCAACACUAAACAAGUCACACCUAAUCCACCCAACACAAAAGUUUUCUCUGAGACACCUGACUCACUUUCUAGCCAAGACUAUCCUAUUGAGAAUCUACAUCUUGAUCAUAUGCAAGUCACUUUACCAUUUACAAGUAACAUAACUUAGAUACUUGCAUGCACUAAAUCAAGAUUACUAAAUUUAUUUUAUAAAGCUAGAUUCAAAAUCAAACAACCACUAUCCCUUUUACCUCAAGAUCACUCACCGUUUCAAGCUUAGUUCUUACUACUAUAUGUAGGUGACAACACAAACUCUCACUCAUUACACAGACUUACAACUAUUAGCCAUAAAGAUCCCACAAAAUUAUAACCUACAACACAUUCUCCUCCAUAACAUCGUUAAUAUUCAAUUAAUCAUCAUACCUUAAUCACUCAAAAAGCAAUAUACACCAAGUAUCACCCAAGGAAAGAUCAAUCAUGCCAUUAAUAAUUCACUUAUUCUCCCAUUCAGGAUCGUUCUUAUUUUUUUAAUGAAUGUAACUAAGCCAUAUGAUUUUGCAUUGCCACUAUCAUGAAAAUUACUAUCUUCUAAAAGUGUCAUAUAUUAGCCAACUCUGUGGGAUAUGCAAAUGUAUAAUUCAGUCACAAGGUCAAGUCAAUAAUAAUUUAUCUUCUCAAGAUUUUUCCUAAUGCAUAAAACUGCAAUUUAUGUCCUGACAAUCACUAACUUAAUAUUUUUCAACAAAAAAUACUUCAUGGUCAAGCCAAACCACUGUUAUAUCACUAGUACCAAUUUAAGAUAUACAGAGUCAUUCUUAUUUCUACCUAACAAUAUUUUCAUCACGGGCUUCACUUAACUCUUAACCACCUCAAGAGUGGUCCCCACACCACUAGCACAUAAGCAAGGCCAAAUAAAAUAAAUCAAUUACAGGUCAUUAACUGUCUCAUUACCAAUGUCACAUGUCAGACAAGUCAUCAGUCAAAUUCUGUAGGUAUCAACAACUUUUACUAGUUUUUGUCACUUUUAUUUAGAAUUCAUUAUUUUGCCAAGCAUUAAAAAUUCGUUCACAUAAGGAACUCAAAGAUAAUAGCACUUAGCUAGUCCUCACAAGGAACCCAUUAUAAUUUCAAUAAUAGAACUGCACAAAAAUUCUAAAUACAGUCUCAAUGAUCGGACCACACAAGGAUCCCCAAAUAAUAUCAAAUAAUCGAACUACACAAGGAUCCAUCCACAACGUCAUUAACAAGAACCUCUCAUUACAGAAAACACAUAUCACCUCAGUCUUUUAUUCAGGUCACCUUUUCACCAUCUUUUCUUGACAUCAUGAUCUCAUAUCAUUCUCUCAAUUCUCAUACCAUCAAUUUCAUCAGUAUAAUAGUACCAAAAAUAAGUAAGCACCAUAGAAUUGCUAGUUUUACAAUAACAAGAAAUCAAAUAAUCCUUUCACAAUUAUCAACAAAAACAACUUAGUCAAUUUUCAUCACUUAAAUUUAAGCAAAAACAAUCACAACAAUGACAAAAAUCUAGCAACACUAGUUUAGUCAAAUAUCAAGCACAAACAAUUAAUAAGUUCACAACUUUGACAAGUCUCUACCUAUUAACAAUAACUUUUAUACUUUAUUAAUAGAUACCAAUUGAAAUCUCCUAGAUUUUUAUUCAAAAUUACUAAGAUACCAAUUGGAAUCAACUACAUUCCAAUUGAGCUCUGUUAAGAUACCAAUUAGAAUUGUCCAGAUACCAAUUGGAUUUAAUCUAAUAGUCCAAGAUUAGGACAACACAAUGGAGAGAAAGAAAGGAAAAUGACUUUGACAUGCCUCAUAGCCUUCCGAAGAUUGGGUGUGGGGCCCUACACACCAAUCUACGGAACUCUACUUGACAUUGCUUUUGUACUUGUGGGACCGGUGAACCUAACACUCUGAUACCAACUGCCACGACCCAGACUAACGGACCAUGUGGGGACCUACGCUAUUCUAAGUAGUUAGGAGAAUCCUUAUUACCCAACUAAAAAUAUGAGGAAGACUUCUAUUUUUAAGGAAAUAUAAAGUAAAUUAAAUACUAAUAAAUAAACUUUUUCAAAAACUUCUUACAAAUGUCUUUCAUUAUCCCAAGACUUGGCCAGACAUGUACAAGAGCUAGCUAUUACAACGUAGACUGACAAUAAAAUAAAUAAUGCAGGAACUCUAACAUGUGUCAGGAAGAAAGUGCAGAAGUUAGUGCUGAAUAUCGUCAUCCAUCUAGAAACUGCAACUAACCUGCAUCCAGUCUACACUCCAAGAAGGAAUGUAGAAGAGUAGGGUCAGUACAAUCACACAUACUGGUAGGCAUCAUCGGUCGACCGUGUUAGUUCAUAUAAUCAUAAAAUAGAAUUAACGAAAAUAAAACAUGACAUCUUGAAUUGAAUAUAAUUCAAUCAAGGUUGUAAUAAUAUUAUUACUUUACCUAUAUAAGUUACAACAUCCAACUACUCUUCCAACUCCAUCAAUAUUAUAUUCACUACUAACAUACUCUAGCCUCAUUAAUUCACACAAUCAACCACAAUCCCAUGCUAAUAUAUCAAUAUUCCUCUUUAUUCACCUUAUCUUUUUCAUUACUUAUAUUCACAGUAAUCAUAGGAGACCCACACUAAUUCCCGGGCUAACAAUCAACUGCUCUCUUAUAAUAUUAAAGAAUGCUAACUAGCCAUUCUGGUAAACUACGAUUAAAACACGUAUAAAUGAAGCAAGUCAACCAACAUAUAAGUAAGUAAAAAGUUUUACUUUUUCAAAUACAUAUCACACAAUCAAUCUUAUGGAUACAAUCAAGUAGGGAAUACAAGUCAUCUCACAUCUCAAUAAGACACCCUAGAGAACUCGAGUCUCAUACACUGCUACUAACAAUCUUUCUGUAAGUAAUAAAAACUCAAUGAAUCAACAAUACAGUAAUAACAGGUCAAAUAGUGCUCACAAACAAGUCACAUAACCAUCAAUAAUAUCAACUAUACUGUAAACAUCCAGAAAAUCAAUACAAAUAUGUACACACAUGCUAUGGGACUUAUUUUUGCCCAAAUAGUCAUGACCAGCAGGGAACAGUCUAUGUUCAUGUACCAUGCUGGCUUGGUACCCGAUCCAACAUAUACAUAUCCGUAUAAGCAUGGUACCCAAUCCAACAUAUACAAAUCCGUACCGGCAUAAUACCCAAUCCAACAUAUACAUAUUCAUACCGGCGUGGUACCCGAUCCAACAUAUACAUAUCCAUACCGGUGUGGUACCUGAUCCAACAUAUACAUAUCCGUACCGGUGUGGUACCUGAUCCAACAUAAACAUACCCAUAACAUCGUGGUACUCGAUCUAACAUAUACAUACCCGUACCGGUCUGGUACCCGAUCCAACAUAUAGAUAUCCAUACCGGUGUGGUACCCGAUCCAACAUAUACAUAUCCAUACCAGCGUUGUAUCCGAUCCAGCAUAUACAUAUUCGUACCAGCGUGGUACCCGAUCCAACAUAUAUAUAUACUUACCAGCUUGAUAUCCGAUCCAACAUAUACAAGUAAUAUCAAUAUCAAAUUUACACCAACUCACAGCAUAUAAUACGAUGUACCAAGUUUACAAGUACACUUAAAGUCAUAAGAAAAUUCUGUCAAGUAAAUUUUCAAUAAUCAUUUAUACACAUCUCAAUAAUCCAAACAUCAUCAAUUUUAAGCAUGUCCGAAUACCAAUCAACAAGUAUCCAAUUUAGGAGUUAUCAUUAUCAAACAAGCCACUGAUAGACACAAUUCAAUAAACCAUCAUUAUCACCAAUUUAUCCUCUCAUGGACAUCCAAUAGGUAUAGUAUUUUUAUCAAUAUCAAAAUAUGAAUAUCAUAAAAUAAAUCACAAUUUAAUUCUUACGCAUACAAGUCACUAUUGAAGCCUUAAUUACUCUUUAAUUAUUAAAAAUAUCAUUAUCUUCUUAAAUACUGCAACUUGGGUUCUAACAUCACCAUCUAUAACUAGCACAUUCAUGCAUAUCAUUAUCCUCUACCUCUUUCCACAUAAUACAAUCAUCACACUAAUUUAAGUCAUCUAUCCCUUAGAUAUCACAAUGCUCAUCAAUAUUCGAUCUUAGCAUAAUUCUCCUCAUCACAUUAUUGCAUAAUGCAUACAACUUAAUACCAUUACAACUCAACUAGGUUCAUCUCUAGAACAACUAAAAACACAUCAUGUUCAUAUAUUACAUUUACAACAAUCUCCUUUCGGGCACAUAGCACAUAAUAUCAUGAAUAUCACAUAAUCAAACUAUAAUAUAGUUUUUAGGAUUAAAGUUAAGUACUUGUGUCUUUAUCCACCUCAACUUCAUGCCCGCAGGCCUAGACAUGGUUUCUCCCAUCAAUUCUAAAUUAUGAAAAUAUAAAAUAACACAAUCUUCUACUCAUUAAACCUAGCCUACCUGGACGCCAAGCUUUUGGAAGAAGCAAGCUGUAACAAGGAUGCCAUUUCCUUUCUUUCAUGCCUUGGAACAAUCAUUCUUCUAAAAAUCAAGCAAUUAUAAGAGUAAUUAAAUAAUUACUCUUCAAACAAAUAUCUUGGGAUUCAAACCCACUAAUUCUACCCUUAAUUUAAGGUCUAUAUCAUUCCCCAAUUCAAUUAAUCAUUAAUGAGCUCUUUCAAGCUUAACCCAUCUCCAUUAAUGGAGUAUUUAUGCUAAAAGUCUCAUCUUUACGGAAUUCAAGAUUCCUAAUCAUCAAAAUUCGUAAACUAGUUUAUGAAAUUCAUGUUAAGAAUCUUUAAUUAUAGUUUAGAAUCAGCUCUAGGUCAUAUUAAAAACACUCAUGAGUAUUCCCAAAAGAAUUUCACCAUUAAAGGUCUUUUUUAGGAUUCCAAGAUGUUAAAUAAUUAAAAGACGAAGAGAAUAAUGGAAAAACUUACCUAAUCGAAGGAAUUUCACCUUAAGCUUUGUAAAAUCACCUCUAUAGGGUUGGGGAAUGAAAUUUUGGGGUUUUUAGACCUAAAAUAAAGCUGAAACUGAUUUAAAUAUCAUCAGAAUUUUCGCUACAACGAAAUUCCGUUUCAGCCUGGACAGUGCUUAGUAAAACAAUCAUAACCUUUUACUCUGAAUUCAGAUUGAGGAACGAUUUGUUGCGUUGGAAAGAGGGCUCAGAGAUAUUUGAUUUGAUAGGUAAUAGAAUACCUAACUCCUUAUAUUUUAUGAGAUAUGAUUGUUUGAAUUUGGCUUUAAUAAAAACCCAUAUCGAAACUGUAACGGAAAGAAAGUUUUAUACUUAACUUUGUGUUAGGGAUAUUAUACAAUCUUAAUUCAUACCUAGAGAUAUUUCAAACUAAAGUAUUAAUAUUAGAACUCAUGAAUAAUUAAAUUAAUCGAGUUUGAGUCUAUCUAGACACAUUCGAAGCUAAAAUGUCGCUAAAAGUUUGAGAUGACGUAACAAAUAAAAUAUUGACUAUUUUGGACCCAAGUUAAUACUGAGGAAUGAAAAUUAAGAAUUUUCAUGAAUUUAUUACGAAUAAUUUAGUAACGACGAAAUGGGUCGUUACAAUAUAUUAUGUGUAAAAAAUAUUUUUUUUAUAUAUAAUAAAAGUAUUAUUAAUAAAAUUUUGAUAUAUUUGGAGUAUUAUAUCUCAAAAAAAUAAUAAUUAAAUGGAUUGAUUAUAUUGCUAACUAAAAGAGAUUUAUUAGAAGAAAGCGAAUAUAUAAUUUUUAAAAUAGAUUUUGUUAAAAAAAUAAUCUUUUUCUUAAAAAUUUAAGACCUCCAUUUGAUUUUGACCUUAGGCCACUAACGUACUUGAGCCGCCCCUGCUUCAUACUUAGUUGAUUUCCUUUAUCACUUUGUGAUCAAACUAUUAGUAAAUUGAUCUGAAACAAGGUUAAAUCGUAACAGUGCUCUUGACUCAUCUACAAAUUCAACUAUACCAACUAUAAACAGGAGUUGUUUUAAGCCAGAUAGCUUGCAACUUUUAUUCGUUUGAGUAUCUAUACGCACUUCAGCAUUGGAUAUUUAAACAAAAAUUAACUUUGAGGUGCACCAGUUUGGCAAUUUAAACCAUUUCAUAUUGAUUAAAAAUUUUAUUUAUGAAUUAUCACCAUAUUUCUAACUGUACGUUUAAUGUUUUGGGAAGUCCUAUUACCCGUUAACUACUUUAAAAUUGAGUACAUAUACUCUUAAGUGUUAAGGUGGCAAAGAAAGUAUACUCACUCUCUUGGAAGAAAUGUUGUGAGGAACCAAAUAUAACUUAAACGAGAGUAGAAUAUACUCUUUGCCACAACAACUCUUUAUGGUAUUAUUGUAAAUUGUAUUAUUGCCUCAAUCUAAAACACGGUUUUGUUAGGAUAGAGAAUAAUCCAAAUGACCAUUUUUUUGUUUACUAUUAUUUAUCAUGCUUUCUAUUGUAUAAUUAUUUAAAUCUACAAUUAGUUAUGGAAAUGAUUAGUGUUAUUUUCAGUUUAUAAUUGAUUAUAAAAGGCAAGAAAAUUAAAGCUCAUCCAAAAUUUCUUAAAGAAAUCUGAUUCUCUUGACAUAAAAGUAAUUUUAAAUUAGAAUGCAUUUUGUGUAUUGGAUUAUAACAAUAUAGUGAUAAUAAGUGAAUUUAAAAUUCUUAAAUUUGUCUCAUUAAAUAUAGAUGAUCAUCAAUGAAUUUUAUAGUUAUUUCAGAAGGUGCUUCAUCGACUUUGACAGAAAAUAUAAUAUUUUACUAAAGCAUGUUGAUUGAGAGAAAAAUAUGAUUUUUUUUCUCAAAUCUAAUAUAACAUGCAAGUUAUAAGUAUAUGAAACAAAUUAGGAAAAAAGAAAUCACUGGAUUAUAAAUUUUGGUCGCAAAGUUGUCACACACUUACUCAGUGCAAAAAUUAUUUUUAAUUUACCGUUACAAAAAUGUAAUGCUAAUCAAAGAAUUUUAAAUUUGUAAGUGUGCAACGUUAAAUAUAGAUGAUCACCGACAAACUUUGUAGUUAUUUAAUAAAGGUGCUUGAUUGACUUCGACAGAAUAAACAAUAUUUUACUAAAGUACUCUGCCGACUUAUAGAGUCAAUAUGAUCUUUUCUGAAGUCUGUUGUAAUGAGUGAGUUAAAUAUAAACACCAAAUUAGGAAAAAGAAUUAAUUAAAUUAUAAAUUUUGGUAGCAAAGUUGUCACUUACUAACUCAUUUAAAAAUUACUUUCAACUUACCAUUACAAAACUUGAAACACACAUAAAUGAAGAGGAAGGUUAUACUCUGAGUUAAAUAUAGACACUAAAUUAAGAAAAAGAAUUAAUUAGAUUAUAAAUUUUGGUAGCAAAAUUUUCACUUACUAACUCAUUUAAAAAUUACUUUCAACUUACCAUUAAAAAAAUUGGAACACAUAUAAAUGAAGGGGAAGGUUAUACUCUGAGUAGCCUAUAAAUGCUCUUCACAUUUUACAGAAUUAUAGUGCAUAAUUGGCACUUUUAUCUCCCAGUUCUUACUUUUGCAAAAUGCAUAAUGCAAAUUUUUCUCCUCCUUUAUUUCACAUAGUUCGAUGCCCUUUGUGCCAUGAAAUAUUUCGUAUUCAUUCUGAAUUCAUGAAUCAUGUUCAAACUAUUCACCCAUUAUCUGAACAAGAUGCCAUCCUAAAUUCUCAUGUGGAUGCAUAUGGUAUACUUUUGCAAAAUGCGAGUUCGCAAAGAAAUGAUAGGAUUGUUGUCCAACCAACAAUGCCUCCGAAUCGUAACCUACCUAGAAGAUGGGGCAGAGCACCACUAAUCAAUAGGCAACAAAUAACAAGUAACCAACUGAGAAGAUGGGGAAGAGCACCACCAAUCAAUAGGCAACAAAUGGCAAUACGAAAUAGAGUUUUACAGAGAAGAAGAGGCACAACGCCACCAACCGAUAGGCAACAAAUGGCAAGAAGCAUCGAAGUUAGAGGUUCAAAUUCAACAUUUGCAGAUUCAAAUGAGUCUAAUAAUUUUACAAAACCAUUGAUUAACCAAUUGGAUGUUCCUAUUUCAUCAAAUGCUGAUGACUUAGUUAACAUAGCUGAAGAACAAAAUGAUUUAGACUUGACCUUGAGGCUUUAAAUAGAUUUAAAAUUAUGUGAAGCUUCUUUAUAAGGGGGUGUCUAAAAAUAUGCUAAGUUUGGAGUCUUUUUUUUAGUUUUAUUUUUUAUAUGAUUGUUUGAUAGUGGGGUAUCUAAAAGGGAGAGUUUAUUGUUUUAUUUUAUUUUAUUUUAUUUUUAUCAGAUAUGUCUAGUGUCUAAAAUUGUGUCAGGGUUGGAGUUAGUUAUUUCAUUUAUUAAAUAUAUGUCUUGAUUUAAAUUAUCCAAAUCCAUUUGUUUUCCUGCAAAUAUUUCUCUAUUUUCUUGUUGAACAUAUUAAAAAAAUGAAAUUUUCAUUGUUCAAAUACAAUUAAUUUCACAUAUUAUUAUUGAUAAGAUAUGUCAAAUUUCGGUCAUCAAAUUAUAUAUGACAUGUCAUUUGACAUAUCAACUCUUUUCACUUUGUAAUUUUCACAUCAUAAUUAAAUAAAUUAAUUAUGUAAAAAUAUAGAAAAUCUUUGCUUUUUUUCCUUUAUUCCUACAAGAUUUGAUUGCUUCCUCUGAAAUGAGCUCUAUAUAUUCUACCCAAUUAUCAUUAUCAUCUUGUAUGUUGUGUUACUAUUGUUUUUUCCUUUUACCAUUUAUAUAAUUGUGGAAGUAGCUGGUGUUUUUGUUUCCUUCUGUAUAUCAAAAGAAUCCUACCUUCUUCAAUCCUCUACUACUCUUACCAUUCGGCCAGGUGUAUGGACUUUCUCUGAAUCGCAUGUCACAUAAACCCAUAAAAGUUUAUAAACUAAGUAAAAUUUUCACAUUCAUCUAUCAUUACCAAAAGUCUAAUAAUAUAACAUUGGAAUCUUCUCCUACCAUCAAAGGCAAGUGAUUUGCAGCUCUGUGUCCAUCAAAAUUUUAUGUUGUAUUAUAGCAUCAAUAAAGAUCCGGAUUUUACCAUUAGUAUUAGCCAUAACUGACUCAAUCCUUAGUUUUCUUCUAUAUUUUAUAUGUCUAUAAUUCUAAAAGGGUUCCAUCAAGGCUACAAUAAAUCAUUUUUACUGUAUUUGUAAUCUGAUGAGUCUUUGAAAUAUCUGUUGCAUAUUAACAGAUUGGUUGUUUCCAAUUAGGGCCUUUAUAUUCAUUUAGACUUUUAAGUUACUGCUCUCUUUAGUAUAACCCUCCUAGUUUGAAUAUUUUCUUGAUUCUUUGCCUUCUCUCCACUUUUAGCUACAGUUCUUGGUCAUGGGUUCACGAAUUUCUAUAUUAAAUAUGCUCCUAUUUUUGGGGGUUGGGAAGUAUUCAAUAUUUCUUCAUUUAGUGAUUCUUUGCUGAUUUCAUAUCAAUUGACUUUUCCUCAGUUUUUUCUACUACUUUAUCACUCAAUAUCUACUUAAAAAUGACACGUGUUCAUAUUAAUAAAAUUUUAAGUUAUUUUUGAUCUCUCACAUACCUUGAAGACGGCGAGUACACUUUCAAUGGGGAACUUAUGCUUUUUCCCUCAAAAUUUUGGAGGAUUUUAUCUGUUUUUCUUUUCGUCUCAUUUGAUGCUUUUAUAAAAUCAGAUAAAGAGAGAUAGUCCAAAGAUGAUUUUAUUCCUUCAAUAUCCAGACUUUUAAUAUAAUAAAUAACAAUAACCUACAGCUAAAGACUCCUACAAUAGGAGUUUUCUACAAAUACAAAUAGACAGUAACUAUCCAGUAAAUUAUUCAAAUACCGAUAAUAUAAAAUAAUUAUUGUAACACCCCGCAUUUUGGGCUAGAAUAAAAACUGUCAUUUGUUUACAUAGAUGAUCCAAAAGCCAUAAAUCCUAUGCAAAUUUUUCAUGCUAAUCAAUUAUGUAGUGUGGAAAAUUGAAUGAGCUUUCCGUCGAUAUAAGAUUUUCCCAAAUCCGAUACCCGGACAUGAUGUUAUGGCUAAUUUUAGUCCUAGUCGUAAAACACUGCAAUUUUGGUACUUGGGGCAUCGCCGAGGUGGUCUAUUUAACAAUUGUCAAAUUCCAGUAGCCUAGCGCGAUUGUGGCACGUCGCGUUGAAGUUCCAGGUCCCAACCAGUGGGACAACGCGAUGGCUCCGGUUGCGAUGACCCCAAGAAUCCCAUUCGUUAUUUUUCAGUGAGCCACCACUAUAGUGGUGCGUCGCGGUGGCCCAUAAAAUAGGUCUCCCAGUUAUAUUUUAUUCCAUCUCAUUUAGGGUAUGUUGGGUAAUUUCCACCCCCCUUAUCAGCUUAAACACGGGAUUUUUCUCCCAAGUUACCACAUUAUUUAUAUUUCCUUCAAAAAUUCACAAGAACACUCUCUAGGAUUUCAAACUAAAAACCUAAAUAACUCAAGAUUUAACUGUGGGUUUUCAAGAUUGAUCGAAGAUUUGGAAUCCCCAAAUCUUAGGCUUCAAGGAUCAUCCACUAAAUUUCCAAAUCGAGGUACGUGGGGUUUUCUUAAAAAUCUCAUGGGUAUAGAAAUCAUGAUUUUUAAGAAAAGGGUUUUAGAUUUAUGAUUUAUAAUCAUGUUUUAGAAGUCUCAAUGACAUUGUUUUGGUCUUUAGGCCUUUCCCCAAAUUGAUUUAAAAUUCUAUAUAUAUGUAUGCAUGUGUUUAAGGAUGAAUAUUCAAUUGAGAGCAUGAAUUAUAAUGAAUCCCUCUCUUGAUAUGAUUUUUCCAAUUAUUCGCAUGAUAUGGAUUGUUUUGAAAAGCAUGAUAUGAAAGGUCUUGAUUUAUACUAUGAUUUGAACAUGAUUGUGGAAUCAAAAGAGAGGGUUGUGCAUGUUGAUAAAUGUUGAAUAUACAUAUAAUGAAAGAGUGCAUGGUUUUGUCAAAAGCACAUGACCACUAUAUGUUUGAAGAAUUUUUGCAUAGUUUUGACUUAUGUUUCGAAACAUGAAAUCUCUUAUACUAUUUGCAUGUUUGGGUGGUAUGAGUUGAGUUUGAUGAAAGAAUCAUACAUGAUGCAUUAUGGCUUAGAAAAAGGACUUGCAAGUCUUGGUGUGAUGACACCAACUCAAAUAAUGCCAUGUUAAUUCAGAACAGAAUAAAAUGCAUGUUUGAACUCAGAUUUUUAAAUUUUAAAACUAGAAUGGUGCAUGUUUCAGAACAGACUAAAAUUGGGCAUAAAGAGAGCUUAGGUCGUUUACCGAAGAAGACAUGAGUUCAGACAUCUCAUUGUCCAAAAUCAUGAUUUUCCCAGGUAUAUUAUUAUACGCUGGCCUAGUGCCCUGUGGUGCAUCAGACUCAGAAACUCCAACCCUUGCGGCACACUUGGAUUGGAGGCUUCCCCGCCAAUUCAAUAGAGGAUUUCAUAUAGCCCGUGGAAUAUCAGACUUGUAAGGGAGUGCCACCUAACUCAAAAGUAACACAAAGAUCAGAAAUUGCAUUGACCAAAAGGUUUUAUGAUUAUAAAAAAUGCUCAUGUGUUUUGGAAUUUAUAUCUAUAUGAUGUUUUAUGACUAUCUCUCAACUACCUUAUUUGUAGUACAAUUUAUUUUGGAUUGCUCUACAUACCAGUACAUUUGUAUUGACCCUCCUUUCUCCCAGGGUCUAAAGCUCAGUUCAAAGGUCAUUCUGGGCCGUAGAGUUUUCAGACAGCAGUGAUAUGUGUAGUUGGUGAGCCUUUCUUAUUCCAGAAGGCCUAUGUCUUUCAAAUUAUAUUAUUUAUUUCUGUUUAGGUUCCCUGGGGGCCUUGUCCCAGUUUCAGACAGUUGUCAUUCUCAGAUGCAGUAGAGAUUUUGUAGACUGGUUCAGAUGUCAUGUAGUUGAUAUUGGAUUUCAUUUUUCAUAGUUUAAUUGAACUCAGAGUAUGACCAUGUUUCCAUAAUGAUCUACAAUUCCACACUUUCUAUUAUAAUUUAUGAAUAUUGUACAUAAUUACUAGAUAGAAAAGGGCAUCUGGGCCUUCAUAGUUCGGGAUGCUGGUCACGGCCAAGGCCCCAGUUCGGGUCGUAACAAUUAUGAUUAAUACACCCCCUCAAGUUAGGUGUGGUGCAACAAAACAUAACUUGGAACGACACCUUACAAAGGCUGGUUCUGUUAAUAGCUUGGUAAUUGUAUCAGGAAGUUGAUCACAAACAUGAGUGUGUUUGACAAGAACCCGACGCGCUUGAACUUGGUUCCUAACAUAACAAAAGUCGAUAGCAAUAUAUUUCAUACAACUAUGGAACACUGGAUUAUGACAAAAAUAAGUGACACCAAAAUUGUCACAGAAGAUUGUUGGUGUAUUUGGAAUGGUGAUAUACAUUCAUUAAGCAAGUUAUGCACCCAUGUGCGUUUUGCAAGAGCAUUUGUAACUGAUUUGUACUCUGCUUCAGUAGAUGAGUGAGCUACUGCUUGUUGAUUUUUUGACGACCAACUGACAGGAUUACGCCCCAAAAAAAGAACAUAGCCUGAUGUGGAUACUCUGGCAUUCAGGUCUCCCGCCCAAUCAGUAUCAUCAUACAUGUAAAGAUUGCAGUUCGAGUCACGACGAAUAUGAAGACCUAAAGUUUUUAUGGAUUUGAGAUACUGUAGUAUCCUUUUAAUCACCUUCUAGUGUUCAUCAGUAGGAUCAUGCAUAAACUAUGGCAGUUUGAUAGCAUAAGAAGUGUCAGGACGUGUAAACUAUAAAUAUUGCAGCUUACCGAGUGUGCGCCUGUAGAGUGUAGCAUUCGCAGGUGGAGAAUUAUCAGCUGUUCGAGGUGGUUUACCAGAUCACAUUGGUGUCAAAACUCCUUUACAAUUUUGCAUAUCCAAUUUAGACAAAAUGUCAAGAAUGUAUUUUGACUGAGAGAGAAUAAGACCAUCUGGUAUUUUUUUUGCUUUCACACCCAAGAAGUACUUUAAAUUGCCAAGAUCCUUUAGAGAAAAAUGAGAACCUAAGGAAUCAAUAACAAGCUGUGAUGAAUUUCCAUGAUCAAAAUGUCAUCAACAUAAACGAGCACAUAAACAGAAGCAGUCAGAUUCUUCAAAAUAAACAAAGAGGUGUCGAAUUCAGAUUUGUUUGAAGGUUGUUGGUGUAGUAGUGAAGAGAUUUAGAAAACUGAAUUAUCUUUUGGGAUUGGUAAUAUUAUUCUGGGACCUAGUGGUCAUUCGGUUUAGUACAAGCUCUGGAAUUGGCAUGUGGUGUUGUUCGGGGAUGGGACUUCCGCUACUAGGAAGUGAAGUUGUCAAUGGUGAAUUAGUGGUUGGAGAUGGAGCAUUCGAGACUUUUUGUGGAGUGUUAGUGUUAGAUUUACGUCUUUGGUAUGUUAUCAAAGGUGCAGGUUGUAUGUUUGAGAUUUUGUCAUGCUAGGAAGAAGUAAAAGAAUGUGUAGAAUUACCUGGAAUAGCUGUAGUGGCUAUUGGUACUUGGCCAGAAUUGAAGUAGCUAGUAUUUUAUGAUUCUAAGGACAAUGGUAUAGGUGGGGGUAUAUUAGUAGAGGGUGUUGGAAUGGUAGCUGAAUUCAGAGUUUCCUCUUUGGAGUUAACGUCUUCCCAUGUUAGUUAAGAAAAGUUUUUCCUUAUAUGUAGAAACAUUGUUUUAAAGGAAUUUUUUUUUCAUAAAAAAGAACAUCACGACUGAUGAAUAUUUUUGACUACUCUGGAUCAAAGUAGAGGUGUGAAUGAUGGCUCUGAGAAACGCCUAAAUACAUGCAAGGGGUGGACUUAGGCUCCAACUUAUUUUUGGUAUAAGGUUUAAACCAUGGAUAACAAAGACAACCAAAAAAUUUUAAAUUGGCAUAGUUGGGUGGUUUACCAAAUAAUUUUUGGUAGGGUGAUUCGUUAUUUAAGAUGGGUGUGGGUAGUCGAUUAAUGAGAUAAAAAACGUGAUAGCAGGAAAAAGACCAUAAUUCUGGUGGUAGGGAUGCUUCAUAGAGAAGGGUUUUGGCUAUUUCAACAAUAUGACGAUGAAGACGUUCAGCUAUGGCAACGCGUUGUGGCGUGUAUGGAUGUGAAACUAAAUGUUCAAUGAUUUUGUAGAAGAUAGGACUAAGGACUUUUGUAUUCACCUCCUCCAUCCGAAUAAAAAGAUUUAAUUUUUGUUUUGAAAAAGUUCUCUACUAAAGGAUGAAAAUUUUGGAACAAAGAGGCGACUUCACUUUUAUUUUUAAUUGUAUACAACCAAGUAUACUUGGUGUAGUGAUCAACAAAAAUACAGUAAUAUAACUUUUUGUCUAGUGAUAAAAGGGCAAUGGUACGCAUAAAUCGCUAAAGAUAACCUGAAAAGGAUCAUUAUUGGAUAAAGUGAGUCGUUGAAAUGGAAAACGAUGUGCUUUAUUAGAGGAACAAGCAUUGCAAAAUUCAUUUUUUUCUUUAGUAGCAAUAGGUAAAGAAAACUUAUUCAAAAUAAAAUUUAAAAUUGUCGAAUGAGGAUGACCUAAACGAUAAUGCCAUAGUUGGAAAGGAAGUUUUGUGGAUGUAAGAUUGAUGGAUAUUGGUGGUCUGGGUGGAUGCUAUGGCUACUCAUAGAGUCCAUUCUUAUUCCGGCCUUGUACCAGCGGCUUCUGAGUAUACAGGUCCUUUACAAAAAAAGUAAAAGCAAAAAAAAUUCCAUAGAUGUUAGAUUGUCUUGAGAAAAUUUAGCUAUAGAAAUAAGAUUUUUUUUAAUUGAUGGAGCACAUAUAGUGUUAGAAAGUCUGAAACCAAAAUUAGAUGCUUGUAUCUGAGUUGAACCAGUAUGAGUAAUAGAAAUGGUUUUACCGUCACCCAUGAAUAUUCUCUCAUUACCUGUAUACUCUUCAAGAUUGUAAGGGUCAGCCGUGACAUGAUGACUCGCACCAGAAUCUAGAAUCCAAGAGAAUUUUGCUGAGUACAAAUUAGAGGCAAAGUUGGCCUUAGCUUCAAAAUGAUCGUGCGAUUUGAAGUGACAUACAUUUGCAGUGUGACCAAAUUUUUGGCACAAUUGGCAUCAAAUAGAUUGUCUUGAAUUUGAUCUCCAAUUCUACUAAUUUUUGGAGCUGGAUUGUCGAGGAGUAGAUUGGUUCCACUAUUGAUUGUUGAAGCUGGAUUAUCGAGGAGCAGAUUGGUUCCACUGUUGAUUGUUGAAUCGACGAUUGUUCCUAUUAGACUGGUGUGGCCUUUUUGUUUUCUGUGCUAUAGCAACUGUGAUAGUAGAGGAUGACUUCUCGAGAUCUUGGUGCUUGAGGAAAAGCUCAUGAUCUGUGAGCCUGUAAACAAUUCUUCAAAACUCAACGAAGAGUCUCUUGCUCUUAUAGCGACAGAGAUUUCACGAUACUCCGGGCGCAGGUCAAUUAGAAUCUUGACAAUAAGUUCAUCAUCUGUUACUGGUGAUCCAACAACUUUGAGAGCAUCAAAAAGAUAUCCAACCUCUUAUAAGUAUUCUGCAACAGAUUUAGAGGAUUUCUUGAUAUUUUUUAAUAGGUCACGCAAGCUAAAAAUGCGAGUGUGGCCUUUAUUUGCGUAAGCCGUGUAAAGAAGUUCCAAGGCUGUCUUAGUAGAUGGAGCUAUGGUAACAACAGGCGCAAUGGUGGGAUCGACAGAUGCCAUCAUUUCUUGCUGGAUCAGUUGGUCCUGAGAGAACCAGAUUUGAUGGCAAAGAUUUGGUAUCGUAAGGUUAUCUUGAGUAACAGUCAUUGGUGGUGUCGAUUUUGAUCCUUCAAGAUAUCCCAUGAGCUGAUGGCCAUUGAGUAGCAUCACAGGUUGUUCUUUCUAAGUCGAGAAGUUGAUAUUACCUUGCAAUUUGAUAGGUAAUUGAGAUGCUGGAUCGAAUUGUACCACAUAAACAAUAGGUGAAGCAGCAGAAGAACUGUUGUUGGUAGAAGUAGCAUCACCAGAGUUAAUAAUAACUGGAGAGAUUUUUUCUUGAGGUGUAGCCAUAGAUGAGGAGAGAAAGAGGAUCUAGCUCAUAAGAGGUUAGAGGCAUUGAUACCAUAUAAAAUCAUAUAAAGAGAAAUAGUCGAAAGAUGAUUUUAUUCCUUUAGCAUCCAUACUUUAAAUACAAUAAAUAACAACAACCUACAGCUAAAGACUUCUACAAUAGGAGUCUUCUUCUACAAAUACAAAUAGACAGUAACUAUAUAGUAAAUUAUUCUAAUUCUGAUAAUAUAAAAUAAUCAUGCCUAAUAGCUUUCACACCAAAAAAAAAAGACACUCUUUUUAGUGUAAAUGAUAUUCCUAAAGAAACUAAUAUCUUUUGAAUAAGUGUUUAUAAAAUAAAUAAAAGUUACUACAACUUUCUUUCAGUAUUUUACUGUUUUAACUUAGUCUAGGCUAAUGGUUGUUUAGUCCUUAAGUUUCUCUUGUUAGUGGAAAGCACUAUUGAGUUAGUGCCCUUUAUUUUUGCAUGUUUAGUUGAGUUGUAAGAUAUGUAUAAGGGCUUAUCACUGAUGGAUGAUAUACAAAAAAAAAGAGUCUUGCAAUCCUAGAGAACUCUCUGCCAUUCUAUUUUCCUGGUAGUUUUCCUUUUUUCUUUCUAAUAUUUUGUUCUUGAGUGAGCUUGAGAUCUUUUCUCCAAAAAUUGGUGGUAUCAGAGAUAGGUUUAGAUUGAGGUGAUCUAUUAACAUAAAAAAACCAUGGAUUUCUAAGGAACUUCAUUGAACAUAUCUCAACCUUCCAUCCCCAUUUUCACAGGACAAAGUUAUCAGCUCUGGAGCAUCAAGAUAAAGACUUUGUUUAAGUCACAAGAUCUUUGGAACUUGAUUAAGACAGGGUACGUAGAUAACAAACAAGAUCUUUGGGACUUGAUUAAGACAGGGUACAUAGAUCCGGAUGAAGAGCAACGACUGAAGGAAAACAAAAAGAAGGACGCAAAGGCAUUGUUCUUCCUUCAACAGGUAGUCCAUGAGAUGGUGUUUUCCUGAAUUACAGCAACCACCACUUUAAGGCAAGCAUGGAGAAUUUUGUAAACUGAAUUUCAAGGCUCCUCAAAGGUAAUAGUUGUAAGACUCCAAACUCUUCGGCAUGAGCUUGAAGGUUUAAUCAUGAAAGGAAAUGAAUCUGUGCAAGAUUUAUUGUCUAGAGCAAUGGAUAUUAUUAGUCAAAUGAGGUCAUACGGAGACUAAAUAACUGAUCAAACCAUUGUUGAAAAAAUUCUGAGGAGUUUAACUCCUAAGUUUGAUCAUGUUGUGGCUGCAAUUAAGGAGUCCAAAGAUUUGUUGAAUUUUUCAUUCGAUGAAUUAAUGGGUUCUUUGCAAGCCUACGAGGCAAGGAUAAAUAGGUCAAUAGAAAAGUAGGAAGAAAAAGCAUUUCAAUCUAAGGUGGAGGCACCCAAUCCAAGAGAGCAUGAUAAGGCAGCAAUAGGAAGAGGAUGAGGCAGAGGUACAUUCUGUGAAAAUAGCCGAGGUAACUUUAAUGAGUAAAGGGGCAAUAGAAACAACAAACAAUGUUAUCAUUACAAGAUGUUUGGGCAUGUGCAAGCAGAUUGUUGGUACAAGGAGAAACAAGCGAAUUAUAUUGAGACAACUGAUGGAGAAAGUAAGUUAUUCAUGGCGUAUUGUGAUACUAAUGAAGUUACAGGUGAUAUUUGGUUUGUAGAUAGUGGUUGCUCCAACCAUACGUCAGGUAUGAAGUCAAUCUUUAAAGAACUUGACAAGACACAAAAAUCAAUAGUCAGGCUUGGUGAUAAUAACAGCCUUCAAGCGAAAGGAAAAGGAACAGUAGCAAUCAAAUGUAGUCAUGGUAAAGUAAAAUUUCUUCAUGAUGUUCAAUUUUUUCCUAGUUUGGCACAUAAUUUACUGAGUGUUAGGAAACUAAUUGCCGCUGGAUAUUCACUUUUGUUUGAUGAUAGAGCAUGUGUUAUUAAAGAUAAAACAUCAAGACAAACAAUGGUUAAUGUGCUCAUGGCUGAAAAUAGAAUGUUUCCGCUAAAAGUUUCAAAUGUGGAAAAUUUUGCUUUGGUUACUGAUGCCAAAAAUGAAUCUGAAUUGUGGAAUUUGAGGUAUGGGCAUCUUACUUUCAAGGGACUAAAGCUACUAAGCCAAAAAGGUAUGGUCAUUGGGUUACCAAAAAUUAAUUCUUUUGAUUUAUGUAAAGGUUGCAUUUAUGGAAAGCAAAGUAGAAAGUCAUUUCCUGUUGAAAGGCUUGGAGAGCUUCUACCUUCCUAGAAUUAAUUCAUUCAGAUUUAUGUGGUCCAAUGAAUACUGAAUCUUUUGAUGGAAGUCGAUAUUUUUUACUCAUCACAGAUGAUUUCAGUCGCAUGAGUUGGGUGUAUUUUCUGAAAUACAAAUCAGAAGCUUUUGAGAAUUUUAGAAAAUACAAGGAUUUAGUGGAGAAUCGCAGUAGGUUGCGCAUAAAAAAUCUCCGAACAGACAGAGGUGGUGAGUUCUUAUCUAACAAAUUUGUUCAUUUUUAUGAUGAAUUUAGAAUUCACAAGGAACUUACUACACCCUACACACCGAAGCAAAAUGGUGUAGCUGAAUGCAAGAAUUGUACCGUUAUAGAGAUGGCAAGAAGUUUAUUGAAAGGCAAGGGACUUCCAAACCAAUACUGGGCAGAAGCAAUUGCAACUUUAGUGUACCACUGAACCUAUCUCCUACAAAGGCUGUGAUGAACCAAACACCAUAUGAAGUUUGGAAAGGUACAAGUCCUUCGGUAAGCCAUUUGUGAAUUUUUGGGUGUAUUGAUUAUACUUUGGUUAACUCCCAAACUCGUUAAAAACUAGAUGAAAAAUAAAAAAAUGUAUUUUCAUCGGUUAUUUUCUUCAAUCCAAAGCAUACAGGUUAUAUAACCCACUUAGUGGCAAAGUGAUAAUAAGCAGAAAUGUUGUAUUUGAUGGAAAGUCAAGUUGGAAUUGGAGUGAAAAACAAGUACAACAGACCCUCUGAAGUUUCUCCAGAUGAAGGACAAGAGGUUGCCCCAGAUUUACUUGAAGAUACAAUUGCACCAGAGAAAUCUGCAACACUUGAAGGACCUUCAGCUGAGUCAAUUCCACUAAGAAGAUCAACAAGAGUUAGAAAAGAGAAUCCUAGAUAUUCUAAUCAAUCUUGUCAAUUUUAUUUUAUUGUUUCAGAAUCUAUAUUUUAUGAAGAAGCAAUUGAAAAGGAGGAGUGGAAGAAUGCAAUAAAGGAAGAAUUGAUGGCAAUAGAAAGAAAUGAAACUUGGCAUCUCACUUACUUGCCAAAAGGAAAGAAUUUUGUUGGCUUAAAGUGGAUAUUCAAAACAAAGUAUCAUGCAGAUGGAAGUGUAGGAAACACAAGGCAAGACUUGUCACAAAGGGAUACUCGCAGCAGGUCAUUGAUUUUGAAGAGACCUUUUCCCCUGUUGCUUGAUUGAAACGGUAAGAACAAUUUUUGCCUUAGCUACUAAAAUGAAAUGGUCACUUUAUCAAUUUGAUGCUAAGUCAGAAUUCUUGAAUGGUGAACUGGAAGAGGAGGUUUAUUUUGCUCAACUUCAAGGUUUUGAAAUUAGUGGACAAGAAGAAAAGGUAUACCAGUUGAGGAAGGCACUUUAUGGGUUGAAACAAGUGCCACAUGCUUGAUAUAGCAAAAUCAAUUCCUAUUUUGUUCAAAAUGGGUUUGAAAGGAGUGAAAGUAAGCCUACUCUGAACUUAAGAAAGCGAGGUAACAAUGAUCUUGUUGUUGUAUGCCUCUAUGUUGAUGAUAUAAUUUAUAUGAGUUCAUCUCACUCUAUUGUGGUUGAAUUUAAAUCUUGUAUGAUGAGUAGAUUUGAGAUGACAGAUUUGGGUUUGUUGCAUUACUUCCUUGGGCUUGAGGUGAAACAAGGGGAAGGUGAUGUAUUUUUUUCUCAAAAGAAAUAUGCAUUAGACCUUCUUAAAAGAUUUGGCCUGGUCAAUUGUAAAUUUGCAGCAACACCCAUGAAUAUGAAUGAAAAAUUGCAGCAGGAAGAUGGUACCGGGCAAGCCAAUGCAAGAAGUUUUUGAAGUCUGGUUGGAGAUUUGAUUUAUUUGUCUCAUACUCGUCCAGAUAUUUCAUACUCUGUUGGUGUCGUUUUAAGGUUUAUGAGAAAUCCAUUGAAGCAUCAUUUUGGAGCUGCAAAAAGGAUUCUACACUAUAUUAUUGGAACACUAGAACAUGGUAUUUGGUACUCUUAUGUUUCAAAUUUCAGAUUGGUAAGAUAUACUGAUAGUGAUUGGAGAGGAUCGGUGGAUGAUAGGAAAAGCACAUCAGGCAACACUUUCAGUCUUGGAUCAGGUGCAAUAACAUGGAGUUCUAAGAAACAAGCAACGACAACAAUGUUGACUUUAGAGGCAGAGUAUAUCGCAGCAACUUCUUCAGCUUGCCAAUGCAUUUGGCUUAGGAGAAUUUUGUUCGAUCUUUAACCAGAAGCAAUAGAAAGCAACAAAAAUUUAUUGCAACAACAAUUCCACAAUUGCAAUGACUAAGAAUCCUGCAUUUCAUGGAAGAACAAAGUACAUUGACAUUCGCUUCCAUUUUAUUCGUGAGCUGGUGGAAAAAGAAGAGAUCAUAAUGAAAUUUUGCAACACUAAUGAACAAGUAGCAGAUAUAUUCACAAAAGCACUGCCCUAUCAGAACCAUGUCUACUUCAAAUAAUUGCUUGGUGUUAGUGAUUUUUAAUCAAGGAGGAAUGUUGAAUAACUGAUUCAAAAAAAAAAGAAGAAGAAAAGUUACUGCAACUUUCUUUCCGUAUUUUACUGUUUUGACUUAGUCUAGGUUAGUGGUUGUUUAGUCCUUAAGUUUCUCUUGUUAGUGGAAAGCACUAUUGAGUUAGUGCCCUUUAUUUUUGCAUCUUUAGUUGAGUUGUAAGCUAUAUAUAAGGGCUUAUCACUGAUCAAUAAUAUACAGAAAAAACAGUCUUGCAAUUCCAGAUAACUCUCUGCCAUUCUAUUUUCCUAGUAGCUUUUCUUUUCCUUUCUAAUAUUUUGUUCUUGGGUGAGCUUCAGAUCUUUUCUCCAACAAUAUCCACAAUGAUAAAUAUAAAAAGGGGAAAAUAUUGUUAUAUUGCCAACUUUGAUAUUUUUGUUGACCACAUACCUUGCAUUCUUGUAGAUUCUAAUAUUCCCUCAAUCCAAAACACCGCUUGUAUGGACAGAGAAUAAUAAAAAUUACCAUCUUAUGUUUAUUAAAAAUUCCUAAAUUCUCAUGUAGAUGAAUCUGGCAUAUUUUUGCAAAUUGCGAGUUUUCAGAGAAAUGAUAGGAUUGUCGUCUAACCAACAACGCUUCCGAAUCGUAACCAGCCAAGAAGAUGUGCUAGAACACCACCAAUCAAUAGGCAACAAAUGACAAUUGGAAAUAGAUUUGUACAAAUAAGAAGAGGAACAACCCCAAGAAACGAUAGGCAACCAAUGGCAAGAAAUAUUGGAGUUGGAGGUUCAAAUAUAACAUUUACAGAUUCAAAUGAGUCUGAUAAUUUUACAAAAAACAUUGAUUAAUCAAUUGGAUGUUCCUAUUUCGUCAAAUUUUGAUGACUUAGUUAACAUAGCUGAAGAACAAAAUGAUUUAGACUUGACCUUGAGGCUUUAAUUAGAUUUAAAAUUAUCUGAAAUUUAGAUUGAGGUGUCAAAAAUGUGCCUAGUUUGGAGUCCUUUUUUUUAUUUAUAUUUUCAUAUGAUUUUUUGAUAGUGGGGUAUCUAAAAGGGGGAGUUUGUUGUUUUAUUUUAUUCUAUUUAAUUUUUUGUCGAACAUGUCUAGUGUCUAAAAUGUGUCAAGGCUACAAUAAAUCAUUUUUACUACUUUUGUAAGCUGAUGCGUCUUUGAAAUAUUUGUUUGUAUAUUAACAACUUGUUGUUUCCAAUAAGGGCCUUAAUCGUCAUUUAGACUUUUAAGUUACAACUCUCUUUGGUAUAACCCGACUAGCUUGAAUAUUUUCCUGAUUCUUUGCCUUCUUUCCAAUUUUAGCUAAAGCUUUUGCUGAUAAAAUAUCUAUUUCAAGGAAGAGACCAUAGGUCCACGUGCACCAAAAUUUCUAUAUAGUCUUCAAUUUAAAAAUGACAUACACCCAUAUUAAUUUUUUUUCCUGGUAAAGUAGAUAUGCAUUAAUAAUAAAACAAAGGGAGUUUGAGCUCAAUUUGGCUCUAGUAUAAAAAGAGUUUGACGCAUUACAUGAGGUUGCGUAUUUGAGAUAGUUCUAGUUAAGGUUUUACUUUUCAUAUCAUCCCAUGGGAUACAAAAGGGGGUGGGGAAACAAAAAUUUUACUACUGUAAAAAAAGAUCUCUUUUUGCGUCUUUCUUUGCUAAAGCAUCUGCUACCUGGUUCUGUUCUCGAUAGCUAUUCUGGACAGGAGGACCUCCUAGUUUUCUUAGCAUCAACCUACAGUCAUGAAUAAACGGGUUAAAAAGACAAUUACCCCAUUGCAGUAUUUUAAUGACAUAUUUAAAGUCUACAGUGAUGUUGAUGGGAGAAAGAUGAUGAUCUAAAACAAGCUGAAGACCUUUUCAAAGGACUAAAAGCUUUAUAAAAUUAUUGCUAGCAUGCAGGAAACUUUGGGAGAAUCCCAGUAUCCAUUCACAAUUAGCAUUUUGAAUGAACCCACCAAUCCCAUCCAUACCAGGAUUGCCUAGACUCAAUCCAUCCCUGUUAAGCUUAUAGUGAAGCCUAGGGGGAGGACUCCAACUGGUGCUGAUAGUGCUGGUCAACUUUUGAGCAGGGGUUGAAUUAAGGUAAGUGUAUUCAACUGCUUUCGAGUAGGCAAAUUUGAAGAAAGGAAAAAAAGAUUUUUUGUUGAAAACAUUAGAGUUCCUAUUCUUCCAAAUGUUCCAGAGGCAUAAGGGGAGUAGAGUUGCCCGACUUAGAAGCUUUUCAAAGUUGGAGUGUUUACAAGCUUCCAGGUGGUCUGCCAGUUAGAAGGGUGGAAAAUAUUUGUAUGAAUAGUAGAAUGCCUAUGGUAAUAGAGAGUGAGGUCAUGCCAGAGGGAGCUGGCCAGUGGAUAGCUGAAGAAGAGAUGAGAAAUAUCUUCCUUUUGGUGGCUACACUGGUGACAGUAUAGUUGAAUGUGGAGGCCUCUGUAAGCCAGGGUUGAAUUAGUAGAGAGACUGUUAUAAUGAAGGAGCCUAAGAAAGAAUUUUAUUUUAUUGGGGACUUGAAGUUUAGAAAUCCAUCCAAAUUGAGUGGCCUUGUAAGAGGGUUGAUGUUUUUGGGAAGCCAGAUACUAGUAAAUAGUCUUAUAAGAAAACAUUUAAUUUCCAGAAUGUAGCCAGAGGGAGUUUCAGAAUGAAUCUGAGGGUUAGGCAUGAAAGAGUUCUGAAUGCUAAAUUGGAGAGUUCUAGGGAUGUUAAAGGCUAAGGACUCAAGGUUCCAGGUUCUAUUAUGCCAAAAGAAAGAGAGUUGCAGGGUGGGACAGGGCUUGGGCUUGGGGAGAGUUCCCUAGAUAAUGGAGAAAAGGUGGGAUGAUUAGGGACCCAUUAUCCUUCCAAAUAUUCACCUUCUGUCCAUCAUGAAUAGACCACUAAAUAAGGUCUCUAUAGAGGUUUCAGGAUCUAUGGACAUUUUUCCAAGUUUUAGAAUGGGAGGAGGAGUUCCUUCCAUUAUUAGGAUUAUUCCUUUGAAGUAGAACUCUAGCCCAUAAAGAAGAAAGAUUUGAGUGAAGUCUCCAAGCUAAGCUGCAAAGCAGGGUAUCAUUCUUGCUGCUAGCUUGUUUACACCUAAGCCACCUAGAUGCUUUGGAUGAGUGACGGUGGUCCAGUUGAUCAUGUGCAUCCUCUUUUUCUCUUCAGUAAAUCCCCAAAUGAAAUUCCUUUGGGCUCUAUCUAUAAGAUUAUGAAUCUUCCUAGGGAUAAUGAUGUAUUGCAUAAUAUGAUUGGGAAUACUCCCUAGGAUAGCCUUAGCAAGAGUAGUCCGACCAACCAUAUUCAGAAAUUUAACUUUCCAACUCACAAGCUUGUUAUUAAUAUUACCAGGAUGAACUGAAAAUCAGAGGAUUUUGGCUUUCCUUGAAAAAUUAGAAAGCCCAAAUAUUUCCUAAAAGAGUGACUGGUCUUGAUACCAAGGAUGGAGGACAAGUACUCUUUGGUAGAGUUGUGACAGUUAGAGGAACAAAAACUUUGGAUUUUGUUAAAUUUACUUUUUGACUAGAAUAGGUUCUAAAACUUUGAAGGGUUCUAGCAAUAGUGGUCCAAUUAUGGUGAUCAAUUUUAGCAAAGAGUGUUAAAUCAUCUGUAAAGAACAGAUCAGAAAUCUUUAGUCCUCUAUGAUUGAUUUGGAUGGGUGUCCAUUGCUUCAUGGUUAAUCCUUUUUCAUGCAAAGAAUGAAAAUAUAAGGGGAGAGGGAAUCUCUUUAUUUAUUCCUCUAGUAGGUUGGAAACAAGGAGUAUGCCCUCUAUUAACUAGGAUGGAGAUAGUGGAGGAGAAGACACAAGAAAUGAUAAGGUUAGAUAGACCAGGAGGGAAGUUGAAAUAAACUAGGGCUUGUCUAAUGAAAGACCAUUCAAGUCUGUCAAAGACCUUUUAAAGAUCAAUUUUCAAAAUCAUGUUAGGGUUUUCCCCCUUCUUCUAAGUUGAUCAAUGUAUACCUGAACAAUGAUAGCUUUAUCAGAGGCUUUUUUUUUAGAUAAGAAACUAUCUUGAGUAUCACCAAUUAAGGAUUGGGGGAGAGGCUUAAUCCUAGUACCAAUGAUUUUGGUGAUUAUUUUGUACUGGGUAGUACAAAGACCAAUGGGUCUGAAGUUCUUGAGAGUAGUGGCAUUUGGGAAUAAGACAAAGGUAAGUAGAGUUGACUUUGGUAUCCAUCUUAUCAUGAGUGAAGGUGUUAGUACAGAAGUCCAAGAGAAGGGCAACAAAAGUAUCCUAGUAUUUUUGAUACAUGAAAGAAUGGAUACCAUCAGGUCUAGGAGCCUUAAGGAUUGGAAGGAGAAACAUCCCAAAUUUCAGAAAAAGUAGGUAUGGAAUCUAGAAGAGAGUGGGUAGCAGUUGAGAUAGAGCCCAUGUGAGAAAGGUUAACUUUAAAUUUGAGAUGGGCAUGAUGAUGCUCAGUCCUAAACAAACAAGAGUAGAAGGAGAGUAUGGCAUCUUUGAUAUCUACUUGGUCAUGGAUUCAGACACCUUGGUCUUGGAGAGAGUUGAUUCUUUUUCUUCUCCUUCUGUUGAGAGUUAAGGAGUGAAAGAAUCUAGUAUUCUUAUCCCCUUCCAUGAGCCAGUUUAUUCUAAAUUUUAACAUCUAAAAGUUUUGCUCAUUUUUUAGGAUGGAGCUGUACUCUUUUGUAAGCUCCAUUUCUAAGGUAUGAAGAAAGGAGUUAGUGGGAUAGUUGGGGGAAUUUUGAAUGCCCUCUAGUCUAGCUAACAGUUUUUUCUUCCUAUGGAAGAUAUUGCCAAAGAUAUUUUUGUUCCAGGAAUUAACAAUGAAGUCAGAGUGAUUACACCACAUAGAUUCAAUGCUGAAAGGCUUGGGAGUGGGAUGGUUGGGCCUAGCAAAGGUUAACAGGAGAGAAGAGUGAUCAGAAUGAGUCCUGGGAAGAUGAAGGACAGGACCUCAGGGAAAAGGUAGAUCCAUUGAUCAUUAGCCAAGAAUCUAUUUAAUCUUUCUAAGAUGAGCUUCUGUCUGUGUAUGUACCUCAUAUUGGACCAGGUAAAUUUACUUUGUCUAAAUCAAUGGUCAAUAAGGCUGCAAUGGUUCAAACAAUCUCUAAAAAGAGUAGACCUAGUAGCAUUUAUACUAUUUCCCCCGAAUUUCUCUGAGGCAUUCAAUAAUUCCUUGAACUCACCACCUAUAAGCCAACUAUUACUUUCAAGAGAAUGAAGGGAAUUGGCAAUACACGCUAAUUGAUCCCAGAGGGACCUCCUAAUGGAAAACACAUUACUAGUCAACAACGAUAAAUAUAAAAAGGGAAAAAUAUUGUUAUAUUGCCAACUUUGAUAUUUUUGUUGACCAUUACCUUGUAAUCUCGUAAAUUCUAAUAUUGCUUCAAUCCAAAACACGGCUUUAUAUGGAUAGAGAAUAAUGAAAAUUGCCAUCUUAUGUUUAUUACUAUAAAUAAUAUUUUCUAUUGUAUAAUUAUUUAAUCUAUAAUUAGUUAUGGUGACUGAUUAAUGUUAUUUUCAGUAUAUAAUUGAUUUUAACAAUAUCACUUACAAGUAAGAAAAUUGAAGCUUAUCCAAAAUUCCAUAGAGAAAUAUGAUUAAUUUGACAUAUAUAUAGAAGUAAUUUUAAAGUAGAAUACAUUUUUUUAUUGAAUUAAAUAAAUUGAUAAUCGGAGAAAUUUUUAAUUCGUAAGUUUGCCAUGUUAAAUAUAAUGAUCAUCAACGAAUUCUGUAGUUAUUUGAAAAAGGCACUUGAUCGACUUUGAUAGAAAAUACAAUCCUUUACUAAAGUCUGUCGACUUAGAGAGAAAAUAUAAUCUUUUUAUAGGCAAUAAAUUAGGAAAAAGAAGCCGCUAGAUUAUAAAUUUUGGACGCAAAAUUGUCACUCACUCACUCACUCAGUGCAAAAUUAUUUUCAAUCCACCAUUGCAAAAUAUAGUGAUAAUCAAACAAUUUUUAAUUUGUAAGCCUUCUGCGAUAAGUAUAGCUGAUCAUCAACAAGUUUUUUAGUUAUUUAAGAAAGGCGCUUGAUCGACUUCAACAAAAAAUACUAUCUUUUUCUAAAGUACUCUGCCAAUUUAGAGAGAAAAUAAGAUCUUUUUUCUGAAGUCUGUUGCAACAAGUGAGUUAAAUAUAGACAACAAAUCAGGAAAAAAAAAUCAUUGGAUUAUAAAAUUUGGUCGCAAAGUUGUCACUCAUUCACUCAUUGAAAAAUUAUUUUCAACUUACCAUUACGAAAAUUAAAACACACAUAAAUGAAGGGGAAGGUUAUACUAUGAGUAGCCUAUAAAUUCUCUUGAUAUUUUACAGAAUUAUCGUGCAUAGUUGGUGCUUUUCUCUACCAUUUUUUGUCAUUCAUAUUUCAAAUAUGCAUAAUGCAAAUCUUUCUCCUUCCUCAUUUCUAAUACCUUUUCCUAUACUACUUCGAUGCCCUCUGUGCCAUGGAGUAUUCCGUAUUCAUUGAGAAUUUAUGAACCACGUACAAACUAUUCACCGAUUAUCCGAGCGAGAUGGCAUCCUAAAUUCUCAUGUAGAUGCAUCUAGUAUAUUUUUACAAAUUUUGAGUUUGCAGGGAAAUGAUAGGGUUGUUGUCCAUCUAACAACGUCUUUGAAUCGUAACCAGCUGAUAAGAUGGGACAGAGCACCACCAAUCGAUAGGAAACAAAUGACAAGACAAAAUAGCGUUGUACCAAUAAGAAGAGGCACAAGACCACCAACCACUAGGCAACAAAUGGAAAGAAGCAUUAGAGUUGGAGGUUCAAAUCCAACAUUUGCAGAUUUAAAUGAGUCUACUGAUUUGACGAGACCAUUGAUUAAUCAGUUGGAUGUUCCUAUUUCAUCAAAUGUAGAUGAAUUAAUUAAUAUAGCUGAAGAACAAAAUGAUUUGGACUUGAACUUGAGGCUUUAAUUAGAGUAAAAUUAUGUGGAUUUUCUUUAUAAGGGGUGUCUAAGAUUUCUGCUAAGUUUGAAAUCCUUUUUUUUAGUUUUAUUUUUAGUAUGUUUGCCUGAUUGUGGGAUAUCUAAAGGGGUGAGCGUUGUUUUAUUUUACUAGUAUCUGAGCGCGCGCUCCUGUAACCUAGUUAGUAUUAAAGCAUGUUUGAGUUAUAAUGAAUGUUAGUCCUAUUCACUUCCUCCGUUUCAUAUAUUUUACUUCUUACUAUUAAUAGCGUUAGUUUAAUGAAAUACAUGUCUAAUUCUUGAUUUCUUAAGGGCGUGUCAAAUUAAUAGGCAUCAAGUAAAAUGUAACGGAGGGAGUAAUUAAGGAAGAAACCAUACUCCCCCCAAAGCUCACAGAUUUAUUUUCACAUUCUGAAAAAUUACUUCGCAAAAUAUAAUACUCCCUUCAUAAUUUAAUAUACAUAUGAAUACUUUAAAGUUGAUUCCAUCUAUAUCUAAUACUCCCUUCAGUUCUUUUCAAUUUCUCCCCUUAUUUUUGUGAGUCAGUUUGAUUAAGUUUCAAAGCUAGAUUAAAUUAUAUUAAUUUAUUUUUUAAAAAUAAAAAUUUUGAUAUUCAAAAACUACAUGAAAAGUACUAUCGUUUACAUUUUUUUUUUUAAAAUUUAACUAAGAAAUACAUCUUCAGUUUCUCUGUUCCUAUAAAACUUGAUUUCUUCCUCUGAAAUGAGCUCCAUAGAUUCCAUCCAAUUACCAUUCGACCAAGUGUAUCAACUUCCAUUAAAUAUGUUAAGUCUUUAGUUUUGAUGAUCGACAAAUUGUACGUUGGGACCUGUUUCUUGGAGAUUUUGUGAUGAAAAAACUUAUACCACUUAGGAAAUAGGUUGUUCUCACCUAUCACUAUCACUGUCAAUAGUCUCAGUUGACACAAAGUACAAAAGUUGGUAGGAAAAGAUGCUGCCACCUUUUUGCCUCAACCAAUGAGAUCUCUCUUAGAUUUUCUUGUGUCAUAAUAUAUAUUGUUCAUCUUCCUCAAUAAGAAAAUCAAUGCUUCCAUAUUCUCACAACUAAAUAUCUUUUGAAGCUGCGAAUCAAAGACUGCAUUAUGCAAUAGGAAAGUUAUUGUUCACCGAGUUGUAUUUUUAUUUCCUUGUUGUACUUGAGUCUUUGUAUUUUAGUCUUAAAUGUUUUCCUAUAUUUUCUUAUUAUUAUAGUAGGUUAUUAGGUGUAAACCUAUCUAUUUGUAAUCAUCUGGUGGUUGUCCAAGCUAGAGCUAUCUUGUGGUGUCCAGUUAGAGUUCUAGAGGUUGAAACAGUAGAGCUACUGCUUGUGUUUCCUUGUAAUAAAGUUAUUGCUAGAAGACAAAGGAUUAGGAGGUUAAUUCUUAGAGUCUGUAUUCAAGAAGUUGCUCGAGUAUAGUGGAGAUUAGAAAUCCUGGAGGCAGGUCGUGGUUUUUCUCCCUUGAACAUGGAGUUUUCACGUAAAAACCUUGUGUUUUUUAUUUACUUUAUUUCUACACUUCUUACUUUAUAUAUCUCCUAGUUCUUAUAGUGUAAGUGUAUCUAGGAACAGGUCUCUAAGUUGAGGAGAAACCCAUCCCAACCCUUCAUUUGGUAGCAGUGCGGAUCUUCCAUAAAAAGGCUAACACCUUGGAAGGAUUCUGAGAAAUGGAAGCUCCUCCAAAUCUGUAAAAAAACUAGUCAACCACCAGAUCCCCAAGAUUCAAUGGUGAAUAUUCACCAUUGAAAUGCAUGACUUCAUCAUGGAUGAAUAUUCAGAGAUGUGGGAUGUCAUUGAGGAUGUCCUUUUUGUUCCUACAAGGGUUGUGAAGAUUGGUGAUGUGACCUCACAAGUCCCCAAAACCAAGAAGGAGUUUGAUGAUGCUGAUAGAAAAAAGAUAGAGACGAACUAUAAGUCCAAGAACAUAUUGGUGUAUGAUAUUAGUCCUGAUAAGUACAAUAGGAUCUCAACUUGUGAGACUGCAAAGGAGAUCUGGGACUGUCUUCAUGUAAUACUCCGUAUUUUCCUAGCUCAUUUUAACUCUAAAUAUAUAAGUAUUCCUAUAUAAAAUUUUAAAAAUACUCAAAAUUUUUAAAUUUAGAGCUUACCAUUGUGUAGGAAAUUCAGCCAUCUUUCCAACGAUAUAAAAUUCGCCUAAAUCCGAUACCCGAGUGAAGAGUUAAAGCAAUUUUUAUAAAAUAGUGUGCCAACUGGCACAUCAUCACAUCGCAGAGGGGGUACAAAUGGAAACUGUCAAAAUAAAGUGAUCCAUCACAAUCCCACCACGUUGCGCUGUAGUCCCAGUUCCAAAUAGUCAUUUUUCAAUAAAGCAAUACGAUACCACUGCGUUGCGCCAAGGCCAUUUUUCAAAAUUGUCAAAUUCCAGUGAGCCUCUGUGAUCAUGGAGCGUCGCGCCAAAGGUUAAUUUUGCAAUUGUCCUUUUAAUAAAGUUUCCAGCCAAGAACCAGUGGCUCACUGCAAUGCCACCGCAUAGAGGUGAAUCCCAAAAUUGGGUUUUUAGUGACGAUUUUAAAUAGUUUCUACGGGUAUUUUGGUAUUUCUCCAUGAACCAAAUCAACCUUUAACACAUGAUUUACCCCUAAUUAACCUAGUUAUACCAUUAUUCACUCAAUUUUAUCCCAAAUUAAAUCAUCCUCUCUCAAAAGACAAAAACCUUAGCUUCAAGAAUUAACACUAACUCUUAAGAAUUUCCCCCAAGAACCUUCAAGAAUUAAUCAUCUCAAGUAUGUUAGGUGUUCAUUCAUGGGUUCCUUUCACCCAUGAAGCCCAAGAAUCCCUUUUAGAAACUACAAGAUUGAGUUUUCAUGAAUUCCAUGCUUCAAAUUAAUUGUAAUGAUGUUCAUAAUGUUAUAGGGCUUCCAGCCAUGAUUUAACUAAAGUUUCACAAAAUUGAAAUAGCAUUUAUAUUGAAUUGUGUGAUUUCCAUGUCAUAACCCUUGAAUUUGCAAGUUGGGUGUUGUAGUUACAAUGUUUAUAUGUUUUCCAUGAUUAUAUGCAUUAAGUUGUACUCCCCAAGUAUUUGAUAGAAUGUCCAUGUGAAUAAAAUGGUGAAAUCAUGUCAUGCUACCAUAUGUACAAGCUCAUGCGCUACAAGUGUUUGAUAAAUAUCUCUGUGAAUGAAUUAUGAACAAGUGAACAUUGUUAUGCUUUUCAAGAUCAUGCUAUGCUUUACUUUCCAUGCUAUUGAGUCCUAGGGGUAUUAAAUUCCCAAAAAUCUAGGUGUUUUACCUAGAGCUAUAUUAGUUGCAGAAUAGUCUCAGUCACGUCAAGAAAUAGUAGUACUCACACAGUUACAGAACUCAGUGAACUCAGUCCAGUUUGAUCAGUUCUUAUGAAUAGUAAUAGUUUAGUCAUAUACAGUGUAGUCUAGUAAUCAGUUCAGUGUCUAUUCAGUUGGGAGUAGUAGUUAGCACUGAGUGAACCCAAGGAUAGGGGCUCACCUGCCAGUAGAGGGAGUGAUCCUUAGAGGCAGUCCUUUCAUUCCAAAACUAUGUAUCCAGUGUAGGUUGAGACAUAGUUUUGGAAUGUACUAUCCCAAAACAAGGUCUUUUAACUUGCCAGAUGAGGUACCAAUAUUCUCAUUAGAGUACCUGCUAGAUGAGGGUGACUCUUUAGCUUAUCUUUACCCGUAGCAUGGUACUGAAACCCUUCCAACUGGGGUUAUAGGCUGGACCCUACUUAUCUUAUUUGGGGCAUAUCGGUUGGAUGAUUACCUCCCGCAGUUUUAGUUUCAGUCUCAGUAUAGAGCUUAAUUCCACUCUACAAAAUCAGGACUGCCGACAUUGUCACCCAGUUAUCAGUAACUUAGUUAUCAGCAACUUCAGAUAUUAGUUACUCAGUUAUCCGAAAUCAGUACUCAGCUUUAGUAAAAUCUUAGAUACAAUAUAUACGUAUAUGCACAGUAUUGUAUACUCAGUAUUUAUAGCAGUUUCAGUUAUCCAUGUACUCUCAUAUUUGGUUACUAUAUAACAUUAAGUUAGUUACUGUUCAUGCAUAUAAACCCUUGCAUUCAUCCUUACCUUAUCUAGCAUACCAGUAUAUUCCACGUACUGACGCAUAUUUUCUCUUUUCUCUAUGAUGCCUUAUAUCAUAGGUUCAAAUGCUCAGGUUCCUGACCGCGCUUAGAUAGAUUUAGUCAAUAGUAGUAGGUUCAUUAGUGAGUCCUCAUCUAGAAAGGACAUUCUUUUAUUUUAGUAUUUCAGUAGAUUUAGCAUUUUAUUAGUUAGAGUUAGUUGGGGAAUUAUCCCUUAGUUGGGGGAUUAUCCCAUCAACUCCACAUUCAGACAGUUCAGUUAGAGGCUUUUCAGACUAGACUAGUUCAGACAGUAUUCAGAUUUAAGAUAUUUUAUCAUAUGUUAUUAUUAUCAGUAUUCAGAAUAUGAACCUUAUGGCAGUUUAGCCUAGUUUUCACAUUAUUUCAGUAUUAUUAUUCAGUGCUCACAACAGAUACUAGUCAUGGGUUAGCUUGUGGUCCCUCGGGAUCGUAAGUACUAUGUAGCAUCUGGGGUACAGACUCGGGGUAUUACAAACUUGGUAUCAAAGCAUAAGGUUCAAUAGAGUCCUAGGGAGUCUGAAAGCUGCAUCUAGUAGAGUCUUGUGCAUGGGUUUGUAGCUCACCACACUUAUGGACAGGAGGCUAUGAGAUGUUUUAGUAAAAGUUUCCCUUCUUUCAGUAUUCAUAUCGUGCGAGUGAGCAUGAGCUCAAGUUAAACUCUUAGUCUAAUCAUUUUUUACUUCUGUUUAUAGAACAUGCUUCCCAAAAGGAAUGAUAGAAGAAGAACAGGAAACCAGUCAGCACCUCAGCCCGUUCAAGCAGAUCCCCUGGACGAGAAUGUCUCCCAUGUAGAAUUUAGAGUUGCAUUCACCACUCUAGCCAAUUCAGUAGCAGCUCAAAAUGAACGGCCAACUGUUGUUCAAGCCAACCAGUGGCCAAUACUAUUGCAGUCAGGAUUCAGGACUUUACCCAAAUGAAUCCCCCUAUUCUCAGGAUCUAAGUCAGAAGAGGAUCCACAGGAGUUCCUCGAUUAGGUUUAGAAAGACACAGAUAUUAUGGGAGUGAAUUCCAGUGAGAUUACUGAGUUAUUUUCCUAUCAAAUACAAGAUAUAGGUCAUAUGUGAUUUAAGCAGUGGAAGGUGAACAGGGGAAUAGAGACAGAGCCCAUAGAAUGGGAAGAGUUUGCUACCACUUUUCUAGAUAGAUUUUUUUCCCUUAGAGCUAAGAGAAGCCAAGGUGUUAGAGUUCAUCAAUCUCAGGAAAGGUAGCAUGAGUGUGAAAGAGUAUUCCCUUAAGUUUACUCAGUUAUCCAGGUAUGCUCCCCAUGAAGUAGUAGACAGUAGGUCCAAAAUGAGCAAGUUCGUAUCAGGGGUGUUAGAAAAUGUGGUCAAGGAGUAUAGGACCGUAAUGUUAAUUAAGGAGAUGGACAUAUUCAGACUUAUGAUCCAUGCGCAGUAGAUUGAAGAGGAUAAGAAUAAGGAAAGACAAAGAGAAAAAAAAACAAGAGAGCCAGAAUAGGUAGCUUUAACUUUACUCAGCCUAAGUCAGAAGGUGGUAACCGUUCCUAAUUCUAUCCAAAAUCUUUAGUUCUAGCUCUGUCCUCAGCCAGUGAUCCAGUACCUAAGUUCAGAAAUGGUAACAAAGAUAAGGCACCAGGCUCUAAAUCCUAGGGUAGUGUCAUCAGUGCUCGAACAAAUCCUCUUUGUUAAAAAAUGUGGCAGAAACCAUCAGGGUAUUUGCAGAGCUGGCAGUGAUGUUUGUUUUGGGUGUGGCAAGCUAGGACACAGAAUUAGAGAUUGUCCUCAAUCAGGUUCUCAGGGUUAGUACAAUCAUCCUUCAGCUCAGUUCGGUUAUCCAAAUCAGUAGGGUGCCAUUUCCAUUGCCACCGGUGGGCAAUGUUCAAAUAGGCUUUAUGCACUUUAGUCCCGACAAGAUCAGGAAAGUUCUCCUGAUGUGGUAAAUGGUAUGUUACAGAUAUUCCAUGUACAUAUUUAUACCUUAUUAUAUCCAGGAUCUUCUCUAUUUAUUGUAACUCCUUACCUAGCAGUCAACUUCAGAGUUAGACUAGAAAUCUUAACAAAACCCUUCUCAGUCUCUACCAAGUGAGUCAAUCUAUCAUAUCCCAAUGGGUAUAUAGGAACUGUCUAGUUAUGAUAUCUCAAAAAUUCACUUCAGCAGACUUAGUAGAGUUAGAGAUGACAGAUUUCGACGUCAUUGUUGGCAUAGAUUGGCUCCAUUCAUGCUAUGCCUCAGUUGAUUGUAGAAAUAGAAUUGUUCAUUAUCAUUUUCUAAAUAAACCAGUUCUUCAAUGGUGGGGUAGUACUAAAAUGCUUAAGGAUCAGUUAAUUUCAUACCUUAGAGAAAGAAAAUAAUAUCCAAGGGAUGAGUCUAUCAUCUUAUGUGAGUCAAAAACUCUAGUUUGGAGACUCCUAGUUUUGAGUGAGUUCUAGUAAUGAAUGAAUUCUCAGAUGUGUUUCCUAAAGAUCUUUUUGGAUUUCCUUACAAAAGUGAAAUCAACUUUGGAAUAGACCUUCUUCUAGACACUCAACCUAUAUCUAUUCCGCCAUACAAAAUGGCUCCAGCAUAACUCAGAGAGUUAAAAGAGCAGUUGAAAGAUCUCCUAGACAAGGGAUUCAUCAGACCCAACAUUUCCCCAUGGGGUGCACCAGUCUUAUUUAUGCAUAAGAAAGAUGGUUCACUCAGAAUGUGUGUAGACUACCGUUAGUUGAACAAAGUCACAGUCAAGAAUAAAUACCCACUUCCUAGAAUUGAUGACUUGUUUGACCAACUUUAGGAAGCCAGUUACUUUUCUAAGAUAGACCUGAGAUCAGGCUAUCAUCAUCUUAGAGUUAGAGAAUGUGACAUUUCAAAAAUAGCUUUCCGAACCCUGUAUGGUCACUUCAAGUUUCUAAUCAUGUCCUUUGGUCUCACUAAUGUCCCAGCAGCCUUCAUGGACUUAUUGAAUUAAGUGUUCAAGCAGUACUUGGACAUGUUCAUUAUAGUCUUCAUCGAUGACAUUCUUGUCUAUUCCCGUAGCUAGAAUAAUCAUGCAGAUCAUCUCAGAAUCAUACUUUAAACUCUAAGAGCCCAUCAGCUAUUCUCCAAAUUUAGUAAGUGCAAAAUUUAUCUAAGAUCAGUAGCUUUCCUUGGCCAUAUUAUUUUUAGUGAUGGCAUUAGAGUUGAUUCUUAAAAGACCAAGACAGUAAAAAACUGGCCUAGACCCAUUUCUCUAUCAGAUAUCAGGAGUUUCUUAGGUUUAGCUGGCUAUUACCCUCGGUUUGUUGAAGGGUUUUCAUCUAUUGAAUCCUCCAUAUCCAGAUUGACCCAGAAGAAAGUUAAGUUUCAGUGGUUAGAUUCUUGCAAGAAGAGUUUUCAUGAGUUGAAGACUCGACUCACCUCAGCCCCAGUUUUGACUCUACCAGAUGGUUCAGAUAGGUUUGUUGUGUAUUGUGAUGCAUCUAGAGUAGGUCUGGGUUAUGUACUCAUGCAAAGAUUUAAGGUAAUAGCCUAUGUCUCUAGAUAGCUUAAUCCCUAUGAGAAGAAUUACCUGACUCAUGAUCUUGAGUUAGCAUUUGUAGUGUUUGCCUUAAAGAUUUGGAGGCAUCAUUUGUAUGGGGUGUAUGUUGAUGUGUUCAUAGAUCACAAAAGCUUGCAGUAUGUCUUUUCUUAGAAAGAUUUGAAUUUGCAUUAGAGAAGGUGGUUAUAUUUGUUAAAAGAUUAUGAUAUGAGUGUUCUGUAUCAUUCGGGCAAGGCCAAUAUAGUGGUGGAUGCUCUCAGUAGAUUGUUGAUAGGUAGUGUUGCUCAUAUGGAGAAUGAUAAGAAGAAAUUAGUUCAGGAAGUCCAUCAGCUUUCCGAAGUAUGUUUCCAUUUAGUCGACUCGGCAGAGGGUAGUGUGUGGGUGCAUAAUAUUUUGGAAUCAUCUCUGGUUUUUGAGGUAAAGGAAAAGCAGGACAGAUAUCCCAUUCUAGUUAAGCUAAAAGAGUCAGUCGAAGACCAGAAAGUCAAGGUUUUCUCCCAAGGGGGGAUGGUGUGUUGUGUUUCCAAGGUCAUCUAUUUGUGCCAUGUGUAGAAGACUUGAGGUGAAGAAUUCUUGCAGAAUCGCAUAGUGCAUGUUACUAUAUUCAUCCAGGGGCCAGUAAGAUAUAUUGCGAUCUGUGGGAGAUCUAUUGGUAGAGUGGGAUGAAGAGGGAUAUCGCAGAGUUUAUAGCUAAGUUCUCUAUGUGUCAGCAGGUUAAGAUUGAGAACCAUAAGCCUAGUGGGUCCAUAUAGGAGUUUAGUGUUCACACAUGGAAAUGAGAAGAAGUGAGCAUGGACUUUGUGAUGGGUUUGCCUCGUACUUGUCGUCAGCAUGAUUCAAUUUGGGUUAUCAUAGAUAGGAUGACCAAAUCCGCUCAUUUCUUACCUCUUAUUGAGUAGAGGACUACUCUAAACUCUAUAUCAGAGAGUUGGUCAGGUUACACAAAGAUCCAAUAUCCAUUAUCUCAAAUAGAUGUACCCAAUUUACCUCUCACUUAUGGAAAGCAUUCCAAAAGGGUCUUGGUACCCAAGUUCACCUCAGUAUAGCCUUCCACCCUCUGACAGAUGGUCAAGCAAAAAAGACCAUUCAGACUCUAGAAGAUAUAUUAAGAGCAUGCAUUAUUGAUUUUAAAGGUAGUUAGGAUGACCACUCUCCUUUGAUCAAAUUUAUAAAUAAUAACAAUUAUCAUUCCAGCAUCUAGAUGGCUCCGUUUGAAGAUCUCUAUGGUAAUAGAUGUAGAUCUGUUAUUAGUUGGUUCGAGGUAGGUGAGGCCACAGUAGUAGGGACUGAUUAAGUGUUUGAUGCCUUAGAAAAGGUUCAGUUGAUCAGAGAAAGGCUUAGGAUAGCCCAAAGCUAAUAGAAAUCAUACACAGAUAUGAGGAGAAAAGAUCUCGAGUUUAAGGUCAGUGAUUUUGUGUACUUGAAAAUCUCUCCCAUGAAAGGAGUAAAGAGGUUCGACAAGAAGGAAAAGCUUAGUACCCAGUAUGUCGGUUCUUAUAGAAUUAUCAGUUGUUUAGGAAAGGUAGCUUACAAGCUUAAGUUGUCUUCAGAUCUAGCUUCAGUACACCCAAUAUUCCAUGUCUCCUUGUUAAAGAAAUGCAUUGGUGACCUAGCAGUCAUAGUUCCCUUAGAGGGCGUAGAUAUUUAGAAUAAUCUCUCUUUCGAAGAGGUUCUAGUUCAAAUCCUUGAUUAUCAGAUUCGCAGACUGAGUAACAAACAAGUUCCCUUAGUCAAAGUUCCUUGGCAGAAUCAGUCUGAUGAGGGAGAUGCUUGGGAAGAAGAAGCAGAUAUGUGGACCAAGUAUCCUCACCUCUUCUCCACUAGCUCAUAUUUAGCUUAGGGUAAUAGUCUUCCUUAGCUUUACUCAGUUCCAUGUUCAGUUACAGUUACAAACUUGGUAUUAAUUACCAUUGCAUAUCAUCUACAUGACAUCAUUCAUUCAUGAAUCAGUUCAACCAUGUACUCAUGCAUCAGAUAUGUAUGUUCAGUAUGAAAACUCAGCUUAUCAAUAGCUUCAGUCAUGUAUUCCAUGCAUCAUAUAUGCAUAUUUAGUGUGUAAACUCAGUCUAUCAGUGUUUCUCAGCUUAAUCAUUCUUAUUCGAGGACGAAUGUUCCCAAGGGGGAAAUAUUGUAAUACCACAUAUUUCCCUAGCUUAUUUUAACUCUCAGUAUAUGAGUAUUUGUAUAUAAAAUAUUUAAAAUACUCAGAAUUUUUCAGUUUAGAGUUAACCAUUACGUAGGAAAUUCAGUCAGCUUUUCAAUGAUAUAAAAUUCACCCAAAUCUGAUACCCGGGUGAAGAGUUAAAGCAAUUUUUGUAAAAUGGUGUGUCAACUGGCACAUCAUCACGUCGUGGAGGGGGAUCAAAUGGAAAGUGUCAAAAUUCAGUGAGCCAUCAUGAUCCCACCGCAUCGCGCCACAGUCCCAGUUCCUAAUAGUCAUUUUUUAGUAAGGCAAUACGAUACCACCGCAUCGCGCCAAGGCGAUUUUACAAAAUUGUCAAAUUCUAGUGAGCCUCCGAGAUUAUGGUACAUGGAGACAAAGGUUAAUUUUGCAAUUGCCCUUUUAAUAUAGUUUCUAGCUAAGAACUAUAGGCUCACCACGAUGCCACCGCGUCGUGGUGAAGCCCCUAAUCGGGUUUUUCAAUGACAAAUUUUAUAUACUUUCCAGGGGUAAUUUGGUAUUUCUCCAUGACCCAAAUCAACCUUUAACAAGUGAUUUACCCCUAAUUAACCUAGUUAUACCACUAUUCACCCAAUCUCCCCCCAAAAUUAAAUAAUCCUCUCUCAAAAGGCAAAAACCCUAGAUUCAAGAAUCAAACCUAACUCGCAAGAAUUUCCCCAAGAACCUUCAAGAAUUAAUCAUCUCAAGUAUGUUAGGUGUUUAUUCAUGGGUUCCUUUCACCCAUGAAGCCCAAGAAUCACUUUUAGAAACUACAAGAUUGAAUUUUUAUGAAUUACAUGCUUCAAAUUAAUUGUAUUCAUGUUCAUAAUGUUAUAUGGUUUCCAUCCAUGAUUUAAGUAAAGUUUCACGAAAUUGAAAAAGCAUGUAUAUUGAAUUGUGUGAUUUCCAUGUCAUAACCCUUGAAUUUUCAAGUUGGGUGUUAUAGUUACAAUGUUUAUAUGUUGUCCAUGAUUAUAUGCAUUAAGUUGUGCUCCCUAAGAAUUUGAUAGAAUGUCUAUGUGAAUCAAAUGGUAAAAUCAUGUCAUGCUAGCAUAUGUACAAGCUCAUGCCCUACAAGUGUUUGAUAAAAUGUCUUUAUGAAUGAAUUAUGAACAAGUGAACAUUGUUAUGCUUUUCAAGAUCAUGCUAUACUUUACUUUCCAUGCUAUCGAGUCUUGGGGUUAUUAAAUACCUUAAAAUCUAGCCAUUCUUUUAGAGCUAUAGUAGUUACAUAAUAGUCUCAUUCACGUCACGAAACAGUAGUACUCAGAUAGUUAUAGAACUCAGCGAACUUAGUCCAGUUUGGUCAGUCCUCACAAUCAGUAAUAGUUCAGUCAUACCCAGUUCAUUCUAGUAAUCAGAUCAGUGUCUAUUCAAUUGGGAGUAGGAUUCAGCACCGAGUUAACCCAAGGAUAGGGGCUUAUCUUUGAUCCUUAGAAGCCGCCCUUGCAUUCUAGAACUACAUGGCAAGCAUAGGUUGAGAUAUCAACUUGCCAGUUAAGGGUUGAUGAGGUAUUUUAAACUACCAGUUGAGGGUACCACCAUUCUCAUUAGAGUACCUGCUAGAUGCAGGUGACUCUUCAUCUUAUAUUUACCCGUGGCAUAAUAUUGGCACCCUUCAAAUAGGGGUUAUAGGUUGGACCCAAAUUAUCUUUUUUGGGGCAUGUUGGUUAGAUGAUUACCUCCCACAAUUUCAGUUUCAGUCUCAAUAUAGAGCUCAGUUCUGCUCUACAGAAGUAGGACUAUCAGACACAAUCACCUAGUUAUCAGUAACUGUAUCGCCUCGAGUCUAUACCCUGGAUGGUACACAAUGUUGGUGACCCUAAAGGACCACCAGCUAACCCAUGACUGGUACCUGCUGUGAGCAAUGAAUAAUAAUAAUACUUCCAUCAUAACAUAACUAAAAAAAGAAGUUAGGCUAAAAAUAUCAUAAGGUUCAUAACUAAAAAUCAAAACCAAUUCUGAAUACUGGAAACUGAGUACUAAAACAUAUAUCUGAAACACUUUAGUCUGAAAGCCUCUACUAUCUGAAUUAUGGAGUUGAUGGGACAAAUCCCCAACUAACUCCGACUACUAAACUACUGAUAAUCUGAAAUACUGAUAUGAUAAUCAUGUCCUCAAAACUAUGAGGACUUACCACUAACUUUGAAUCAGCUACUGAAAGAUUCGGGCUACUAUUUAUGGUCAAGAAUAUGUGCAUAAGAACCUAUGAUAUAAGAUAUCAUAGCGCAAAAGAAAAGUAUGCGUUAGUACUUUGAAUGUAUUGGUAUUCUAAGUGAGGUAGGCUGAUAUGCAUGGGUUCAUAUGCAUGAACAAUAACUGACUGAUUAACAUGAACAUAACUGAAUGAGAGUACAUAUAUGAGUACAUAAACUAUAACUGAGAUCAUAUCAACAUUGGUUACUGAGUUCUGAAUAUUUAUUAACUGAUAUCUGAGUUUAUUGAUACUGUAACACUAAUAACAGAGUGAUUAUUUCUAACAAUCUUGAUUCUAUAGAAUCCUGAAUCUGUAGAACUAAACUGAGUUCUAUACUGAGACUGAAACUAUAAUCGUGGGAGGUAAUCAUCUAACCGACAUGCCCCUUUCUGAAUAGAUUGAGGUCCAACCUAUAACCCCAGUUGGAAGGGUUUCAUUACCGUGUUACGAGUAAAUAUAAGUUAUGAGUUAAUCCUCUCUGAUAGGAAGCUCUUUCGUCAACCCUCGCUAGUAGGAAACUUAUAUGAGAUAUAUCAACCCUAGUCCGGCAGGAAGAUAUCUCAACCUACACUGGCUACAUAGUUAUGUAAUGCAGGGAUUGCUACUGAGGGUCAAACCCUAUGUUGGAAGGAAUGCCCCUAUCCCUAGGUUCACUUGGUGCUGAAUCCUACUCCCAACUAAAUAGACAGUGAACUGAUUCCUAGUUCAUACUAGGCUUGACUGAACUAUUACUGAUUGUACUAUCUAACUGAACCAAACUGAGUUCACUGAGUUCUAUUAACUGAUGGAGUACUAUUGAAUUCUGGUAACCAACAAAAUACUACGAAGUUCUAUUAACUAACUGAAUUUACUGAGGUCUAACUGAAUACUGAACUGAAACUGUGACUGACUACUGAGUACUACUGUUUGUGACACUACUGAGACUGUUCUGAAACUAUUGUAGCUCUAGGUAAACAACUAAGUUUUUAGGUAUUGAAUACCCCCAGGACUCGAUAGCAUGGAAAGUAAAGCAUAGUAUAAACUUGUGAAGCAUAAUAAUGUGUAAUUGCUUCAUAUCUCAUUCAUAGGGACAUUCUAUCAAACACUUGUAAGCUAUAAAUUUGCACAUAUGCUAGUAUAUCAUGAUUUAUUCCCUUUUAAUUCACAUAAGCAUUUUAUCAAGCACUUGGGAAACAUAAUCUUUGCACAUGAUACUAAACAACAUGUAGGCAUCACAAUUUCAAUUUCCAAUUCACACAUUAAAGGAUUUUAACAUGAAUUCACAUGAAUACUACACACAUGACAAUCAAAUCCACAUGAAACUUGUAAUAAAUCAUGGAUUAGAAAUCCAAUUAACAUUAAAAUCAUGAAUACAUUUAAUUCUAAUCAUAGAAAUCAUGAAAUCAAUUUACUUAAAGUUCAAAAGAGUUUCUUGAACUCCAAGGGUCGAAGGAACCCUUACAUGAACACUUCACUUACCUUAAUGCUUAAAUUCUUAAAGGUUGAUGGUGAGUUCUUGAGCCUUGAAUUUGAAUUAAGAUCACCUAGGGUUUUUGUUCUUGAGUAAUUUGAGAAUAGUGAAUGAAUUUUGCCUUAAAAGUGGCUAAAUCACGUGUUUUGGGGGCUAAUAGAUGUGGGAAAAUGACUCAAAUACCCCUGAGGAUGCGGUUUUUUAAUAAUUGAAAACUGACCUAGCCACACAUAGAAUGAUGCAAUACUUCAAUGGGAUCGACGCGAUGGCUGACGUGUCGCAUCGAGUCUGCAUAGUUCACUAGAAAUUGCACUAAGAGCUAGGGGGAAAUAUUCAUCGACGCGAUAGGCAAUAAGCGCGUUGAGAUCAUGUCGAUACACUGGAUUGGGCUCCCAACGUGCCUCAAACUAUGUUUGAAAAUUUUGAAACUCAUUCGAGAACAUCUACUGACACUCCUGAUCAUGAAUCAACUUAAAGAUCACAAUUCAAUGGUUGUAAAGGUAGCAAAAUAAGAUUUCCAACUUACGAAGGCUAAAUUAACUCUUAGUAUGAAUACUUAGCUAAAAUUUUCUAAGUUUGGGACCCCUUAAUAAGAUUUUAAUGAACUGAAUUGAGCUUAGGAUUUUGCGGGGUCUUAUAGUAACUCAGUUAUCAGUAACUUCAGAUAUCAGUUACUCAGUUAUCAGAAAUCAGUACUUAGCUUCAGUAAAGUCUCAAAUACAAUAUACACGUAUAUGCAUAGUAUUGCAUAAUCAGUAUUUACAGCAAUAUUAGUUAUCCGUGUACUAUCAUAUUCAGUUACUCUAUAUCACUUAGGUAGUUACUAUUUAUAUAUAUGAACCCUUGCAUUCAGCCUUACCUUAUCUAGCAUACCAGUACAUUCCACAUACUGAUAGAUACUUUCUCUUUGCACUAGGAUGUCUUAUAUCAUAGGUUCGGACACUCAGGUUCCUGACCGCUCUUGGAUAGAUUCUAUCAGCAAUAGCAGAUUCAGUAGUGAGUCCUCAUAUAUCAAGGAUAUUCCUUUAUAUCAGUAUUUUAGUAGAUUCAACAUUUUAUUAGUCAUAGUUAGUUGGGGACUUGUCCCAUCAACUCCACAUUCAGACAGUUCAGUUAGAGGCUUUUCAGACUAGACUAGUUCAGACAACAUUUAGAUUUUAGAUGUUUUUAUCAAAUGUUAUUAUUAUAGUAUUCAGAUUAUGAACCUUAGGAAGUUCAGCAUAUUUUUUCAUUAUUUCAUUAUUAUUAUUUAGUGCUCAUAGAAGGUACUAGUCAUGGGUUAGCUUGUGGUCCCUCGGGAUCAUAAGCACCGUGUAGCAUCCAGGGUACAGACUCAAGGAGUUACACUUACAGCCCAUGAAGGAGCUACUCAAGUUAAGCAAUCCAAGCAGGACCUGCUGACAAGUCAAUAUGAGACCUUUACUAUGCAGGAAGGAGAAUUCAUUCAAGAGAUGUACACUAGAUUCACUAUUGUGACAAAUAAGUUGCACUACCUGGGUGAGGUUAUUCCAUCACCCAAGUAGGUCAGGAAGAUCUUAAGAAAUCUUCCUAAAAGAUAGGAAAGAAAAAUAGAUUCCAUCUCUCUUAAGCCAGGGAUCCAAAUAGGAUGGCCAUGGAUGAACUUAUAGGAAACCUCAAAACCUAUGAAUUCCUGAAGAAUUUUGGAAAGUUAAAAGUUGAGACCAAGGUUGGAAAAAAUUUAGUUCUUAAGGAUGCAAAGGAUACCUCAUAUGAUGAAGAUGAGGAGACAACUUAUAUUGCAAAAAGAGUUCUCAAAGCCUUGAGGAAAUUAGGAGCUAUCUCUACAAGGGGAGAGUCCAACAAACUUUUCAAGGAAGGUAAGGCAAGUGACACAUGUCAAAAAUGUGGAAAGUUCAAUGUCUAUAUCAAGGACCUUCCUAUGCAUAAGAUUGAACAUAAGGAUUAUGCUAAGCAAACUAAAGGGAAGGAAAAAGUCAAGGACUAGGUUCCUAUGUAGUAUGGUAAGACGACUGAAGCUGACAAAAUUGCCAAUCAAGUAUUGGCCAUUUGUUGGGGUGAUUCUUCAAGUGACUCUGAGGAUUUAGAACAAAGAGGAGAUAAUUCCAUGGUGGUAAUAAAAUAUGAAUUAUCAGUCUUUGACUCACUUUUUGCUUUGAUGGAAGAUACUAAGAAUGGUGAGGACAACUGAUUACUUCCUCAGUAAACUUAGAUCUAUUGAAUCCGUGUUUCUUGAUUCACUUGAUGAUAUUGCUAAGGACAAAUAAAGUCUAAGGGAAUCCUUAGAAAAAUGUGAAUAAGAAGUGGUGGAACUAAGUGUACAAGUAGUUGAACUCAUGAAUGAGAAGGCAAAGCUAAAGGAAGAUCUGGUUAAAUAUGAAGAAAAAAUGGUGGAGUUAAGUGUACACGUUGUUGAGCAUCAAGCUACUUUACAGAAUCUCUCCUGUGAGAAUAAUGUUCUGAAUACAAGACUAGACAAAAUCACCAAACAAAAUUACAAGGGAAAAGGUAAAGAAAGCACGAUACAAUUUCAGCUAGAAGAAGAAUUGAUUCAAACUAAGGCCAACAUGAUGCUUCACUUCAAAGAAACCUAAUACUUGAAAAGUAAAUAGUUCGGGUAAAGACAGAGCUUGAGAAAGAUCUCAAGUGGACUACUCCAUCACAAGGUCCAACUCAUUUUACCAGCCAAAGUUCUAGCAACAGGGAAAGCUCAGAAUAUCACUGUCAAACGGCCAAGGCUCAGGAUAUUCUUUCUCUUAUCAUGCUUACAAAGGGAAAAGAUACUCCUCUAUGUUUCCAUUGUGGACAAGAUAGUCACAUAAUAUAAAUGUAUCCAUCUAGGGCUCCAACUCAAAGAGGAAUAAGGGAUUUCACUGCCUCAAGAAUAAAAAUGGAAAACUUUCCUAGUUGGACAAAAAAAAAACUGAUUUUUCCUUUAUCUCCUUAUUGGGAACCAACACUAAAAUGGAUUCCCAAGGCUAAUAACCGAUCUAUGAUAUAGGGAUAGGUAAGAGAAGGCAACCAAAAAAGAUGAUAAUGGCUACUCAGAUUAUAAAAUUGAAAACUUGAAGGUCACCUAUUGCUGAAGACCUUUAGUGGAGGCAAUCUCUCCCAGGUAAUAAUAUCAAAGAGUUAAAAUUACUAAUACUGGUGAUGAUGUAAGUUUGGGUUAAAAAUUGAUCUUCAUGUAGUCCUAAAGGACCUAUAUCUACUAGAUCCUUGAAGAAAGUUAGUAGAAAACUAGUUGACUAGAAUAAGAAAGAACACAGGUAAUGAGAUCUAAUUGAUGACUGAUUACUCUCAUAAUUCUUUUGGCAUGGCUAUGAACUGGUAAGCAUGUAUACUUGUUGGAUAAUGUCCUACAUGUCUAAUUCAGUCUCAUAUCUUUGCAGAUAUACACCCAUGACAAAGAGGAGGAGAUAUGAAAAGCGGGGUGAAAACGCACACAAUAGUUAAGUUUAGACAUUGCUCGGGGCCCAGGUCCGUAGUAAGGUUAGUAUCACUUGCUAUUCCUAAAUAAAGACCAUUUCAAAUAUUUAAUGAAUAUGCCAUAUCACUUCCCUACCUUUUUCAAAAAAGGGCUGACUCUUGUACUUUAAGUCCAACAGACGCGUCCAUCUAACAGUACACAUCAUAUCAAAGUCUUCAAAUCUUUUGAUCUCAACCAUUCUCUCAUGCCUUAUAUAAAAAAAAUUUAGAUCAUUUUGUCCAUCAUUUUUCAAAAAAUAAACAAAUUCUCUAUCUUAUUAGUUCCCUAACCAUUCAAAGAUUUUUCUCCUCUCAUCUUCUCAGACCAUCCAACUCCAAAAGGGGCAUUUGUUCAGCAAUUAGUAAGGAGAUAGAACCUCAAAAUCAGAUAGCCUCAUGUAGUAAAAAUUUCAGAUGGGAACCUCUCUCGCCAACCUUCUCCACUUGGAGUUAGAAUGACCUUUUUCAAAGAACUAAUGAGGAUGAUGAGGUACUAUAUCCCAUUAUUUAUAUAUCAGGAAACAAUAGAGCUAGCAAGGAAAGCAUUGAAAAAAAUAGAAAUGUAAGAAAAAAGCAAAAUUGCCAUAGUCAAAUUGUGUGCUAAAAGGUCAGUACACAUUGAAGAUCCAGAAGACAAUACUGAGAGCCUAUUCAAUGAUAGUGAGGAUAGUGAAAUUAAGUGCAUGUUUUAAGGCUUGAGUGACUAUGAAGAUGAGUCACUUGAUUUUGAUAGUGAGAAAUACACUUCUUGUACAAAUGAGAACGUGAAAAGAAAAGGGAAUGCAUCUCUAAAGAAAAGAAAGGGGAUGUUAGUUAUGAAACCAGUGUCUACUAUCACUGGCAAAGAAACGGAUUAGAAAAGGUUAUUGAUAAGGGACCAGGUCCCAGCUCCAAAUUAACCAGGCCCUCAAAGCGAGUGGUUGCUUCAUUUGUAAGUAGAUGAGUUUUGAUUCUAUUAUAGCUGAUAUGCCAAAAAUAAGAGAGUUAAUUGACUUGGUAAAGUUUUAGAAUUGGGAGAACUUAUUAGAAUUAGCCGUGCCUUAUUUGUAUGAGGAAGAAGUAAGGAUAUUUUAUCAUAACUUGAAAAUUUCUGAAGAUGGCUUGUAUCUAACCUCACAGGUCAAUGGUGUGGUUAUGGGAUUAGAUGAAGAUACACUUUUGAAAUCCUUGGUGAUCCUAUUGAAGGAAUAAGGUAAAUAUAAUUAGAGGAAGGGUCUACUGAUUUUCUUAAAAUUUUUGGUGCACUUGAUGACUCAAACACUCAAUUUUGACAAAGGGGAUCUUAAGAGAGGAUUUCGAUUGUUGUUUGGGCUUUUGAUUGGGGCACUACUUCCUAGAUCAGAUUAAGGAAUUACUGUUACUGGUCCUGACCUGUACCUCAUGGAAGUUCUAUCUACAUAUUAGAGAGUGAACCUUUCUACAAUUUUCAUGGAACACAUUAAUACAGUCAUAACCACAAAAGAUUGUGACUAUGGGUUGGCUCAUGGUCUUUGGCUGAAUAGAGUAUUUGUAUACUUUGAUGUUAAAUGUGGAAAGGUAAAGGCUAGCUUACCAAAAUAGGUGUCUACUUCAGUAAAAAGAGGAGAAGAGGGCACCCAUUUAAUUAUAAAGUUGAGAAAUAAAAAUAUUGCCUGAGAGGGUGAAAAAGCCGGAAGCCGGAAUGGAAGCCUUGACUAUAGUGAACAAAGAAUUGACACAACAAAUGCUCAAGGAUCAUGCUGAAGAAGGUGAAAUAUUGAACUUACUCCUUAUAUAGUGGAAUCAAGCUCCUGGUGCUUCUUCCUAGAUCAUUUCCACCACUGCUUCCUUUAGUCCUUCUCUUUUAGCCUUGUUAAAUCUGUUUUUCUCAUCCUUUUUGUCUUUGAUGUGUACAUGAUAUUGUUGUUUUGACUUUUAAUGGUUGUCUUUUUCUUGAAUGGUUUUUGGUACUGUUCUAUGGAUGAUAUCACCUCUUGUACUUCUAUCUGAUCUUUUCUUGCUCAUGAAAGUGUUGCUUCAAUGGCCAUGAAUUAACAUAUAUGCUUAUUUAUGCUUGGUUUACUACUUGACCUCUUUGAUGAUUCUAAAAGGGGAAAAGUAUGAGGUAUCUUGCAUUUUCUUAGAAAGGUUGGGAUAUAUCUAGUUCAUGUUGUGUUGAUGAAGAUAGGAGUUCUCUCACUCAUGGGGAACUUGAUACUCAUAGAUGGGGGAAUAAGGUGUAGGAUGCCUAUAUGCUUAUACGUAUCAGUUAUAAUGGGAAUUGGUUGGUAAAACUAGUUUGACAUGGCCUUGUGGCUUGUGGUGUAUUGUUGAGGUGUAGACUGUGCUUUGUGUCGAUAUUUUGAAGAUGCAAAAUGCUUGCAUGAGUUUAUCAUCAUCAAAAAGGGGAAAUUAUUAAGUCCUUAAUUUUGAUGAUUGACAAUUUUUUAUCUCAACCAAUGGGAUCUCUCCUAGGUUUUCUUGUGUCAUAAUAUAUAUUACUCAUCUUCCUUAACAAGAAAACCAACACUUCCAUAUUCUUACAACUAAAUAUCUUUUAAAGAUGGGAAACAAAGACUACAUUGUGAAAUAGGGAAUUGAUAGUUCAUCGAGUUGUACUUUUAUAUCCUUGUUGUACUUGAGUCUUUGUAUUUUGGUCUUAAAUUUUUCCUACAUUUACUUAUGAUUGUAGUAGUUUUUGAGGUGAAAACCUUUCUCUUUAUAAUCAUCUAGAAUUAGGUGAUUGUCCAAGCUAGAGUUAGAUUAUGGUAUCCGAUUAGAGUUAGCUGGAGGUUGAAGCAGUAACACUACUGCUUGUAUUUCCUUGUAAUAGAGUUAUUUCUAGGAGACAAAGGAUUAAGAGUUUAAUCCUUGGAGUCUGUAUUCAACAAGUUGCUUGAGAUCUUAGAAAUCUUGGAGGCAGGUCGUGGUUUUUCUCCCUUGAGCAAGGAGUUUUCAUGCAAAAAAAAUUGUGUCUUUUAUUUACUUUAUUUCAACACAUAUUACUUUAUAUAUGUCCUAGUUCUUGUUGUAUGAGUGUAUCAAUAACAAGUCCCUAAGUUGAGGAGCAACCCACCCUAACCCUUAAAAAUCCUAUAUCACAUACCCCAUAAGAAUUAAUACAAAAGGAAAAACUUUGACACUUAUCUGUUGAUUAUCGAAAGUCUUCCCAACUUCAUCUCAUCUGAUAACAUAACGUUGAUCUUGGAACCUUGAGGUUUCGAUGAAUGACAAUAUGAAUGAAAUAAGUUGAUAUAUGUGUUCCACUGAUCUGACAAGUUCAAGAGUUCAAUUCCACGAUAUAAAUGAUUAAGAAUUAAAAUUAGUUAAAUUGGUGCAACUGGAAAAUUCAACUUACUCAUCACGUGGUGAAUAGAACAAGUUGAAUUUGGUUCAAACACUUGAUUAUAAGGGAAAGAAAGUUGCAUUGAAAAAGGAGUCCUAUGUGAUGAAAGACUUUUACUUUUGAGCAUAUCCUGAAGAGUCCUAUGUGUAGAAGGAGAAAGAUACUGAAACUUAAAGAAGUGGUAUUUGAGCACUACACGUGAACACAAGUGAAAGAAAGAGUUUCACUCAGAUAAGGAGUAUGGCUUAAAGAAGGACAUUGACUUAACAACAAACUCUAAUGAGUUGAAGAGUCCAACUGAAGAUAAAAGAUUAAUGACAUAAAGGACUUUGAAGAGUUGCUGUUAAAUAGAGAAAGUGAUUCACAUAAUCAUUUACGCACUUAAAAAGGCAGAAAAGGGCAAUUGAUAGAUUGACUUUAAGAAAUGCUACCCAAUCACCGAAGAAACACAUUGAAGAACCUGAUCCUAAUAUAGAAUCUGCAUAAGAGUUGUAAUGUUGAUUGUUAGGAGUUGUUCAUUGUGUUAAACUAUUGAUGUAAUAUUAGUUUCAGUGUGUUAUAAACUGAACUAGGGGCCAAUCUUCGAGUGGGGGAUAACUCAGAGACUUUGGAAACACAUAACUUGGGUGGUGUGUGUGUAGUUAGGAAUUUGAUUUUAUAAUUCCUAGUUGUUAGGUUAUAGGAAUUAGAGUUCAUAAUUCUUAGGUUACAAGAUUUUUGUAAUAAGUUGUUGUUGAGGAUCAUUAUUACGUAGUGAAGUUGGGGUUAAAUCAUGUAGAGGUACAUGUUGUGGUUUUUUACAACUUUUUGGGCCCGAUGUUUUCUACGUAAAAAUCCACUGUGUUAUUUUCUUAUUGUUUUAGAUAGUUCGAAACAUGUUAGUCAACCUGUUCUAUUGAUUGGCAAUAUUUAGGUAAAAAUAAGAUAAUCAGUAGGGCACGUACUCUAACAAGUGGUAUUAGAGCAAGGUUGUCUUAAAAAAGGUUAUCCACCUUGAGUAGUGCAAUAAGUAUAAGUUCUAAUUAAAUAAUGAUACUCCCAUUCUUGGUGCUUGUGCUAUGUUUCCUUAAUGAAUAUGUUAGUGGUUUUGGAAGCAUAGUAAUAUCUUAGGUAGGGGAUUAUAUGUUCUUGAAUGUGAAAAUUUUUAUGUGAUUUUACGAGCUAAGGUUACAGGCGAAGGGGGAAAGAAGGAGAUGAACCUUUUUUGUAUGAAAUAGUUAGGAAGGAGAUAUGUGGCAAAAAUCUUGGUAAGAGUGACUGAAUUUGCUGGUCUUGGUGGGGAGAUCCAUUAAGUGGGUAUAGUAAUGAUAGAUUGAAUGUCGUGAUUGAUGAAAACAUAAACCAAUGUGUUAUGUGGUAGGUACUCCUUGAUUUAAGACUUGAGGGUGUCUGAUUAUAAUGAUAAGGUGAAGUAAUAUUCUUAACGGAUGUAGGGUGUGGAGUCCCAUAGCUUAAGCUAGCACCUCUUUUCUUCGAGUUAGGCUUCCAAUAGAAGUACUAUGCAGUGGGACUCAAACACUUGGGAUUAGAUGUUUGAUGGGAGAAUUGUAGGAUAGAAAUGAUGAAUUAUGUUAUUUAUUGUUUGGGGCAUAGAUGAUUAGUGUCCCUAAGAUUAAGGUCUAUUCAUUGUAUCUUGCAAGGUAGAGAAUGCUUCAAUUCCUAUCUCCCACAAAAUAUCAUUUCAUGAUUAGUACCAAUUUAAAUCAGGCCUAUGACCACCAAAUAAGCUCAUGCCUUAUGUUGUGAUGACUAUGAUCCCUAGAACUCAUGUGCAAGGUCAUCUCUAUGUCAAUUCUUAUUAUUUCGUGCUUCGAAGGGCAUGAAAAUCAUUUGAUGCCUUGCAUAUUUUGUUGAGAAAUAAUGUUCAAUGUGAGGUUACAUUCUUUAUUACAUAAUUUUAGAUAUUCAACAAGUUCCUACCCAUCAUUUGGGGAUAAAUGAUCCCAAGGGAAGAUAAUGUAACACCCUGCACUUUUGGGCUAAAGUUGAACCUUCUUUCCUACAUUUAUAGAACCAAACCCAAUGGUUGCUACUUAUAUAUAAGUGUUAAUGAAACUUCCUUAGUGUGUAAACAUCCUUGGAUAUGAAUAUACAACAUAAAAAUCUCCUAGCUUAAAAGUUAAGUUGAGCACUUUCCCAUCGAUUGACUUUUAGUUGACAAUUUUGCAUGGGUCAACUUCCAGCGACCAUUUCUAGUUGGAUAUGAAGAGUUAUGUGGCCUCCAAUAUAAAAAUUAAAGCCAUUCGAGCCUUCUUUCCAACAUCUCUGACCGUUCUUCAAUUCGAGUAUGGAGUCAAAUAUUAUGAGUGUUUGAAUGAGGCACUAUCAAGGGUGUCCGAUGGUCAUGCGCCGCACACCAAUCGCCAAUGCACACUGCCUCAGAUAUGCUAUGGUCAUACAAAUAAAAACCUAAGGUUUGCGUUGUCCAUGAUACAUAAAGCCAUUUUGGGCGUCAAAAAGUGUUCUGUUUGAUUUACUUUAAGGGCAUAAAGGUCUUUUAUCAUCCCAUAACCAUUCCUAACCCUCUUUGGACGAAUAUUAAGCCUUUAACACAUUAUUUUCACCUCACAAAAUCCCUAAUCAUCUUUCCUUCAAUAAGAGAGGAGAAACCACCUAGGGUUUGAAGAUUUUGACCUCCAAGAGAAAAUAUCUUUAUGUCCUCUUCAAUUUUCUCCGUCAAAAGGUACGUGGGGAUAUCCUAGAUCUCAUGGGUAUAGUUUUUAUGAUUUUAACAAGCUUUACAGUUAUACAUAUAUGUAUAUGUAAUAAGUUUUGAUAAAUUAUUUUAAGAGCAUGCAUCAUGAAUGCAAUUUAAUGAAAGUACGUAAGUAUCAUGGGGUUUUUCUAUAAACUUGAUUUAUAGUCUUGUGCAUGCAUGAUUUGAGUUCGGGAAGUGAUUUAUGAAUAAGACUUGUGAAAUUCCCUUCCGCAUGAUGAAAUUUAUGGUCUUUGCAUGUUGUGAAUUGUGAAUUGGGUUUGAGAGCAUGAAUUUUAAGCCCCUUUUUGGUCGUGAGAUUUAUGUAUAACUAAAUGUUGGGGCUGCUUUAUGAAUGAUGAUGUUUCUUGAGUCUUAAAUGCCACUUGGUCAGUAAUACUUUGUUGUUUCAUAUGUUUUAAGGAGGCUAUUCAUGUUCUAAAGGCUCUUAUGUCCUAAUGGAGAUAAUGCAUGAAUUAAAUGAUUAAAUUGGCCACCGCAUGUAUAAGUCUUGAAAAGAGAGUGUGUUUACAUAAGUUUUCAUAUGCUGUUAAAAUGAGAACUCUCUUGUGAUUUUUAAAUCUUUUUUGUGGUUAUUUGCAUCUUUUUGAAUGAGAAGGGCCAUGUUUUUUAUACGAUAUGGCUUGCAAGUCUAGGUAUGACGAUACCUAUUACAAAAUUCCCUUAAUUAUGAAAGGAAGAAAUGUUUUAAGAAUGAGGCAUGAUUUUAAAGGACUAAAAAUUAGCUUAAGGAGAGUGAGAUGGUCGCCCGAAUAAGGCUUGAGUUUAGAAAACUCAUAGCCCAAAAUCGUGUUUUUCCGAUACGGGUUUAUUAUGUCCCAAAUUAGAGAUUGUACACUGGCGACAACCUUAUGGCGUAAUAUGUAUGAUCUUCCCUAAUUCUUGCGGCAAACUCAAAUUGGGGGCUUGGACGCUACGCUAAGGGAGGAAUCCACAUAGCCCAUGGAUUCGUACGUGUGUAGGGUGACCCAUCUUGCUCAAAAGUAAAGCAAAUAGUUGAGUCGUGAUUACAAAAUAAUGUUUUGAAGCUCAUCAAAUUAUGCCUAUCUGUUUUCAUUUAUGGUAUACUAAACUGCUUUAUAAAAUGCUCUCACUUAUGUUGUAUAAGAAUAUAUGUUAUUUUCGAAUUGUUCUACAUACCUAUACUUUCGAGUAUUAACCCCGUAUCUAUAGGUUUCAAAGUUUAGUCUCGGGGUCCAUCACAUCAGUUGAUCACAUGGGAUAAUGACAGAGUUGAUGAGUCAUCCAUUUUUCGGAAGGCAUGAUUAUUCAUAUGUUUGUCUAAUUCAGAUAAUGGUCCAAUUGCGGGCUUUAUCCUAGCCUAGACAGUUAGUUUUCAAUAAAGGCUUCAUAGACAGUAUUUGAGUGAUGUAUGGUCGUAUUUUGUUGACACAGUUUGUACUAAAAGUCCCCCUUGAAUUUCAUUAUAUCUUCCGCACUUUGACUAUAUAUGGAUUAUGCUUAUGGUAGAAUGCUAAGGGGUCUCUCGAGCCAUUGUGGUUUGGGAUAACCAUCGCGGUUAUGUCUCGACAAGUCGUGUCACUACUUCAUGUGUCUUUGAUGGAAUAGGAACAUCCAAUUGAUUGAUCAAUGGUUUUGUAAAAUCAACAGUCUGCAAAUGUUGAAUUUGAACCUCCAAAGUUGAUGCUUCUUUCCAUUUGUUGCCUAUCAAUUGGUGGUGCUCUGCCCUAUCUUCUCAACUCGUAAUGAUUCAAAAACAUUGUUGGUUGGACAAUAACUCUAUCAUUUCUUUCCAAACUCACAGGUUAUGGGAUAACAAGUUGAGAUGAUGGCAGAUUUUCUGGCAAAAUAAUAUAGGAUGCAAAUACAGGAGAAUGCAAAAUGGUUGUUUGCUCAGACAAUAAUGGGUGAGUACCUAGUACAUGAUCUAUGGAUUCUAAAUGAGCACAAAAUAUUUCAUGGCAUAUAGGGCAAUGAAGUAAUACAUGAGAAAGUACUAAAAUAGAAGGAGAAAAAUUUGCAUUAUUCAUAUUUGAAGUAUGAAUGACAAAUUUUUUUUCUAAGGUAAGGAAUGGUAGAGAUCGAAAACCAACUAUGCAGUAUAUUUAUAUAUAGGUUGCUCAAGUUGUAACCUUCCCCUUCAUUUAUGUGCCUUCCAUUUUCACUAUGCUAAGUUCCAAAUAAUGUUGCAUUGCUUGACAACUUUGCUACCAAAAUUUUUAUAUUUUAGUAAUUUCUUUUUGUGAAUUUGUUGUUGGUAUUUACUCACCUGCUGUAACAGACUUCAGAAAAAGAUCAUGUUUUUGUUAGUGAAUUACAACAAUCUAACCGGACACGUGUAUCACCAACAAGAGAUCAGGAGCCUGGACCUAUUGCUAAGGCCGCCACCUUAUUGGUUUGAUUAAUGAUACAUGUUGGGUACAAUUUUUUCUGUACUUAUUCUACACUUAUGUACCUUUAUGCAAAUUUGGAGACUAGUAGCUGUUUCUAGAAGCUGCUGACUUGUAGUUUCACGUGUUAGAGGUUUUGCCCUGAUUUUUUUUUACCAUAUUUAAGUUUUAUUUUUUUUUAAAGAAAAUAAAAGUAAUACCAUAAUUACUUUUAAUUUUUCUGAAAAGAAAAUAUAAUUCUUUUUCAUAUUUGGCUAACCUCUUUUUAAAUGAAAAGAUUUUGGACCUAUAUAAAUAGAAGACCUCUCUUCUCAUAUCAUAACACAACAAUAUCCACAAUGUAGUCGUUAAAGAGUUUUAUUUAGGGGGAGAAUUUCUCCCAACAAUUUUUAUGUUUUCUUUAAUAUUAAUUUGUCAUGUGUAGGUCAAUUGGCCAAUAAUAUCAAUAAUAUGUUCUUUUAGUAUAUUUUUUUAUCUGAAUCAUCACCGUCUUAAUUUACAAACUGUAUGCAUCCACACGACGCCCUCUGAAUUUCGAACUCAACAAGUGGUAUCAGAGCCUAUGAUUCAAUGGUCCAAUAAUUCCACGAAGGUCCGAUGGUUUAGAUUGAAGACAUGCUAAGUUUAAAGUUGCAAUCAAUUUGAUGAUAAUGAAAAUCUUUAAUUUGUCUAGCUAUAUGUGGAGGAGUUUAGAACGUAUUUUCAACAUUUUUGUUGCUACAUCUUUAGAAAUAUAAAUAAAAUAUUUAUUUUUAACCCACUUUUAACUAUAAUAUUUUAAAUCUUAUUUUUAACCAUGGCAAAUAACAAUGAUAAAGAUUAUGUAAAGAACAAAGUCCAUGCACACGAAAAAAGUAGAUCAAAUUAUGUCAAGAAAAUCAAGCUAAAAUAGGGAGAUUUGUUAGGGUUUUUGCCCCGAUUUUCUUAUCAAAUUUAAGUUAUUUUUUUUUAAAGAAAAAUAAAAGUAAUAUCAUAAUUACUUUAAUUUUUCUGAAAAGAAAAUAUAAUUUUUUUUAAUAUUUGUAUAACCUCUUUUUAAGAGAAAAGAUUUUGGACCUUUAUAAAUAGAAAAUUCUCUUCUCAUAUUAUAACACUGCAGUGUCCAUAAUGUAGUCGUUAAAGAGUCUUGUUUGGGAAGAAAUUUUCUCCCAACAGUUUUUAUGUUUUCUUUAAUAUUAAUUUUUAUGUGUAGGUCAAUAGACCAAUAAUAUCAAUAAUAUGUUCUUUUAGUAGAUUUUUUCCAGCUAAAUCAUCACUGUCUUAGUUUACAAACUUUAUGCGUCCGUAUGACACCCUUUGGAUUUCAAACCCAACAUUAGGGUAGCUUUUUGGCUUAUCUGUAACACUAGACUCUGAUUAUUGAUUUACCGCCAUUUCAUCCCCUGAUGUUUCACCAAAGAUCAACAAGCCUGGAUCUCAGAGAAAGCGAUGCUAUUAAGGAAGUGUAUUAGAUUUCACAUUAUUGUUUAUUUACACUUAUACUCUCUUGAUUCAUAUUUCCGAGUUUUCUACUAUGUGUUUUCCACUUUUGCAAUGGUAAGUUCAAAAUAUUGUUGCAGUGAUAACAACUUUGCCAACAAAAUUGAAAAACUAGUGGUUUCACUCUCCUAAAUCAUGGUCUAUUCUCUUAUUAUAUAAGAGAGAGUUGUGCUGAAACAGGCUGCUGUUCGUCGACAUGUCGGUUUUAGCUGCUUGCUCCAUAAUUUUACUAUAUCACCCCUAAUUAAUUAUUAUAAGUUAUUUACAUAUUAAAAAUUAAUAAUAUUUAAUAAAAAAAGUAAAAUGGACAUUUAUGAUAAAUUUGCUUCAGCUGCUUCAAUCGUAAUUUUACUAAAUAUGACUCUAAUUUAUUAUUAAAAGUCUUCUAAAUAUUAAAAAAAUAUAAUGAAAAAAAUAAAAUAGACAUAAAAUGAUAAGUUAACUCUUGAUGUUUUGAAUUUACUUGACGUUUUAUAUGUGGCCCACUUAAAAAAAAAUUCACAAGUAUUUUCUUAUAGUAAUUGCGUUAUAUCACUUUUAAUUAAUUAUUGUGAGUCAUUUAAGACAUGUCUGUUUCACUGCUUCAAUCGUGAUUUUACUAUAUCACCUCUAAUUAAUUAUUAUGGUCAUCGAAGCAUUAUACCACUUAAAUUGGAAUAGAAGAAAGUGAUUUAUAAAUCACAAUAAUUAAAAUUUUAAAUUAUUUUAAAAAUAUAAUUGACUAUAAAUGCCACAAAAGUUUGGACAACAAGAGUAACAUAUAUUAUUUGAAAAUUAAAUAAGAAGUAUUAUAAAUUAUAAUAGUUAACAACUUAAGAUAUCUUUUAAAAAAAUUAAUAUAUUAUAUAUUUCAAAAAAAAAAAUGUAAAAAUAUUAUAGAUCACAAUAAUUAACAACUUAAAAAAUUUAAAAGAUUUAAAAUAUUUGAUUGGCUCUCGAAAUUAUAUCAACGCUACUUAAAUUAAAAACGAAGAAAAGUAUUAUAAAUCACAAUAACUAAAAACUUAAAUUAUUUUAAAACUAUAAUUGACUAUCAACGCACAAAAGUUUUGAUAGGGAGAGUAACCUAUAUUAUUUGUAAACAGCAUAAAAAUAUUUUAAAGGAAAAUGCUCAAAUAUGUCAUCGAACUUUGAGAAAAGGCUCAUCUAUGCCAUCCAUUUAAAGUUUUUCUCAUUCAUGCUAUUGCCGUUACAAAAAAGGCUCAUCCAUGCCUUUUUUAACAGUCUAAUUUGGUGGUUUUGGUAAAAUCAUUUUGUACACGUGGUCAACAAUAAUUCGCCGACGUCAUUUGUUAAAUGAGCCAAAUAAAAUUAAGGAAAAAGACUCAAAUAUGUCAUUAAACUAUUAGAAAUGACUCAUUUAUGUCAUCAGUUAAAAGUUCAACUCAUUCGUGUCAUCAUCGUUAUAAAACCCACUCAUCCAUGCGAUUACUUUUCAACGAUAGGUUUUCAAAAUGUACAUGAUCCAUAAAUUAAAAAUGAGUAUGAAAUAUUCCAUAGCAUACAGGGCAAUGAAGUAAUACAGGAGAAGGUAUUAAAGUUGAAGAGGGAAAUUUGCAUUCUCAAUAUUCGAAGUAUGAAUGACAAUUUUUUUCUCUAAGGUAAGAAAUGAUAGAGAUAAGUACUAACUAUGCAAUAUAUUUAUAGGCUUCUCAUGAUAGAACCUUCCCCCUUCAUUUAUGUUUCUUCCAAUUUAGCUAUGGUAAGUUCCAGAUAAUGCUGCAAUUGAGUGACAACUUUGCUACCAAAAUUUUUUUAUUGCAGUAAAUUUUUUUUCCUAAUUUGUUGCCAAUAUUUGACUAGCCUGUUGUAAUAGACAUCCGAAUAAGAUUAUGUUUCCAUCUAAGUCGACAUACAUCAGAAAAAGAUUAGAUUCUCUCUCUUAGACAAAGAACUUCAAAAGAAUAGACUAUGUUUUCUCUCUAAGUCGAUCAAGCACCCUCAUUGAGUAACUACAACGGACUUACGAAUUUAAAGUUUGAAAGUAUAUACCCCUUUUGAUUUUUGUUUCAUUAGUGAAUUACAACAACCUCAUCUCUUUUGAAUUUUAGCUAUCAUUAUUUUGUUGUAAUAUGGUACACAGAUUGCAGCUUACUAAAUUCUAAAAUUACUCUUUAAGGUAAUAUAAUUACUAUUUAUUCAAAAAUAAAUAUGGUAUUUUUGUAAUGUUCUUUAUGUCAAAAGUUUAUUUUUUGAUAUAUAUUUUUGUAAUAAUUGAUAAGUAUAUAGAAGAUAUACAAACUAAAAAGAUAACAAUAUUUAUUUUCAAGAGAAAAAACAUACCUGUAAAACAAAGUAGCGUCGAAAUGUCAGGUUUAUUAAGUGUUAAGCAAUGUUUGAUAGUCUUGCAAAAUGGUACUAAGCGACAUUCGAUUAUCAUUAUGACUAUAUUGUUGUAAUCAUGCAGACAGUUUGUAUCCUACAAAAUUAACUACAUCUUAAACUUCAUAAAUUAGUUAGAAAAUAAGGGAAUAGAAAGAAAUAUAGGAAAGCAAUGAUACAUUUAAAAACUAUGAUGCAAAAAAAAAAACAAACAAGGUGGAAAAGUAUUAGCUUAACGAGUGACAUGUCGUAUAUAAUUUGACGGCCAAAACUUGACAUUUUUACUCAGUAAAAAUAGGUGACAUUAAUAACAUUGAACUAUAAAAAUUUAUUUUUUUUAAUAUGCUCGACAAGGAAACAAAAAAAUAUUUUCUCUCAAAUAAAUGGAUUGAAAUAUUUAAACAAAGGCAAAUAUUUUAACAAAUAAAAAUAUUAUCAGGCACAAAUACAUAUAUUUUCAAUUUCUGGACAUUAUAUUAGAUGUUCCUAAACUAUGAAACCAGAUUUUUGGAGAUUUUUUUUAGGGUUUUUUUGCUUUUACUUAUGUUUUAGGGCCUAACUUUUUCUAGGAGUCUCGCCUUGGUAUGUUUUUGUAAAGUUCGUGUUUUCUUUAUCAAUUUAGUUGAUUGUCUUAUACAAUUUUAGACACUCACUGUGUCAGAUAAAAAUAAUGCAAAAUAAAGCGAAUGACUCGCCCUUUUAGAGACCCAACUAUUAGACAAACAUAUAACAGUAAAACUUAAAAAAAAAAG
This 96366-nucleotide long non-coding RNA is filed under the name Capsicum annuum. RNAcentral describes it as "long non-coding RNA (CANN_LNC005631)". The record is from RNAcentral. Lineage: Eukaryota; Viridiplantae; Streptophyta; Magnoliopsida; Solanales; Solanaceae.